This 94368-nucleotide long non-coding RNA is filed under the name Lactuca sativa (garden lettuce). Its description in RNAcentral is "long non-coding RNA (LSAT_LNC000275)". Lineage: Eukaryota; Viridiplantae; Streptophyta; Magnoliopsida; Asterales; Asteraceae. The record is from RNAcentral.
AUACACUGCGGAUGUUCCAUUCGUUAUGAUCGAUCUCAACAACAUGAGAUCUAUAGACAUAGACGUAGCUAAAAGGACUGCGUGGGUGGGGACAGGCGCUGUGCUUGGUGAGCUUUACUACAGUAUUGCACAGAAGUCCAACAACACCUUGUAUUUCCCCGGAGGUACAUGGCCUACGGUGGGGAUCAGUGGGUUGAUAGGUGGUGGUGGCACCGGAAACCUGUUAAGGAAAUAUGCUACAGCCGGUGAUAAUGUUUUGGAUGCUCGUAUCAUAGAUGUCAAUGGAAGGAUUCUCAAUAGGAAGUCGAUGGGUGAAGAUUUGUUUUGGGCGAUUAGAGGAGGUGUUGCUUCCAGUUUCGGAGUCGUUGUCUCAUGGAAGUUGCAGUUGGUUCCUGUUCCAGAAAAAGUAACUGUCUUUAUAGUGAAUAGAACUCUCGAACAAGGUGCAACAGAAAUUUUCUUUAAAUAUCAGUCUCUUGCGACUUUUGAAGAUAGAAAUUUGUACAUAAGAUCCCAGGCAGCUUCGGAGUUUAUUGGAAACACCACACAAAAAACCAUGCGAAUCAUCUUCCAAGGAAUUUAUCAGGGCACAACCAACGAAUUGAUUCCAGUAAUGGACAAAGUUUUUCCAGAGCUCGGUGUUACACGAGAGAUUUGUCAAGAAAUGACAAGCGUCCAAUCGACACUUGUGUUUUUUGGAAGGCCAAGCACCACCCCGCUUGAGAUUCUUACAAACCGAUCUGCCAUACCCAAGUCAAACAGCAAAACUAAAUCAAACUUUGUCAGGACACCGAUCCCCAUAUCUGGACUGGAAAAAAUCUGGAGUAAGUUUUUUGAAAACGAUUUGUCAGGUGGUUUGCUUAUCAUUCCUUCUGGUGGAAGAAUGGAUGAUUACGCAGAGACAGCAACACCAUAUCCUCACAGAGCUGGAACCUUGUACUUGUUGGCUACUAGUGUAAAUUUUGUAGGUCAAGCUAACGAUACAACCCCUGUAUCGCUUAGAAGAUUAGCCUGGUUGCAAAGCUUGGAAGAGUUGUUGACUCCUUAUGUGUCACAGAACCCGAGGGAGUCGUAUGUCAAUAACAAUGAUCUGGAUAUCGGUGUUGGGGCUGCGAAUUAUAAGGAAGCAAGUGUUUGGGGUGAGAGGUACUGGAAAAGGGAGAAUUUCAAGAGGUUGAUUCGAAUCAAGGCUAAAGUUGAUCCUAAGAAUUUCUUUAAGUUCCCACAGAGUAUCCCCGUCUUUAAACGCCGAGGUCUCCCACAAUAAAGAUAAUAAUAAUAAUAAUCGAGAAUAAUAAGGUUUGUUGCCAUUUUGUGAAGCUCUAUAUAUCAAGUCUACUCAGGUGUUGUUGCUUUUCCUCAUUUAUUUUAUAGCAUUUUAUAUGGCAAUUCAUAUUUUUUGUCUGUUGUUUCCUGUUUGUGUAAAGAAUAAUAAUAAUGGAGAAUAAAUUGAUUUCUUUUAAUUUAUGUCCUAACUACACUCUAUGUAGCAGUGUAAUUUUUUGAUUGAUUUAUAACCUUCAAUUCAUUUACUGCUUACACUAUUUCUACAUAGAUCGCUAGACUUCAAGGGGCUUCUUUUUCAAGACCUGAUUUUACUUGAGUUACACGACACCGAAAGCAACCUGAUGUAAAUUUUUCUCUACAUAAUAUCAUGCAAGUUGACUUAUUUAUAGGGCGACGAUUUUGGCCGUAAGGUAAACUUUCCUUCAUACAUGUCCACUAAAUGCCUUUGUAUUUGAAAAGUUCCAAGCGAGGGGUUGAUUUUCUAUAAACAUUUACCUCAAAAAAAUGACGGGUACGUGAAUAUGUUUCAUCAUUUAUGAACAAUUGGAUUCUUUGUGACAACAAUACACAACCGGGAAAGCAUGCGUGUUUUCUCCUAUAGAAAUUUCUCCUCCGGAAAUGCCGACUGUACAUCAACGAAAUACCAAUAGUAAAAAGAUCAUAAAUUAGCAACGGAUGGAUAGCCGUGGGAAUUAUACCGAUUUACCGUAGAAAAUGUAAUUUUAUAAAUUAAUUAUCCGUUGAAAUAACAUUGGUUAUACAAAUAAUUGUGUCCCCAAAGAGAUCAAGACUAGACACCAUGACCUCUCAAAUAACACACACUUGGACUAUUUGUAGGUCUCAUUCAAUUAUUUAUUCCCUUCUUUAAUUGUAUAUUUUAUCAUCCAGUAAUUAAAUGAAUGUUUCAUGUAUAUAUGUUUGGUUUCUAACUUUAUUUUUCAAGUCAAACUUAUAUUAUGGUAUUAUUUACGGUUUUAGUUUCCGCUAGACUUAAAAGAACUACAAUGCCCGUAUAUCAUUGCUUUUCAAUCACUACUAGAAUAUAUGCCCUUAAUGACACGCAAUUUACGACACGCACUAAUUACUGUUACGCAAAACAGACUGUCCUUAAAAUAGUAUCAUCUCUCAAAAAACUUUAAGGAUUUACGUCACGCAUUAUUGUGUGCCCUUAAAUUAGUGUCUCAAGAAAAAAAAAUGAAAAACACGGAGGUCGCUUUAUCUUAAAGCGUGCGUCGUCUGUUCCCGUUGCUUUAUAAUUUUAAUGAAACACGCGUUUAGAAGACAAGGGGGGAAACAAAAUCCCCAAAAUUUUGAAAGUCCGCCUUGUUCUUUCUACCUUCUUUCUAUCUUUCAUCUUCCCAAUCGACUCUACCCUCUCCCUACUUCUCUCUCCUCUCAUAUCUGCUUCUCCGCUGCUCCAGACCUCCUUCUUAUCGGUCUCAUCAAACAUCUUGUUUCCUCACCUUUGCCGUUGACUGCUGGUCCUUCCCCAACGAAGACAUUAACAAACUGAAAAAGAGACAAAUAACGAAGGCAAAUCGGAGUAAGACCAAUGAUGCCGUCACUAUUACGUUAUCGAGGAAGAGGAACAUUAUAAGAAUCAUAUUAUCUGUAACGAAACUUUAAAGAGAGGUUCGGGGCGAGAUUUACGGAGUUUGCGGUGGGAACAUCAUAAUAAAUUGUGAUACCUUCUUCGACAACUGAUUCGGCGUCAAAAUUGGGAUUAAGCGUCUGACGUGUUGAGCGUGUUGUUGAAGGGGAUGCACAUGGAGAACAGUUUAUCGACCUCCCUGCGAUACUCUCUCCUCUAGAUCUCCCUUCAUUCUCUACUGGGUUGUUUCCGCUUCACUAUGCUCAAUUCCAUCAUCAUCUGAAUGUCGAUCAUCUACAUCGGAAUCAUCCAUUGGCUUCACUGGAAUUGGUAUUUCAUUCUCUAUAUUCGAUUUUUAGGGUUCUAGUUGUACUCUGUCUUGAUUGUGUAUAUUUGCUUUAUAGUUUUAGUGAUCAUUAUGCUUUUUUGAGGUGCCUAUAUAAUAUGUACAUAUUAAUUGACUCAACUCUUGUUUUGACCAUAGUAUUUACAAAAGUACUUCAUAAUUACAGGAAGCAAUCACUCAACUUCAAGAUUUAGGCGAACGUGAUCUGUUCUCAUGCCCUGUGUGCUUCGAACCACUUAUAAGAAUAUGUUAUUUCUUGCAUUUAACCCUUCUUUUUUAUAUCUCUUACACAAACACCAAAUUGCGAUUUCUAAUUUUUGUGAAUUAGUUUACUGACUACUGCUGAUGUUGUUGUAGUUCAAUGAAGAAGCACGAUCUCCUUUUGUGAAGAAGUUUAAAACCAUUAUUCAUCCUGGAGAGGUAUUCUCUAUUUUGUUUAUGAUGUUUUUAAUAAGAUUAAGAUUUAAAUAAUUACCAAAUUUAUAAGAAAGAUUAAGAUUAAAAACAUAUUAAUUUGACAUUUAAUUGUAUUUAUGAAGGUAAACCGCAUCAGGGAGCUUCCUCAAAAUAGCAAAAUAGUAGCAGCACACACAGACAGCCCUGAUGUACGCAUUUGCUUUCCAUUUUUCAUUUUUGGUCCUUUAUUUUAUUAGUUUUUGAUGUAUUCUUUUAAUGUAAUAUAAUUUUAUUAAACCAAGACCUAAUGGGGUGUUGAAGCUCAACCCAAUCGCCAUGCUGUCCUUGGAGCCACAUAGUCGCGUCCUAAUUUGGUGGUCCUAAUGGGUCUAUAUGAUUUUAUCUAAAGUUGAUUCCUUUUUUACCCUUACUUUUAGUGGAGAAAGCUAUGUUUGAUAUUAGUAUGUUAAUCUUCCCCUUGUCUUUUAUCCUUUUUGUCCCACAAGGUUUCCUUUUAUUUUACUUGUUAAAUUACUUAACUGUCCAUUGCCAUCUUUUGCUUUUUCCCCCAAGAUUCUUGUUUAUCAUUCAUGAUGAGAGUAUAUUUAGACAAAACAAGAAAAGCAGAACUUCGACCAUUUCUUUCACUACCCCUGUUGUUCACGUCUUGCUUAUUCACAUUUACUUUCCUUCUUUGCCCCUCCUUGAAUACGUGAAUAAUGGAUGCCUCUUCCGGAGCUUAUAUUUUUACAUUUUUCUGCAUAUCCCAAAUUGCCCAUCUGUUACAAGCCUCCACAACUGAUGCUUUAAAAUUGUUUUAUUGUAGUCUUCUAUUUUUAUGGACAUGUUCUGCCCCUUUUGUUUUUUUUUCUUUAACAUAUCCCAUAUUUAUUUAGCUGAGUCACAUAUAUUUUCAAACAAACUUAAAGAGAUAUUGGUGUAUUGUAUUGCCAUCUACUUGUUUUCAUAGCAUUUAGUAUCAGAUCUAUAUAUAUUUUCUUUAAUGAAGUACAACUUAUCUGAUACCAUUUACUUUCAUCAGGUACUCAUCAUAUUUUCUUUAAUUCACUUCUCUUGAAUUUUAAUUUAUAAUCUUUUAGGCAAGAACCAUACAAGAAUUAGAAAAAAGGGACUUUGGGAAUUUGAGGCAAGAGGGUGAAGAUGGCGAGCUGCAACCAAAAGUAGUGAAACGAGGCAGACUGCCAAGUAAGCACCUGAAAAACCACCUGGCAGACACCCAUUGGAUCAUGCCGGUCCAAAGUCUGCCACUCUGGCAACUCCUAAAGACAACACAACCAAGUCUACUCCUUACAAUCUAAGAAGAGGACCCAUGUUGCAUAACAGCUGCAACAGAGAACAACCCUACUCUAAAUUAUUAUCAGAGUGGAAUGAAGAGUUUCCAGGUUCGAUCAUCACCUUUUUAAUAAUACUUAAAUACCCAAAACGCCCUUCCAUAUUAAACUAGUUAUAUUAUGAAUUUGCAGUGCGCAUUUGGAGGGCGAAUAUGAAAUAUGGAAUUAUUAAAGAUUUUAUUGUAGAUGAGAGUAGGCAUGACACUUACAAGCAAUGUUAUGUCUCCAACUUUUGUGGAGAAAAGAAGCAGUUAAUGGUGGUAGGUGAUGGUGAUGGUGAUGGUGAUGGUGAUGGUGAUGGUUAUGCAAGAAGUUUAACUUGUUUUGCUGCUAAUCUUGGCCCUGUUGUCUGGAAAGUUGCUUUAAAGAAAAUGGAUAAAGCUUUACCUUGUGUUGAUGCACAAGGUACAACAGUAGAAUCUGAGGGUAUUUUUGGGAAAUCAUCUUGUUGGCAGCAGGUAAACAGUUGAUGGUUGGAGUCCUACUUCUACCUUGAAGCUUUGAUUUCUACGCCGACUACUGACCUUUGUGUGUUUGACAGCUUGAAGAGGGCAAUGUAGGUUAAUGAGGGAUGAGAUUGAAGUGUUGUAGGUAAUAUAGAUAAACGCAUGGGAAAUAUUAAGGUAUAUUGAUUUUAUUAAAGGUUAAGGUUUAAUGUUUUUUCUUGGAUGUUGAUAGUUAAGUAGUGGACUGAUAAAUUUUAAUGUUCACAAUUUGCUUUACAGUUAUGCUCUUUUUUCGUUGGUUUUAUUAAUAUUCAAGGUUGUAGUUUGUAGAGUUUAUGCAGUUUGGACCUUUUUAUCCCUGCUUGGUUUCUUUGGUGUAGAGAUGUUUUGAUGUUAUUCUUUUAAUGUUUCCCUUCUUCUUGGGUGUUGCUUUCGUUGGAUGUUUGUUGGUGUGUGGAAGUCUCAUUGCUAAUAUUGCAUGAAGUUUCAAACGGAUUGUGAUUGUGAUGCUUCUAGUUCUGUGUGGAUGGCGUGUGACUAUUAUGCAACCUAAAAGAUCUCAAGUUGGUUAUUUUUUGUGUGGCUUUUCUUACAACUAGUUGAUGCCAUCGAUUUACUCCUUUCAAGCGUUGAUGUAAACAUAAAAUUUAUAAGGUAUGGCUUUUCUUUUUAGUCCAUCUGUCUAUAUUUGCCUCUUUCUAAAUAGUGAUUUUUUUAGUUAAGUUAGCUGAGGCCAUCUCCUUUCAAUCUAAAUAGUGAUUUUUUAGAGAGAUGGAACACUCGAUUCUAAAUCAAAUCUUUUAUGUUCGACCGUAAACUUCAAAAUACUAUCGAUACUGUAAAGCUUUAUCUAUCGAAAUUCAAGCUUAAUCAUUGAAAAUCAUUAUUUGACCACAAUUUUCGAUCCUCAAAUGCACAUUCAAUUGGCGACUUCAUAAUUAAAUUGAAACUCCAAACUUACAAUUCUGCCUUUGACCCAAUCAAUACGAAGUGUCUCCAUUCAAACUACAUCAACCGUUACCAACAUGAACAAAAUUUGAGUCAAAAUUUACUGAAUUAACAAAUAAAACUUCGAUUUUGACUUUUUGUUUGACUUUCAAUUUCAAGCAGUCACUGUUGAUUCCAACUCCUUUUUGUGUAAGCCUAAACUCCUUCAAUUUCUUUCUAUUUUAAUAAUUAAAUAUAAAAGAUUUUAAAUUUAUAAUUUUACCAUGUAUAUUGUCAGGGUAUACCGGAGCCAGCAGAACUCCCGCCAGCUACCGGAGUUUCACCACUGCCAGGUCUACAGGCUGCCCAGCCCCCGCCAGCUACAGUUGUUCCUCCAAGUGGACCAAAUUCAAACCCUUUGGAUCUCUUCCCUCAUGUAUUCAGUAUUUUGUUUUGACUUUCAUUUUGUCAAUUUUCGUUUUAGACCCUGUAGAUUGUAAUCUUGUCGUGUUUGGUCUAGGGACUUCUUGUAUGGGCACAAAUGCUCCUGUUGGUGUUGUUGGCAACUUGGAUUUUCUACGUAACAGUCCACAGGUAUUUACUUAUUUAUUUAUUUAUUUAUAAACUAGUCAACCAUAUCUACAUACAUAUUAAUUAUUAAUUAUCUCAAUAAAAUAAAAAUAUAAUUUAUAUUAGUGUUCCAGUUUCAAGCACUUCGAGCCAUGGUGCAGGCUAAUCCCCAAAUCUUGUAGGUAUUUCAUAAAUACAAAUCAAAAUACUUCUCAAAGACAUAAAUGGUAGUUUCUCUUUUAUCUCAUUUCUUAUGAUUUACAGGAACGUUUUGAUUCAGAACAAUUUCAAGAUCAUCAUUUAGUUGAGGUAAUAAUAUCAUUAGUUCUUACAAUUUUAGGUAUUUAGUUUCAUGUUUUUUUCUCUUUUAUCUCAUUUAUUAUGAUUUAUAGGAAAGUUGGGAUGCUGGAUUUAACGAUGAUUGGAACAUUGGGAUGCUUGAAGAGUUGAAGGCAGAAGAUAGUGAGGGUAUUAUUGGUUCACAAUCACAUGUUGAAAAAAGUUUAGAUAAGUUGAAUGCUAGAAACCAAAUUCUUCGUGACCAAUUUGGGAUUGAUAUUGAAGCUAAGAGACAUGAUGAAGGGUUUUAGAGCUUCUUCAGACAGCUUAAUGACGAGUUACUGAAACAAGAAGGUGCCCCUUUAUAGCAAUGUAGUAUUAGGUUAUAUUGUUAGGGAAAACCUCUUAAUAACAAUGUAAAUUUAAUUUAUAUAUUGUAAGAACUAGAAUUGUAUGACAUUAAAUUUUAUGCAAUGGAUUGUAUUUUUUGUAUAUGGUAUUUUAUUUCUAUUAUGAGACAUUAAAUGCAAAUUUAAUUUAAAAAUUAAUAAAUAUAUUUUUUUAAACAUUUAAAUUUACGAUACGCAAAAAUGUGUGCCAUCUUCAUUUAUGACAUGGCCUUUCUUGACAGGGCUUUUAAUGAUACGCAUUGUGUGUCAUUAACACGCGCGUCGUAAGGUUACGACACGCGAAAGCGUGUCGUCUUCCUUUAUGACAGGGUCUUCCUUGAUACGCAUUGCGUGUCAUAAACGCGCGUCAUAACUGCCCGUCGUAAAUGCGCGUCGUCUCUCUUUAUGACAGGGCCUUCCUUGACGCGCAUUUGCGCGUUGUCUGAGCCUUUUACGAAACGCAAUGAGCGUCGUAAAAGGCUGUUUUUCUAGUAGUAAACUAAUUUAAUAUUUUGUUUAUUUCUAAUUAAAACACAAACAUAUCCCACCCAUAUAUAACACAUCUCUCACAUCCUCCCACUCUCACAUCCACUUUCUUCUCGAUGAUCAACCAAUUAUAUACAACAAUUCGACCUAGAAAAUCGAACCUACAACAAUUAUUCAAACCCAAUUUCUUAGAAUAAACUAAGACACUAAAUCAUACUUUGAUUCACAUAAUCCCUCGUCUCCUCAUUCUAUAAUGGUAUCUGGUUGUUCUUUACCCCUAGACCUAAUCGAUAACAUAGAUGCUCACCUCUCACUCCCUUGCUUCUUCUAUCUAGAACGUUGACUCAUUUCCCCAAUCACUUUCUGUAAUUUCACUUCAGCUUUGGUUGAUUAAAUGAAGUUGAACCUAAUGAUUGAACAUUCAAAUCUGGUUUUAAAAAAUUCAAUGGUAUGAGGUGGAAUGGAUAACAACGUAUAUAACAUCCAUUCACAUGUCCCUAGAGAAAAAAAGGGAGAUUAUCAGAGGUAGGGAAGUGUAACAAUUAUUAAGGAAAAUGAGGAUGCCAAGACCCCAAGGGAUCAAACAUUUAGGCCCAAUUUGGUAGGCUAUUUGAAAGUUGAUAGUUGAUAAUCGAGCUUAUGAAUAAUAAUGUUUGGUAAAAAGUAGCUUAUAAGUUCUAUUGUAAACAUAAAAUAACAUAAAUGGGCAUUUAGAUUUAUAACUAAAAGAAAAAAGAAGAAAUAUAAUUAAGGGUAUAUUUGAAAUAUUUUUGAAAAAACUCCAUAAGCUUAUCAAAUGCUAUGUCAAAGUAGCUUAUCAAAACCUAACUUAUAAGCUAGUUUAUAAUCUAAAAUAAGCUAUUUUGUGGCUUAACAAAAGAGUAAAUCACAAUAUACUAGCAUAUUUUUGUCAAACAGGGUCUUAAUGGAAUCGAGUAUGUAUAAUGCAGUAUUAUCAUGUAACAUCCAGAAAUCAUGUAUAUCUAUUUAAUCCCUUUUCUUUUCCAAGCUGUCAAAACUAGUCCAUGGAAGGAAAUGGUAGCAAAUGAGUAUGUUGGGCGUACUAAAGAGUACGUUGCGCGUACUCAUGAGCGUGAUCUUGACGCGGGUGCUACCCAGUACGUUGGGCAUACCAUAGUGUACGCUGGGCGUACUGGACUCGGUCAUGAAACCCUAAAUGAGACUUGUGCACUGUAAAAGGAAUGUUAUGGCCUCCAUCCCAACCACCAUUCCAGUAAGUGAAACCCUAGAGGAGCUAAACCUUCGUUCUAAACUUGUGUGUGUGUGACAUCCCCAUUUUCACGGCCUGAAAAGACCGAUUUUGUUUAUGCUUUAGGAAAAUCAGAGUACCUCUUUUAAUAAAAAUGUUGCGGAAUUUAUUCUCAAAAAAACACGAUAAAUACGUUAUCAAAGUAUUUCUGAAGAAAUGUAUUUUUAUUUAUUUUAAAACAUUUGGGAUGUUAUCGUCAAUAAAGAAACAUAAGCAUAAACAGAACUUACAUUCAUUAUCACUAGUGAUCAACAUCUCUUUUAAAUCUCUCAGUGUAAUGUAACAUCAUAUCGACACCUGUGAUACAAAUAAACUGAGUGGGUCAGGUUGGGAAACCUGGUAAGUACAUAGGGUUUCAACCCACAAUAAUAUAAUUAUUAUGUUUAAACAUCAAACAAUCAACCCUACCCAUACCCAUUAUCUUCUUUACUCUUAAGGAUCUACCCUAAGAAUCAGUUAUUCUUAUUCCUAAGGAUCAUCCUAAGGAAUCGUCACGAAGUCCAUCGUUGCCACGGUUUACACAACGGGCACUAAGUCUUCAUAGUCGCCAGGGGUUAGGCAUCAAGUCUGCAUGAUCGCCAAGGUUUACACAAUGGGCACUAAGUCUACAUAGUCGCAAGGGUUUAGGCAUCAAGUCUGCAUGAUCGCCAAGGUUUAGGCACCAAGUCUGCAUGGUCGCCAAGGUUUAGAGUACAACGGGUGAACACAUCGUUCACAACACCUACAGGUUGCGAGCCUGUUAGUGUUCCGCUGGACUGUCUAGAAUAGUCCAUGGUUGUCAUCCAUACUCUGCUGAAUGACGGGGCCAUCAUUUGGGAAAAAGGCUUCUCACAUCGUCCACCUCUCACCCUCACCUCACGGUCUAUAACACCUCUCAACUCAUUGUCCAACUCAUAUUCCAUCUAUUACAUCUAUCCAUGUUUUACCCCAACAUUUUCGUAGAUAUAAAAUACAUAUACAGUUUAAAUCAUUUAAAACGUGUAUAAAAUCGUUCAUCUAGCAUAGACAACAAGUAUUCAGAUAAUAUGCACACAUAACAUGUAAUUUAUAUAAAAUACUUUAUAUCUAUGUGUAAGAUGAAAGUAACUAUGCACUCACUCGAUAAGGUGUUGACUCGGUACUCGGACAACGCUUCGUUUACUUUAAAAUAAUUUCCUUCUACGAAACCUAGUAUUAUUACCACUAGAUUUUAGUCUAAUAUUUAUNNNNNNNNNNNNNNNNNNNNNNNNNNNNNNNNNNNNNNNNNNNNNNNNNNNNNNNNNNNNNNNNNNNNNNNNNNNNNNNNNNNNNNNNNNNNNNNNNNNNNNNNNNNNNNNNNNNNNNNNNNNNNNNNNNNNNNNNNNNNNNNNNNNNNNNNNNNNNNNNNNNNNNNNNNNNNNNNNNNNNNNNNNNNNNNNNNNNNNNNNNNNNNNNNNNNNNNNNNNNNNNNNNNNNNNNNNNNNNNNNNNNNNNNNNNNNNNNNNNNNNNNNNNNNNNNNNNNNNNNNNNNNNNNNNNNNNNNNNNNNNNNNNNNNNNNNNNNNNNNNNNNNNNNNNNNNNNNNNNNNNNNNNNNNNNNNNNNNNNNNNNNNNNNNNNNNNNNNNNNNNNNNNNNNNNNNNNNNNNNNNNNNNNNNNNNNNNNNNNNNNNNNNNNNNNNNNNNNNNNNNNNNNNNNNNNNNNNNNNNNNNNNNNNNNNNNNNNNNNNNNNNNNNNNNNNNNNNNNNNNNNNNNNNNNNNNNNNNNNNNNNNNNNNNNNNNNNNNNNNNNNNNNNNNNNNNNNNNNNNNNNNNNNNNNNNNNNNNNNNNNNNNNNNNNNNNNNNNNNNNNNNNNNNNNNNNNNNNNNNNNNNNNNNNNNNNNNNNNNNNNNNNNNNNNNNNNNNNNNNNNNNNNNNNNNNNNNNNNNNNNNNNNNNNNNNNNNNNNNNNNNNNNNNNNNNNNNNNNNNNNNNNNNNNNNNNNNNNNNNNNNNNNNNNNNNNNNNNNNNNNNNNNNNNNNNNNNNNNNNNNNNNNNNNNNNNNNNNNNNNNNNNNNNNNNNNNNNNNNNNNNNNNNNNNNNNNNNNNNNNNNNNNNNNNNNNNNNNNNNNNNNNNNNNNNNNNNNNNNNNNNNNNNNNNNNNNNNNNNNNNNNNNNNNNNNNNNNNNNNNNNNNNNNNNNNNNNNNNNNNNNNNNNNNNNNNNNNNNNNNNNNNNNNNNNNNNNNNNNNNNNNNNNNNNNNNNNNNNNNNNNNNNNNNNNNNNNNNNNNNNNNNNNNNNNNNNNNNNNNNNNNNNNNNNNNNNNNNNNNNNNNNNNNNNNNNNNNNNNNNNNNNNNNNNNNNNNNNNNNNNNNNNNNNNNNNNNNNNNNNNNNNNNNNNNNNNNNNNNNNNNNNNNNNNNNNNNNNNNNNNNNNNNNNNNNNNNNNNNNNNNNNNNNNNNNNNNNNNNNNNNNNNNNNNNNNNNNNNNNNNNNNNNNNNNNNNNNNNNNNNNNNNNNNNNNNNNNNNNNNNNNNNNNNNNNNNNNNNNNNNNNNNNNNNNNNNNNNNNNNNNNNNNNNNNNNNNNNNNNNNNNNNNNNNNNNNNNNNNNNNNNNNNNNNNNNNNNNNNNNNNNNNNNNNNNNNNNNNNNNNNNNNNNNNNNNNNNNNNNNNNNNNNNNNNNNNNNNNNNNNNNNNNNNNNNNNNNNNNNNNNNNNNNNNNNNNNNNNNNNNNNNNNNNNNNNNNNNNNNNNNNNNNNNNNNNNNNNNNNNNNNNNNNNNNNNNNNNNNNNNNNNNNNNNNNNNNNNNNNNNNNNNNNNNNNNNNNNNNNNNNNNNNNNNNNNNNNNNNNNNNNNNNNNNNNNNNNNNNNNNNNNNNNNNNNNNNNNNNNNNNNNNNNNNNNNNNNNNNNNNNNNNNNNNNNNNNNNNNNNNNNNNNNNNNNNNNNNNNNNNNNNNNNNNNNNNNNNNNNNNNNNNNNNNNNNNNNNNNNNNNNNNNNNNNNNNNNNNNNNNNNNNNNNNNNNNNNNNNNNNNNNNNNNNNNNNNNNNNNNNNNNNNNNNNNNNNNNNNNNNNNNNNNNNNNNNNNNNNNNNNNNNNNNNNNNNNNNNNNNNNNNNNNNNNNNNNNNNNNNNNNNNNNNNNNNNNNNNNNNNNNNNNNNNNNNNNNNNNNNNNNNNNNNNNNNNNNNNNNNNNNNNNNNNNNNNNNNNNNNNNNNNNNNNNNNNNNNNNNNNNNNNNNNNNNNNNNNNNNNNNNNNNNNNNNNNNNNNNNNNNNNNNNNNNNNNNNNNNNNNNNNNNNNNNNNNNNNNNNNNNNNNNNNNNNNNNNNNNNNNNNNNNNNNNNNNNNNNNNNNNNNNNNNNNNNNNNNNNNNNNNNNNNNNNNNNNNNNNNNNNNNNNNNNNNNNNNNNNNNNNNNNNNNNNNNNNNNNNNNNNNNNNNNNNNNNNNNNNNNNNNNNNNNNNNNNNNNNNNNNNNNNNNNNNNNNNNNNNNNNNNNNNNNNNNNNNNNNNNNNNNNNNNNNNNNNNNNNNNNNNNNNNNNNNNNNNNNNNNNNNNNNNNNNNNNNNNNNNNNNNNNNNNNNNNNNNNNNNNNNNNNNNNNNNNNNNNNNNNNNNNNNNNNNNNNNNNNNNNNNNNNNNNNNNNNNNNNNNNNNNNNNNNNNNNNNNNNNNNNNNNNNNNNNNNNNNNNNNNNNNNNNNNNNNNNNNNNNNNNNNNNNNNNNNNNNNNNNNNNNNNNNNNNNNNNNNNNNNNNNNNNNNNNNNNNNNNNNNNNNNNNNNNNNNNNNNNNNNNNNNNNNNNNNNNNNNNNNNNNNNNNNNNNNNNNNNNNNNNNNNNNNNNNNNNNNNNNNNNNNNNNNNNNNNNNNNNNNNNNNNNNNNNNNNNNNNNNNNNNNNNNNNNNNNNNNNNNNNNNNNNNNNNNNNNNNNNNNNNNNNNNNNNNNNNNNNNNNNNNNNNNNNNNNNNNNNNNNNNNNNNNNNNNNNNNNNNNNNNNNNNNNNNNNNNNNNNNNNNNNNNNNNNNNNNNNNNNNNNNNNNNNNNNNNNNNNNNNNNNNNNNNNNNNNNNNNNNNNNNNNNNNNNNNNNNNNNNNNNNNNNNNNNNNNNNNNNNNNNNNNNNNNNNNNNNNNNNNNNNNNNNNNNNNNNNNNNNNNNNNNNNNNNNNNNNNNNNNNNNNNNNNNNNNNNNNNNNNNNNNNNNNNNNNNNNNNNNNNNNNNNNNNNNNNNNNNNNNNNNNNNNNNNNNNNNNNNNNNNNNNNNNNNNNNNNNNNNNNNNNNNNNNNNNNNNNNNNNNNNNNNNNNNNNNNNNNNNNNNNNNNNNNNNNNNNNNNNNNNNNNNNNNNNNNNNNNNNNNNNNNNNNNNNNNNNNNNNNNNNNNNNNNNNNNNNNNNNNNNNNNNNNNNNNNNNNNNNNNNNNNNNNNNNNNNNNNNNNNNNNNNNNNNNNNNNNNNNNNNNNNNNNNNNNNNNNNNNNNNNNNNNNNNNNNNNNNNNNNNNNNNNNNNNNNNNNNNNNNNNNNNNNNNNNNNNNNNNNNNNNNNNNNNNNNNNNNNNNNNNNNNNNNNNNNNNNNNNNNNNNNNNNNNNNNNNNNNNNNNNNNNNNNNNNNNNNNNNNNNNNNNNNNNNNNNNNNNNNNNNNNNNNNNNNNNNNNNNNNNNNNNNNNNNNNNNNNNNNNNNNNNNNNNNNNNNNNNNNNNNNNNNNNNNNNNNNNNNNNNNNNNNNNNNNNNNNNNNNNNNNNNNNNNNNNNNNNNNNNNNNNNNNNNNNNNNNNNNNNNNNNNNNNNNNNNNNNNNNNNNNNNNNNNNNNNNNNNNNNNNNNNNNNNNNNNNNNNNNNNNNNNNNNNNNNNNNNNNNNNNNNNNNNNNNNNNNNNNNNNNNNNNNNNNNNNNNNNNNNNNNNNNNNNNNNNNNNNNNNNNNNNNNNNNNNNNNNNNNNNNNNNNNNNNNNNNNNNNNNNNNNNNNNNNNNNNNNNNNNNNNNNNNNNNNNNNNNNNNNNNNCUUCCUCCACUGCUCUCCUCCUUUGCCACAUAAGCCUUUCCAUGAGUAGGCUUCCUCACUUCAUCGUCUUCUGAGUCGGUUGACCAAACUUCCACGCUACCGAACUCGUCAUCAGCAACCGAACCCUGCACAAUUAGAGCAUUCAUGGAAGGGUUAGCGGUAGACUUCUUCUUUCUCAUCUCAUCAAGCCUUUUCUGCAACAAGGCUUCCUCAUCCUUUUCAUCAUCCUUUUCAGCCAUCAUUUUAAGGACACAAUCUUUAGCAUAGUGGUUUUUCCCACUACAGUAGUAACAUCUUACUCCAGAAUUACCAUCCGCCUUUGGUUCCUUCUUGGGCUCUUCAACCUUCGGUUCAUUGUUAACCUUUUCUGAACUAUAACUCCCCUGCCAGUUUUGGUUUUUGUUGUUGGGGAAUCUCUUCUUUAUGAACCUCUUGGGGUUAGACACCAUCAUAGCAUAAUCCUCAGACGUGAGGUCAUACUCCUCCAAGUUGAGAUCUUCAUCCUCCAUCACAACUUUACUUUUUGACAGGAGGGCCAGCGAACCAAGGCUUGAAACAACGUUCUUUUCCUGCAGCACAAUCUUCUCCUGGGACUUGAGAAUACCCACCAGUUUCGCCAAAGAGUAUGAUUUAAACUGCUCAUGGGCUUUAACUGUUGACACCACUGCUCUCCAUUCUGACCUUAGACCAUUUAAGAACGUAACCUUCUGCUCGAUAAGCUUCCUUUCGAUGUCAUGUUUGAUCAUCCUGCUGAGAAGAUGAUUGAAGCGAUCGAACGUCUGGGUCACUGUUUCUUCGGCUCCUUGCCUGAAUUCUCCAAACUCAGAUAAGAGCAAGGUUUGGAUAGAAUGUUCAAGAUCCUCGUCUGUAGAGUACAGUUCACGAAGUCUAUCCCAAACUUCCUUUGCCGUUGUGCAUGAGCUGACCAACCUGAAGGUGUCGGACUGAAGGGCGAAUCUUAUCAAUCUUAACGCCUUGAUAUUGCACUGGAAUUUAUCCUUUUCAUCUUGCGCAAUAUCUUUAACAUCCUUCAGCAGAUCAUUGUACUCCUUUUGAGUUUUAAUAAUCCUGGACGUUGCAGAAUGAGAAAAAGGUCCAUUAAUGAUUGCUUCCCAUAUGAGGUAUCCAUUAUCCUCAGAUCCUAUCACGUAGUCUUCGAAGUGAUGCGCCCAGACUUCAUAGUCAUGGGUAUAUAGGAUUGGAAUCUUCGUGGUUGAACCGAUGCUGUUGGAAAUAUUGAUGGGAUUUGAUUGCGACUCGUCCAUUAUGGUCGAAAAACCUGUUCAAAGAUCAGACUUUGUAAUAAAGCAGAUUAGGGCAAAACAAUAAAUAUCAAGAUACGUCAAUAAUGAGAUGACGGCUCAAUAAAUAUCAGUAAUUGCGGAAAAACCCUAAUUGAAACCUUUUCACAGAAAAGAUGUGUAUCGAUUACACAGCCUCCUGCUCUGAUACCAAUUGAUGAGAUUAAAACUUUAAUCUUUGAAGAUCGAUUAGAUCUUAAACAGGUAAGUAAAUAUAAAACAACAAGAACACGAAAAUAAGAACAAGUCAAGAAUGAAUCAAACGUAUCGAAUGAUUAAAACAAAACACUCAGAAGAGAUCGAUUAAGAACAUCAACUGUAGAGGAUUACUAGGUUUACAAGAACGAUAAAGAAAGAAAACGUAAUACUAUCAUAAUGCUAUCGUUUUCUCUAGAUCGUUUUCCUAAUAUGCAUGCAAGCAUAUACUUAUAUAAUAAACCUAACGGGCUCUCGGUUGGACAGGCCCAAACCGGAGUACAAAAUAAAUAGACAAAUAGCCGGGCCCAAAGACGCAACCCUUGAACGAAUCUUCAACCCAACACUAUUUAUUGCAGAUGUGGUUCUUGACCUAUACAAAAUGGCUUAAAAAUUUUGGACUUAACUUGUAACUUUGACUAAAUCACAGGGACUAUAUCCACUGUAAAAAGCAAAGUUAUGAUAAAAAUCCAAAUUUUGGAAUUUUAAGAAAAACACAGGGACCAAAUGUGUAAUUUUAUCUUGUCAUAAUGAAAAUUUUCUUGGUUGUAACAUGUAAGUAAAAUUUGUGAACUAAAUAAUUUGGAGAAAUAAAAAAUUAGAUAGAAAGAGGAUUAUACGUAUCAAAUUGUGCUUGGCUUUCACUAUAAAGUGAAGGACAGUUUCGAAAUGUUUAAUAAAAUUAGAUUACCUGCUCUGCUUCCCCAAAGAUAUGUUCUCCAGCAGCUUCCCAAACCUCCUUUUAAUCUUCCAAAAAACCAUAACCAACUCUCCUUAAACCUGCAAUCAGAAAAAAUCAAUGAACUUUUCUACGAAUCUAAUAAUAAACAAAUCUAUUAAAAAUCAGAACUGACCAGACGUUCAUGGAGUCGCAGUCCGUUGUUUUAAGUUAAGCUCAAGACACGGAGACUGAAACAAUCAAAUCUCUUGGAACAGAAAAGGUAAGAGUGUGAUCGAUAACGGAGGCGUAACCUGUUGGAAGCCACAAAGAAGCAUCUUUUCCAUCAAAAACUUCAAAACCUGCAUAGUAUAAUAAAUGUUUAAUCAUCAAUAAGCUGAGACACUUAACAGAGAGCUAACUUUGUUCAGACAAUAAAAUAUGAAACACAAACACAUACAAAAAGGGUGAAAAUCUUACUCGGUUUCAGGGGCUGCAACACUGUAAUAACAUUUUUGGCUGCUAACACCUCCAACAAUUGGAAUAUGAAUCUCUUGAUUGAAAUGUAGUGUACUUGAAGUGCUAUUAGACCUGUUUAAAAAAAUCAGUUUAAUAAUGUUUAAAUAAGAUUAAAAAACGGGUCUUGUGCAGAAAUACUCCAUAGUCAAUUUAAAAAAGGUCCCUAUGGCAAAAAAAUUACCAUGAAUUUCUAGUUUCACCCUUGACAACGUAUAUGUUGCCAAUCAACUGGUAAAAGGGGCUAAUUAGAAGAAACAAUUCAUUCAAAAUCGUCGCAGAUAAUAUCUUGAGAUUGUAACUAAUAGAAAUGGGAUGAACUUUUUGGGAACAUAGUAUAUAAUUUUGGAUAAAAUUAUGAUUCUGAUUCAAGGUCAAGUUCUGCUCUAAUCAAGAUAAGAAAGUAAAGGAAAUCUUUGUGAAAAGGGUAUAACAAUCCAUUUGUUUUAUUGUUAAAAAGGGAAUUAUAAAUUCAUACGGAAUACCAUGGAUAGUUAGAAACAAAAACCUUUAUUUUGUUGCUUUUUUUUUCCAAGCCCUGUUCUUCGUAUUUAACUAUAAGAAAUCGAUUCUCCUGCAAGGAGGAAAAACACAUUAGAAGCCUCAUUAGAGCAAACAACAAAUUAGUCAAUGAAAAAUUGAAGAAAGAUUCAAGAUUGCAGGAGAAAGAUGCAAGCCUCAGUACACCUUUGUUGCCCUAGUCCACCUGAGUAGCAUGUAGGUAAUUGGUCAACAGACCAUAAAAUUAUAAUGAUGUUGAGAUAAUUUAAUCGGAUUGAUUGUCCUAUAGUGAAUUGAACCUUUUUGUACAAACGAUUACAAAACAUCAAAAAUAAAAACCCCUAAACCAGAUUUAACCGGCAGUGUGAGAGUGAUUUACCGUUGCAUGUUUUUUGCCAAGACAUCUAUAUGAUCUGACUCGAAGAACAACUGAAAUCUUUGAAGAAAGCUUUAAAAAGAAAGGGAAUCAAAGACCAUAUAACAGGGGAGAAGCAGCACGAAAGCAAAACUACUGCCUGAAGAGCAACCAUCAAUUCAUGAGUCCAAACCAUUGAUAGACAAAACUAAACCAAUGACAUAACAGAUGGAGAGAAAAUCCAUGUAAUCAUCUAAAAAUAAAAUGAAGAUAAAAGUGAAUAUGAAGGAAAGGUCAUAGAAAGAACCGAAAAUAGGGUUGAAGUUCAAUACCUGAACCGAUUGCAGGUGUGGGUGCUAUCUAGGGGUCGAGUGCGUCGAUACAUCGAUGUUAUCUAGGAGGUGGAAGUAGUGACUGUGAAGAUGAGCAAUAGGCGUCGACCUAUUCGGUUGAUCGGAAGCCAGAAAGUGGAAUUGAUAAAAGAAUAGUUUUAAUGAUCUCCUUCAUAAUCGAUCAACCUAGGGCCUCCGGGAAUAGACGCCUGCGAGCCUUUCUUUCCUUCCCCUCGCGAAUCGCCAACCACCGUCAAAACCCCAAAUCAGAUAAGCCUUCGUUCGAUCAACUCUACCUUGCAAUUCAGGUAGUCUUCUAUCUUGCUAAUAUCAAGGUCCUUGUUCAAAAGUUGGGUGAAACCAAAAAAACAACACAAACUCAAAGUCUAAGCUACUUGAAAUUCGAAAAUAGAGGCGAGAUACCUGGAAUUCGGAAGUCGUCGCUGAAACCCCUUUCAAAUUCGUCGAAACCUACAUAAGAAUGAAAUGAAAUUAGACCCAGCUAGCCGAUGCAAAACCGGAACAAAGCAGAGUGUUGUAACCAAGAAACAAUGAAGCGGUGGGGGAAGUGGUGGGUUUCUUGGACCGGUGGCGGAAGCGGCGAUGACAUGAAGCGUUGGUGGAGCGAUGACGGUGAGGUGUUGGGAGUCAACUACGCAUCAGUGUGACACGUUGGGCAAUUAACACAAAUCAGAUAUUGUUGAAUGGGUGAUGAGAAAGCGGGUGGGGGGAAGGCAGAACGAGUGGGGGAGACGUGGGAAUGACACAUAUCAGCCCCAUCCUUAUCUUUACACCACUGCUAAUAAUUCAAGGGACCAAAUUGUCAAUACAACAAACUUUUGUGCAAAAAAUCUGAACCAGUAAAAAUAUGAAAACUUAUGGGCCACUUUUGCCAAAAGACCAGCAUGUUUACUAUUCAUGAAUGUGGUCAUCUUUAAUAUNUUCUUAAUUUGUGAGAACAAUACACAACUGGGAAAACAUGUUUUCUCCUAUAGAAAUUUAUCCCCCCGAAAAUAUUGACUGUAUAUCAAUGAAAUACCAAUAGUAAAAAGACCAUAAAUUAGCAAGGGAUAGAUAAACUGUGGGAAACCAUUAGAAUUAGUGAAGAAAAUGUUAAUUUUUGGAUUAGUUAUCAGUUGAAAUAACAUUAUCUUAUACAAAUAAUUGUGUUUCUCAAGACUAGUCAUCAUGAGCUCUUAAAUAACACAUUUUGACUAUUUGUAAAAUAGUAAGUCUCAUUCAAUUAUUUCUUCGAUUUCUUAAAUUGUAUAUUAUGUCAUCCAGUAAUUAAAUGAAUGUUCAUGUUUAUAUGUUUUAUUUUCUAACAUUUUUUUCUUUCAAAUAAGAUAGUUAUUACGAUAUUAUUCGCGAUUUUGGUUUAUGCUAGACGUAAAAAAACUAUAAUGCCCUUAUAUCAUUAUUUUUCAAUUAAUUUAAUAUUUUGUUUAUUUAUAAUUAUAGAAAAAAUAUGGCCAACCUGUAUAUAACACAUCUCUCACAUCUUGCCACUCUCACAUCCCACUUAUGGAGAAUCAGCCAAUUCUCUACAACAAUUCAACUAAUGAUGCUGAGAUACCGUGCAAGAAGAAGAUAGUAAGAGUGAACCCAUUUGGAAAAGAGUCAUUUAUGGUGUACAAGGAUAAACACAGAGUAGAUUCUGGCAUCAUUUCCCUGAUGAAAGCCAGAUAAUGUUUGUCUAAAGGAUGCACAUCAUACUUGGUAUUUGUAAUCAAUGUAAAGAAGGAGAAGAAGGAGAUACAAAGAAUAACAGUGGUGUGUGACUAUCCAGAAGUCUUCCCCGAGGAUCUUCCUAGAUUGCCCCUGAUAGACAAGUAGAUUUUCGAAUAAACUUGUUACCAGGAUCAACACCAAUAGCGAAAGCACAUAUUCAAUCUUGGCAACAAAAUCUUCAAUCCGAAUAGAUGAGCCAACUCAUAGUCGCGUCGACAAAAUUCCGCGACAUAAUCUUUGAGGAAGCUCAGAGCAGCAUGGUAAGCACCCAUGCUGAUAUCAUCAUUUUGGAGUCCUCGAAAGUGAGCAGCUAAAGUGAGAAUAUCAUUCAGAUUCAUUACCGGGAUGUCAACAUCAGUGAUGGUUUUAUAAGUUGGUUUGUUUCUAACAACAUGGUACCGGAAUAGUGGACAACUGAGUUCGAAUUUAAAGAGGACCUUCCUUCCGUACCCAUAAAUCUUUGUAAUCUUCUUCCUCGUCCAUACUUCCUUUAGGGGAGGUGCAUUAUUGGCAUAGAAAGUGUUUAACCUUUCUCGCUCUAUCCGGAUGGUGACCUCUGGAUUGUCAUUGGGAUGGAGAGUAGCGAAUUUGAUGUAAAAUUUGCUGAAGGGAGAGAGUGGAAGAUCAAGUUGUUCGGAAUCAUCGAUAGGAAUGUCAUAGUACAUAAUGGGUACUAUAUCGACAUCCUUAAGAAUACCUUCACGGUAGAGAGGAAAAAUGCCAUGCAUCGGAUCAAAAUUAUCUUUGAGCGCUUGGAUCUGGAUGUUGUCCUCUAAAGCUUUGUUAAUUUCAUCCCGAGACUAUCCAAGUUUUCGCUUUGGUGGAGGUCCGGAUUCCUUGAUAGGCUUCUUACCUUUGUCUUUGCCUUUGUUUAGGACGGAGAUCACAUGCAACAUGUUCUCGUCCAUAGUGAUCUUGGUAGGGGAGGAUGGAAGAGGUUCUCCCGGAAUGUCGUCUGGGGUCCGGAGAGGAGAACCUUCAUCUAUUUGAGCAAUUUUUGGCUCAGGAAUUGGUGGCAACAUAGAAGGAGUGGCUCGGAAGGCUUGAGCGGUAAGGAAAGUUUUGUCCUUGGCCAUUUGAAUUCCCCUUUGAAGAACAUCAGGCAAAGAAGAUGGCCAAGAAACUACAGACCAAAUUCUUUGCUCUUCCUCAGUCAUUGGCUUUAGGAAAAGCUUCCGUGGAGCUUCAAGAGCAAGUACUCCCUUUGUGACAUAUUGUUUUUCUUCACUGUAUUCAUCAUCAUCAUUGUUCCCUAGAAGUCCGGAAAGAAUUUGGACUUCAUCAUCGGAAACAAUAUCUUCAUCUCGGAGUUGAAAAACCGAGGCAAACUUCCAAGGUUGACUUGGACCUUCUCCUCCUCUUGCAUCGGUGGCCUUAUGAACCGGUGCAAGUGUGAAAAAUUCCUUCAAAUCAUCAAAUUUAUCAGACACCUUUUGAAGACCGGUGUUGAGUUGACGAGUGAGAGAAUCAUAAGCUUCGGAAGUUGGCACUUGGGAGGAGAGAUGAUCAAAUAGAUAUCCAAGGAUAACAAGCAUCUCAUCAAACUUGUGAUUCGGAACAUCAACAAUGUUCCAAGUGGAUCAGAGCAAUUUGAUGAGAACUUGCUGGAUGAUCAAGUUCAUUUCGUCUUUCUUCUUAAUUUCCUUCUCCAACCUCUGAAUCUGCUUCUCAUAGUGAACAUGGGUCUGCCUGAUGAGAUCAUUGGUAGCAACAACCAAAUCAUCAUGGACCUUGAGCAUUGUGGGGAUGGUGUUGAGAUAGUGCUAAACUGAAGCAUCAUAUUUUGCUUCAACUUCUUCGAUUGAAUGUUUGAGUCGUAUGGAGAUCAGUUGAUCUAGUUGAGCUUCUCUUUCAGCCACGGAAGGUCCGAACUGAUUUGAUAAGGACUGGAGAAUGGCGUCUAGCUUGGAGUCUAGUCCGGAAACCUUUGUAUCAAUCUUGGUGUUUAGCUUGGCCACAGAAGUCUUGAGAGCGGCGACCUUCUUCAUUGUGUAACAUCCGGAAAUUUCAGGUAUUAUAUUUAUUCUUUUUAUUUUGGAGCUUUGAGGAAGAACUCGGCGAGUUGGUGCGCAGACUCGCCGAGUAGAGACGCGAUUUCUCAUCCGGAUUAAUGAGUUGACUCGACGAGUCGCAAUGGUGGACUCGGCGAGUCAGCGAUGUUUAAUGAAACCUUAAUUUCUCGGGUUUGGGGCCUAUUUAAAGGGCCUUAUAGCCGUCAUUUGUGCUCACUAGCCCCCAGAGUGAAACCCUAGUGCAUGUGAGCGUGUGGAGUGAGAGAAGGAGCCAUUAUCAACCAUUGGAGGUGUUGUUUAGUUGGGAAGGGAAGUUUUAGCCAAGAGGAAGCAAGAGGAUCAACUUCCUGAAGAUCUAAGGUCCAGAACAUCACGUUUGAGGUACGAUUUUCAAUCCAUUUUCUGUUAAGGUGAUGUUCAUGUUGAUUUAGGGCUUAUUGAGCCUUUUUAUGGCUAGAUCUAGUGCUCCCUUGGUCCCUUAAGCGAGUUAGGUUAUGGAUCUGGACGCUUGGAGGUCCAGAGAGUCCUUUUGUCCAAGCUUUUUAUGAAUCCAUGGAGGUUUUGGUUUGGGAUCUUUGUGCUUGAGGUCAAAACACCAUUGAUGAGUCAUUAGAUGUGUUAUGAGCGCCAAGACAUGAACUUUACGUGAUAAAUAAGCUUCGAAGGACUGGAUCUAUGAGUUAGUGGAUUGGAUCUGACCUCAGAAGGUCGUUUGGGAUUGUGCAUGGAAUGCACUCGCCGAGUCCAUUGCCAGACUCGACGAGUUGGUGCGGGUUGUUCAGUGAUUUCGAACCAGGGGUUCAGUAACCGAGUCGAGUGAGUGACUCGGUGAGUCAGAAGGGACUCAGAGGAAUCGGGUCCCCGUAGAGACUCGGCGAGUCCACACUAGACUCGGCGAGUUGAGUUGACCGUUGACUGUUGACCAAGAGUUGACCGAUGUUGACUCGAUAGGGUUAGUCAACCUUAGUUGGGAAAGUGUUAAUUAGCGAUGUAUUGUGUUAUAGGAGGACUAUAGCUCGGGAGAUCGAGCACUAGUGAUUUCAGGGAUUUACGAGUUACCGAGAUACGCGAGGUGAGUCUUCUCACUAUACUUUACCUUGAGUAGGUAAAUAGAGUUAUGUGAUGCAGUGGUUGUAUGCUAUAUAUGUGUUAUGUGUUGCACUGCAUUCUUCUAUGUGAUUUAUGCUGUACAUGUUUAUCAGAGUUAGAACCUGAGGGUUCACAGAGUUUGGGUGCACGGACCCACAGAGUUAUAGCCUCGAGUGGCUAAUAUGUGUUAUAUGUGGGAUUUUGGGGAACUCACUAAGCUUUGUGCUUACAGUGUUUUGUGUUAUGUGUUUCAGGUACUAGUAAGGAUCGCGGGAAGGCGCCGGCUUGAUCAGUACACACACUGGAUUUUAUGAUACGAGAUCUUGGGAUAUUGUUGUAUGUUAUACAUUGAGUUUCAAACAAUGAUGUUUUUAUGAUUUACAAAUGAAUUAUGUUUUUAUAAAUGAGAAAAAUUGUUUUGGAAAUUUACGGUGUUACACAUUGUUUCUGAAACAUUGGAUUGAAUAUCCAAAAGAGCAAACAGAUCAAUAUGAUUUCCUGCUGAGGAUCCGUUGUCUGAGCUGGAAGGUUGAGGAUUGUGUUUCGGAGAUGCCGGAUUGAUUGGAGUGAAAGAAGGACUAGGUUUUUUGGUAGUUGCAUCAUCAUGGGGUUUGUGCGUUGAAUCUGAUUCAUUCUGAGUGGAAGAUGGGGAUGCGAAAUCAAAAGCAGGCUUGGACGAAGAUUGCUUUGAGUGAAGUUGAAGUGAGGAAAACAUAUUAGCAUCAGCAACGUGUGCAACAUCUGUGGUCAACAACACCUCUUCGGAAAUUUCAUCAUCCGAAGAUGAAGGAUUGGAAGCAUGAGGAUGAGACUUUGGAGUUUCUCCGGAUGUGAACUCAAGAUCAGCAAGCUUAUCUGAAUGAGAAACAUAAGGAAUGUUGCUAUGAAUGGCCCGGUUUUGCAUGAAGAUGAGAGUGGCUUCAACUUGGGAUCUUGUAAGUUUCGGAUGCCUAGAGUGUCACCUGUUCACAAAAUCUUCCCACACAAGGAUCAUUAGUUCCUGGUCGUCCUGUACCCUUACCAGGUAUCAGACCGGUUGAUGCACCUAAGGUUGGAAGGACAACUCCAGCCUCGAAAUGCUUGGGGUUCGGAAUAGGGGUUCUAGAGUGUGUGCGUGUAGAAGGAGUUGGGAUAGCAAAUGUGACACGUGGGUUUGUUCCCGGGGCAAGGAACUUUGUUCAGCACCGACAUUAUCUUUUUGAGAAGGUGAUGGUGGAUUAUGUGUAGUCUCCUCGUGACUGUGUGCCUUUGUUUUUGAAACAUCGAGGAGUACCUUGGAUGAGUGGGUAGGAGGGGCGUUCGGAAGGCCAGAGUCAGCCUGAAUACCAUGAGUUCCUUCUUGUUGAGAGGAAAAACUGACUUUGGUUCUCUUUUUAGGCUUGAACUUAGAAGGAGAAGUCUUCCUUUUGGCAGACUUUUUAAUUUUUGCUCCGGACACAGAAGGAUUGACCUCUUUCGGAGUGGGAUCAACAGAGACUGGGGCAGGUUGUGUUGGCUCAAACAUAGUCGAAGUCUCUAAAUGAUGUUUCAGAUAAAUGGAAUCGAAAGGAAUUAGGGCCAACAUAUGGUCCAGAAGACGUCUAACGGGAAAAAAAGAAGAUUGGUCCGGAAUUCUAUAAUGCUUGACAAUUUUAAAGGUUAGAUAUACCUCCUUCAGAAUGGUGGCAAUAGGAAUGGGUUCGGACCUUUCUCUAUAGAGUUGCUGAAUUGUCAAAGCCCAGAACCUAGAGCUUGAAAUCUCAUUGGUAUUCCUUUUGAUUGCGAAUUUCCAGAAGUCCUGCCAUAGCACCUCCGGAAGAUCGACAACAUUGUUCCGUCCGGAAUAGAUGUUGUACACCACUUAUAGCUAGUCCUUUCUUAGGGUAUCCAUACCACCAUGAUUUCCGGACUGCCCUCGAAUGAUGAAGUGCAUAAGGAUGGUCCACAGUCCGAAAACGACUGAUUUCUAGAAAGACCUUGGCCUUGUAAUCCUGGUUGUACCCAAUAUGGUUCAAGAAUAGUUGAAAUUCUUCUGCAUAGGGUACUUGUACCUUAAAACCCUUGGGGGUUUCUUUUACACCAAUAGCCUUAAGAAAUGCCGAUUUGUGGAUGGGCACGAUCCUAUCACCCGUGAUUUUGAUUUCGAGAACACCAUUGUCGAUUUUGAUUCUUGUGAAAGAGGUGUGUAAGAGACUGAGUGGUACAAGGGGGUCUGGGAUUUUGGUGAGAGUGAUGGAUAUGGGAUGAUUUGCGAUGAACUCAAUCAUCACCCUAAUGGGUUCAUCGAAAUCCAGAUGAUUCAUCGAGAAAAAUUGGGUCGUAUCCCUAAUAAACGACUCAGGUGAUUGAGAAAAGGAUGAACCUUUGGAUGAAUUCUUCUUAGGGACAAUCUUCUUUGGUGAUGAAGCAAUUACAAGCAGUUGCUCAGUUGAAGAUUGGGACGCCAUUGAAGAGAUGUUAUGAGAGCUUCAAGAACACGAUGAACACAAAGAUUUUUGAAGUUUUAUAGAGUUUGAGCAUGUAAGGAGGUAAAAGAGGGUUUAGGAAGGUUUAUAUAGGUAAUUGAAAUAGGUUGGGUUAAGAAAGGUAAUGAUGAGGAUCCGAAGCCAAACCGGGUGGCAUUUAAUGAAUAACCGUUUUUGGUAGUGAGUUGAAUUGGGAAAGAAAAGGUAGGUGUAACGCCCUAAAUCAGGUAUGACUUGAAAACCCUCGAUGAUUUUCAACAUUGGCACCAAUGGUCCCUUGGAUUACGCCGGGUGUACUCAUGGGUACGCUUAGCGUACUCUGCAUAAGUGAUCGCGGGGACAUCUUGCGUAAGCGGGGCGUAUGUAAGGUUACGUCGGGCGUACAAAAUUGAAGGCCAAAACCCUAAAUCCGGACUUGACCCCCUAUUUAAACACCUUUUAACCUCUUGGACCAAACCCUAUAAGCGUCUUUAGCCCCAUUUCGUCUACUUUUAGCUGAGUUUGUGUGAGAGUUUGAGCUUAAGAAGAAGGUUUUGGUGGCCAUUUUGGAGUCCUUUCAAGAAGGAGAGUUGCUAGGCAAACUUGGGACGAUUUGGUGCCUCAAGAAUCUGCAUUGUGGUCAUCUUACAAGACUUAUGGAGGUAAAAAGCUUGCACCUUUCCAUCUAAAUACUUAGAUCUAGCUAGGAUUUUCUAGUUUAGUCCCUUUGGUUGAUUUUGGACUUUUUUUUUGGUGAGUUAAGCAACUCCAUGAGAUAGGAAUGACAGAUCUGAGGUCCCUUGGUCAUUUAGAAGCAUAAAAAUGGAGUCUUGGUGGAUGUAUUAGUCUCAUGCAUGGGUUAAAGACCUUGGAAAGGUCUUAAUGGAGAUGUUGGAAGUUUAUGAGGCAUGCAAGGGCAUAAAGUUGGCAACUUCAUGCCUUAGGACGUUUUAACAAGCCUAGAUCUGACUUUUGGACAUGAAAGAAUCGAACAUUAAGCACUUAAUGGAGGAAGUGCUUAAUCUGGUCGUACGUUGGGCGUAGCAUGUUGUACGCAUCGCGUAGUCCCCAAACCCUCAGUAUGCAGCGCGUACCAGGAUGGUGCGCCGAGCGUACGCAGCACAGUUGGGCCUUAAUCUGUUUUGGGCCUUUGAGUCUGUGGGUCUCAUUUGGUUAUAGGGCUUGGUUGUAUUCUAUGAGUUAUAGGCUUUUGAUGUGUUUUAGCCAUAAGAACAUCCUAUGUGAUCAUACAAACCCUAAUGCUUGGAUCUAGGUUUCUCUAUUGUACAUGCAAUGUAUCCAAGACUUACAAUCUUAGAUCUAACAUAUUAUAAACUGAAAUUAGGGUUUAGAGAAUUACCUUUGAUUGUUAUGUAGCAAUAACAAUCUCAAAUCCUCCUUGUAAUGUGUCACACCCCAAAGCCGAGAACGGCGGAAUACGUUCUGGGGUGGAGGACGUCAUGUACAAUAUCAUAACAACUGCAUAAUAGUAAAAACAAGAGACAACAACCAUUUCAUUUAUAUAGUAAGUUUAAUUACAAGCGUGUUCUGUAUAGUUUAAUAGACACCAAAAGUAUAACAAAAUAAAAGAUGGGUCUUGUAUGUGCUCCAUCUUCUCCAAAAGCUACACCAGUACCUGUCUAUCUUUGACCUGAGGAUACAAGUUAUUUUGAAAACGAGUAUCAGCAUAAAGCUGGUGAGUUCAUAAGAAUUUAGUGUCGUUGCUUGUGUAAAAGAGUUUUAUGAAUAUGUAAUAUAAAAACUAAAACUUAUGUUUGCGAGUAGUAGAAAUCCUUAGAAAAUCCUAUAUUUUCCAGAAAUGUACAUUUGUAAGUUAAAUCCUUUGAGUGUGUAAAAGUAUUAUCAUUGAAACCUUCAGUUAUAAAAGUACAGUAAUAAAUCUCAUUUAAGUAACAUAGCUGAAGAAAUGUUAUGCCUGCUAACAGUAGUAGUGGUGCAACUUCAGUUAGUAAUAGAUAUUUAUUUACUUUGGGAUGUUAGCUUAGACUUUAAGUCUUAGUGUAUUUAUUUGGAUAUAGGUGUAACCCUUCAUGUAACCAACUGUAUGAGAAUAGAGAGUCCGAUGACCUUCCCGGUCAUACAUAGUGUAGUGAUUUAGUGCCACCCCUGUGCCUGGUCGGCUCAAACUGUAGUUAACAGUCGGGAUGUAAUAGCGUCCGUCCUGUAUAGAUCUAUACAUGUAGUGCUGCUUUUCUUUCGGGAAACCCUGGUCACAUGGUGUAAGCGCGGUAGAGUGCCUUAUAGAGGGAUAGUGUAUUUUACUCUGGAUUAGUGUAUUCUCUUGUGUUAUAGUAUAGUAGAGUUUUAGUAUAGUACAUAGAGUGUUCUCUUAUACGUGCAUUAACUUGUAAUAAUAGUGGUUAUAGUGAGUAUAAUAGUAGUAGAGGUAACGAGCAGUAGUCUUAACUAUACCUAUUAUAGUUAACUAGAGUGUAUGAUUUCAUGCCUUUGAAUAACAAAGGUAUUGCAUAAGAUGAAGACUUUCAUAUCUAACACAAAUAUAUAUGAUAUAUAACUAAGAAAUCAACGACAGUCGGACGGACAACAGAUACCCUAAGACCACAUCAAACAAGAAUAGGAAAUAAGGUGAGCUAUCGGUCCUAAGUCCUUCAAGUCUUACUUAUAUAAAUAUAUUAGUGUAGAUAUAUUUUAAAAGAAAAGUAGUUUAAAUACAGUUUGAAAAUAGUUUAACAACAAUUUAACCUUAAAAUGCAUUUGAUAAUUAUUUAAAACAGUUUUAUUGAUAAGUAGCUAAAAGUAUAGAAAAAUCCCUUUUUGAUGGUAAGUUAUGAAUCACAUAUGAUUUGAUAAUAAAACUUGUAGCGUUAUACUUGUAUACCCCCUAAAACAUGUAAAAACAUUUGAAAAGGUUCAUUAAGGGGUAUGAACUCACCUGCAAUAAGUAGAUCGGGUGGAAGUGUCGGACGAGCGUUUGGUGUCAAGUAAAGACUUGUACACCCUUUAUGACCCUAGUAACAUAUGAAGACAUAUGUUUACAAGUAAUUAGUGAUUUAAACUCUAAUUAAACACAUAUAGAUAUCCUAAUGUGAAUAGAAGUUCUAUGGUUGAGUGCUAGAAGGCUAAUGGGUUGCAAGGAAGGAGUUUUAGGCCUCACUAUGGAGUUUACUCCUCCUAAACCCACCUUUGGUGAGUUUACGGCUGGGAGACCACCUUCCCCAUGAGUUUACGGCCGUAAACUCAUGGGAGGAAUGUAAUUGAGUGAUUUCAAGACUCUUGUGGUUCUAGAAGUGAUUCUAAGGCAAUAUACAAGGCUAUAGGGGUGUUUAAGGUUCCAAAAGAGUACUCCAUUGGAGUUUAUGGUCCUAGGACCACUCCUUGGGAGUUUACGGUCGUAAGCCCCAUGGCUUAGGCCAUGAACUCUUGGGCACCUUCCAAUCUUCGAUUUUGAGGUCCUUGGCUCAUUCUUAACAAGUUCUAGUGAGGGUAUAAGGCUUUUUAGGGGUUUAAAGGUUCAUUUGGCAUGUUUAAAGGGAGUUUACGGUCUAAGCAUAUGCUUGGGCUGUAAACUCUUGUUUUCCCUUCAAAUGACAAGAUUUAGGUGUUCCAUGUCCGAAAUUGUAAGUCCCUAAGUCAUAUCUAAGCCUAAAUGUGGUUUGGAAAGGUUUUGGGCUUGAUUUGCAUGUUUAUAGGGAGUUUACGGUCUAAGCAUAUGCUUGGGCCGUAAAACCUUUUUCAAGCCCCCAUACUUGUUGAUUCAUGACUCAAACACUUCUAGGUUAAAUCCAAAACUAGUUUCUAAGCCUAAAGGGGUGAAUUUGGGCAUUUUUGGCACCUUUUUAGGGGUUUAUGGCCUAAGGAGGUUCUUAGGCCGUAAACUCCUUUUCUUUGGCUUUCUUGAAUGAUUUUUGAGCUAUAACAACAAUCAAUGAUGUUUAGAACAAGUUAGGGUAAGGGAACUUACGUUUUGGAGGCGGAAACUUGCGGUUUUGGGAUGAAAUCAGACUUGAGGAGAGAGAGUAGAGAGAGAAAGAGUGUCUAGUGUGGUAAAAAGGUCCUAAGGAGUGUCCACCCACCUUUAUAUAGGGCUUGGGUGUUGUACCCGAUAUACGACUACCCAAUACUUAUGUUAAACGAGGUUUAAAGUUUUACCCGGUUAAAUGGUCGUAAUUAAAAAUAAACUUUUUCCAACUAAAUGGAAAAGUAAUUUACGUGUUUUUUUUAAUUUAUUUCAUUACGAUGAUAAUAAGAUAAAAUGAAAAUAAAAUAAAACAUUUAUUGAUUUGUCUACCCAAAUUAACAGAACUUUUAUAAAAUAGAAUAUUCUAUUAACGGAAACGGGUUAUAACGGCGGAAUAAAUUUUGGGUUGUCACAUAAUGACUUUAGAAAGCUUAGAGUCACAAUUGUCACUCCUCUAAUGGCUCACAAACACCAAGAGCAAGAGGAUGAAGAAUAGGGAGAGAGGAGGCUGCCCAAAACGUCCAGAAACCCUAGUGGAAAUCUUAGCCCCGUUUUUGGGGUUUAAGGGUACUAUAUAUACAUGUAGGCUAUUAGGGUUUUCAACUAAGAAACCCUAAUUUGACUGCUUAAGCCCUAACCAGCCCAUGGACUCUUUUAGAAUAUCCCUUGGGCGAUUUCUAAUGGGUUUCCCCAUAGAAUUCACCCAACCUAUUAUUCCAAGGUAAUCCAUAGCCCAAAUGCAACUAUCUUAUAAUUAAAGUUCCAGUCCCUUAAAUUUAAUUAAUCUCUUUUAGCCAUAAAAUUAAUUAUCAAUUAAUUCUUGACCAAUAUUAAUUAAACAAUAUGAUUUCUCCUUUAAUAUAUUAUUCUCAUAAUAUAUUAAUAAAUCAUAAUUAAUCCUUUCUCUCCAUAAUUCAUCCUAUCAAGUUUCUUUGGUGAAGGCAACCCAAAAGGACCAUGCACCAUCGGGUCAAGUACAUACCAAAAUAGUUAUGGACUUAGACACUAAUCCAACAGUCUCCCACUUGGAUAAGUCAAAUAACUAUUCUGCGUAUGACUUCAGAUCCUGAUUUGCAAUCGUAGCUUUCAAAAUCCGCUUUGAACUUUGAUCUUAUCAGAUCCACGUACUUUAGAUAAGGGAUCAUAUAUUCCUCCAUUAUAGAUAUCGUAUAGACUGAGACAUGGAUUUAAAUCAUUCUCUCUGUCUAAGUAUUGUUUCCCGAUUUCUGAUUUAUGACGACUGACAACAUACUACAAUUGAACACAUCAAAUUAGUCCUGGCUUGGCCAAGCGUUUAGGUGCCAUCACUAAAUCAUCGAGGGUCCCACAGAUAUCGCUUUCCUCCUACUUUGGAUAAAAGGAACGGAUAAACUUUGAUUCAAUGCUUUCUUGCACUCACUCACCAAAUCACACACAAUAAUAUUGUGACAACCCGAAGUUGUUUCAUCGCUGUAACCCGUUCCGCUAGUAAAACCCGUCUUUAGCGAUUCGUUCUGAUUUCGUUUUUGGGCUAAGUUAUUUAAAUUUAUAUGUUUAUUAUAAUCUCAUGAGUGUCCAAACUCCUUGGAAACUCAUGUAACGGCCUAAAUCAUUAAUAUAAGGAAGGUAUAGGAGCUUACGGGCGUAAACUCCUAGUUUAGGGCCGUAAACUCCCUUUGAUGGUUCCUUUGGUGGUUUAACUCCUUCAUAUGCCUUAGAUUAAAUCCUAGCAACUUUCCCCAAGUGAUAUUUGACCAUUUAGCACCUUAAAACCCAUCAACCAUGAGUUCACGGCCGUGAACUCAUGUGGUCAUAGUCUUAGGGCCGUAAACUCCCUAAGGAGUUUACUCUUGAAGAGCAAACUCAUUAUCUAAGCCCUAUACGUCCGUAGAUGUCACCCGGGCCACUCCAAACACUUCAUUUGAAGUGUUUUCGCGUCUUGGAGUGUAUAAUCAUAUCUAAUUAGUAGUUCAAAUCCUAAUUAGAUACAAAUGUGUAUCUUUUCAUAUUACAUAGGAAUCUUGUGCGUUUGCAAGCCCCGAUCUGACGUUUAGGAUCCAAACUGACGCGUUCCUCAACCGGUGAGUUCAUACCCCUACCCUUUUUCAAUGUUUUUCAACGUUUUUAGGGGGGAAUACAAGCAAAAGUACAAGGAAAUCUUGUACUCAAACUUAUGAUUUUAUUUGAUCUAUUUCAUAUUUCGUAUGCUUUUAACACGAAAAAACUGUAUUAACCAAUCGUUCAACUUGCAGAGUAAACUGUCAUGUUAUUUGUGAAGCUCGUUUUAAAAUGUUAUAUUUUAUAUUUCACAAAUGAAUUUCCAUAUAAUUGUUGUUAAAAGCAUGAAUCUUAAAGCAUUAAAAUGUUCUUGAUAAAACUCCCCGUAGAUACGAGAGUGAAGGAAUAAUAACAUUAAACUUAGAACUUUACCACUCCACGUAGAUAGAGAGUGAAGGGAUAAUAACACACAGUUAGGACAGAACGAAUACGAAUACGAAUGCGAAUACGAAUAUGAAUAUGAAUACGAAUACGAAUAGGAAUAGGAAUAGGAAUAGGUAUACGAAUACGAAUACGAAUACGAAUAGGAAUAGGAAUAGGAAUAGGUAUACGAAUACGAAUACGAAAGCACGCCUUUGGAUGACGCCAAGACUUCGGAAAUACAGUUAGUGUACGCCUUGAGUGCCACCAGAGUUUCGAAAAUAAUUCGAAAGUACGCCUCUGGACAUCGACUGAGUUUCGAAAACAUAUGCCUUUGGAUGUCGACAAAGUUUUGAAGAUACGUCUAAUGUACUCUUUUGGAAAUCACCAGAACAUCAAAUAUACAAUUAAUGUACGUUUCUGAGUGUAUCCAAAUAUUCAAAAAUACAACUAAGUAUAGUAGAUAAUCGACAUUCGAGUGUAGGAUAACUAAGAUAUCAGAAUACCUAACUAAUACUAUAAGUAUGGUAGAUACUUGACAUCGAAACCCGAACUAAGAACUAACCGCAACGUUUUGGAAAAUAUGGGAUUUUCCUGGGAUAACAUAACAACUCGUAAACGAAUGAUGUAACGAAUGGAAAACUAAACUAAUAGGAAAAUAUGGGAUUUUCCUGGGAUAACAUAACUGCUCAUAAUCGAAUUGUGUAACGAAUAAUAACUAAACUGUUUUUAUAUAAGAAAAUAUGAGAUUUUCUUGAAUAACGUCUUUUUCAGAAAACCAAAGGGAACUCAUUCUUUUCAAAACUAAACUGCUUAUGAACUCACCAGCUUUAUGCUGAUUUUCAAUUUACUUGUAUUCUCAGGUCCACAUUAGACAGGUACAUCGUGAUCUUUUGGAGAAAACGGAGCGUAUAGAAGACUCGUCUUAACUUUUUUUCAUAUGAUAUAUAUGUAUAACCUUUGUAACUCUUUGUUUUCAACCAAUGUAAAUAUUUCUAUGUAAUGUAAUGUUUUGUGUUUACUAUGCUUACUAUGUACAUUGGUUGCGAUAUUCAUGACGUCCUCCGCCCCGGAACGUUUCCGUCUUCGGUUUCGGUGUGUGACAGAUUGGUAUCAGAGCCCUUGUUUAUAGUGAACUAGUAUACCAAACCUUACAUGGUAUAAGACUAUAAACACUAAGGGGCCCAAGUGCUCUGAAUUAAAAGUAUACUUUAUAAUAUAAGUAUUUUCAAAAGAAUACAAGUAUACCUAACCGUCGAAUCCGUAACUACAAGUAGAACAAAACAUAAGUAAAUGGGUGUUGUACGUUGCGGUUAAACCUGGGCAGUUAUGUAGUCGUGUGUAGGAUCAAUAUAGCAUGGCCAACUAUAUUCAUUCGAGACACGACCAACAUGUGCUUGGGAGUGAAUGUGGUAUGCAGCNAUGCUUAAAACUUACCCAAUACCCAAACAACGAGCCGUCGUUGCAGCGAAUCAUGAAAUACUAUGGGAGUCUUUCUCGAGCCAAAUCCAUUAUAGAAAUUUUCAUUCCAGCGUUGCUCCUCAAUCAUUCCUUUAGCGAUAGUUUAUCUGCUUUGAUAACUCUUUCCUGCUUUAUUGCUUAAUAAAAUUCUAUAUCUGUCUUAAUGAGAUAUCCCCUGUUCCAUAUCUCUUGAUUCAAUUCAAAGGACUUAUGAUCCUCUCUUUCCUAGCUAUUCUAGAUCAAGAUGCCUCCUAGGAAAAGACCCAGCUCAAAGAAUAACAACCCUCCACCACCACCACCUCCUCCUCAAUUUGAUCAUGUCGUGUUCCAGACAGCUGUUACUGCCGCAGUGGCAGCCACCAUGUCUCAAAUAAACCCCGGUGGUUCAGGAGGUGGUCUCCAACCCCAAAACCAGGAAGGUAGCCAGGGACACCGGAAGGAGUAUUCCUAUAAGGACUUUAUGAAUGCAAAACCCACAUUCUUCGAUGGCACAGGGGGUGUCAUUGCUUUAACUCGGUGGUUAGAGAAAAUCGAAUCUAUCUUCGAGAUCUGUGCCUGUUCAGAAUCUGACAAGGUGCAAUUCGCUGCCUGCAUAUUCACCGAUAAAGCUCUGACUUGGUGGAACGGCCGAGUCAAAUCCUUAACUUUACCUGUAGCAAAUGCUAUGGGUUGGGAAGGUAUGAAGGAACUUCUGUUCGCGGAAUACUGCCCUCGGGGUGAAAUACAAAAGCUGGAGCAUGAACUCUGGAACCUAAAGAUGAAGGGUUCCGAUAUCGCCGCCUACACAUCCAGAUUCGAUGACCUGGCAUUACUCUGUCCGGGAAUGGUUACCUCGGAGAGUAAGAAGGUUGAGAGGUUCAUCUGGGGAUUGACCCAGCCAACCAAAGGGAACGUUUUAGCUGCGAAGCCGGAUACCUAUGACAGCGCCAAAUGCUUAGCGCAAACCCUGAUCGACCAUAGCGAUGACCCAGAGGAAGCGGCCGCCACUCCUGAGCCAACAGAGAAGAGUGGUGAGAAAAGAAAGUUUUGGAAGAAGAAGAAGAAGUGUCAGUCUUCCCCGGAGUCCUCGAAGAAACAACAGAUAGUGGCAGUCCAUGCUGCCACUACCCCUGUUGCUGUUUCUGUUAUCGAUUCCUCAGCCCAAGCACCUAUCACCGGAUAUGCUGGUAUCCUUCUGUGAUGCAAUAGGUGCAGUUACCACCAUCAUAUCUGUGGCCCUUGUUGAGCAAAGUUUUGUAAGAAUUGUGGCCAAGAGGGUCACCUCGCACGAAGCUGCAGAGCACCAACCCAAGCAACUAGUCAAGCUUCUGGAACGGGUAUCGGUCAGGCCUGCUACAGUUGUGGGGAAUUCGGACAUUACAAGCGAAACUUCCCUAAGGCAGCAACAUCUGGCAACACCGGGAGAGUCCUAGCUAUAGGACAAAAUGAGGCAGCCACCGACCCCACCGUUGCCACAGGUAUAUUCCUCCUCGAUGAAUCUUAUGCCUGUGAUCUUUUUUCGAUUCUAGUGCUGAAAGAAAUUUGCUAACUAUCCAUUCAAACACCUUUCUAAACUUAAUCCUUUGUUAGUAUCCGAAACGUGUAUCGUAAGGAUAACUAACCAGUGAGAAAGAGAACGUUAACGUCAUACCCAUAGGUUGUAUCCUUAAUCCGAACGAUUAUUCUUUUCCAUUCGAUCAAAUGGAAAACUUUUCAUGAAAUGCUUUGAUGCUAUCAUUGGCAUGUAAUGACCGGGUCUCAUUCAUGCUGUUAUUCUUGGUUUUGAAAAGGUCGUCCGUCUAAAUCUUUCCUCUAACCCAAUUCUCAUAAUCUUCGGCAACAAACCUAAAUCCAACCUUCGCAUCAUUUCGUGCAUCAAAGCUUAAAAAGUUUCCCUAAAGGGAGUACCAUGCAUUCCUCGUCCGUGUGAUCAUCGGGAAACGGGAAGUCUGCAACUCUUUCCCUGAUGUCUUUCUCGAAGAUUUCCUGAGAAUUCCUUCUGAACGUCUAGUCGAGUAUUGCAUCGACCUAAUCCCUGGAACUAUCUCGUAGCCAAACCUUUGUGAGGAUGAUGUGUCCAAGACAGCAGUCAGGACUCGAUAUGGUCACUACGAGUUAAUAGUGGUGCCCUUCGGUCAAACCACUUUCCCUGGUCAUGUAGUAAGCAAAGCAGUUAUACCCGUAGACCCUUCCAAAAAUCAAGGCGAGAGAGACUUAGUCGGCACCGAAGAUACCCAUAGAAACCCGUCAAUUCUUGGGUCCCGCCGGCUAUUAUCGCAGACCCACCUAGAAAUUUCUUUCAGAAUCAUCAAAACCUUAGCUACUCUGCCACAUGAAGAUAUACCCUCUUGUUGGAGCUUAUGUCAUGUUGAAGGUCUUAUCCCAGAAAAGCAUGAUAUGCUUUGGGAAUACGCGGAAAACUUCACCCGUGAUACAUCGGACUUUUCGAAAUCCCCGCAAGAAUCGUAAGGGUGAACUACAAACUUCGGCUAUCUCAAGGACUUAGUAGUAUCCAUCCUGUCUUCCACGUCUCGAAUAUUUAGAAGAGCCUGCCCAACGAAAUCCUGGUAAUCCCUUUGAUGAUACCGAAAUCAACGAAAGACUGAACCCCCCAUGGAAGAACAAAUUGAGAUCAUGGAUCGAGAGAUCAAACGUACGAAACGAAGCCGCAUCCCGAUAGUGAGGGUUCGUUGGAAUGUCAAGCGGAGACCCGAUUCCACUUGGGAGCGUGAAGACCCGAAGCAGUAGAUUCAUCCAUACCUCUUUUCAAUUCAUGAUCUGUAUCUUAAUCUCUGAAUUUCGGGACGAAAUUCCCUCUAACGGGGGAUAAUGUGACAACCUGAAGUUGUUUCAUCGCCAUAACCCGUUCCGCUUGUAAAACCCGUCUUUAGCGAUUCGUUCCGAUUUCGUUUUUUGGCUAAGCUAUUUAAAUUUAUAUGUUUAUUAUAAUCUAAUGAGUGUCCAAACUCCUUAGAAACUCAUGUAACGGCCCAAAUCAUUAAUAUAAGGAAGGUAUAGGAGCUUACGACCAUAAACUCCUAGUUUAGGGUCGUAAACUCCCUUUGAUGGUUCCUUUGGUGGUUUAACUCCUUCCUAUGCCUUAGAUUAAAUCCUAGCAACUUUCCCCAAGUGAUAUUUGACCAUUUAGCACCUUAAAACCGUCAACCAUGAGUUCACGGUCGUGAACUCAUGUGGUCAUAGUCUUAGGGCCGUAAACUCCCUAAGGAGUUUACUCUUGAAGAGCAAACUCAUUAUCUAAGCCCUAUACGUCCGUAGAUGUCACCCAGGCCACUCCAAACACUUCAUUUGAAGUGUUUUCACGUCUUGGAGUGUAUAAUCACAUCUAAUUAGUAGUUCAAAUCCUAAUUAGAUACAAAUGUGUAUCUUUUCAUAUUACAUAGGAAUCUUGUGCGUUUGCAAGCCCCGAUCUGACGUUUAGGAUCCAAACUGACGCGUUCCUCAACCGGUGAGUUCAUACCCCUACCCUUUUUCAAUGUUUUUCAACGUUUUUAGGGGGGAAUACAAGCAAAAGUACAAGGAAAUCUUGUACUCAAACUUAUGAUUUUAUUUGAUCUAUUUCAUAUUUCGUAUGCUUUUAACACGAAAAAACUGUAUUAACCAAUCGUUCAACUUGCAGAGUAAACUGUCAUGUUAUUUGUGAAGCUCGUUUUAAAAUGUUAUAUUUUAUAUUUCACAAAUGAAUUUCCAUAUAAUUGUUGUUAAAAGCAUGAAUCUUAAAGCAUUAAAAUGUUCUUGAUAAAACUCCCCGUAGAUACGAGAGUGAAGGAAUAAUAACAUUAAACUUAGAACUUUACCACUCCCCAUAGAUACGAGAGUGAAGGGAUAAUAACACACAGUUAGGACAGAACGAAUACGAAUACGAAUGCGAAUACGAAUACAAAUAUGAAUACGAAUACGAGUACGAAUAUGAAUACGAAUACGAAUAGGAAUACAAAUACAAAUACGAAUACGAAUACGAAUAGGAAUACGAAUACGAAUACGAAUAGGUUUACGAAUAUGAAUACGAAAGCAUGCCUUUGGAUGACGCCAAGACUUUGGAAAUACAGUUAGUGUACGCCUUGAGUGCCACUAGAGUUUCGAAAAUAAUUCGAAAGUACGCCUCUGGACAUCGACUGAGUUUCGAAAACACACGCCUUUGGAUGUCGACAAAGUUUCGAAGAUACGUCUAAUGUACUCUUUUGGAAAUCACCAGAAUAUCGAAUAUACAAUUAAUGUACGUUUCUGAGUGUAUCCAAAUAUUCCAAAAGACAACUAAGUAUAGUAGAUAAUCGACAUUCGAGUGUAGGAUAACUAAGAUAUCAGAAUACCUAACUAAUACUAUAAGUAUGGUAGAUACUAGUACAUCGACAUCCGAACUAAGAACUAACCGCAAUGUUUAGGAAAAUAUGGGAUUUUCCUGGGAUAUCAUAACAACUCGUAAACGAAUGAUGUAACGAAUGGAAAACUAAACUAAUAGGAAAAUAUGGGAUUUUCCUGGGAUAACAUAACUACUCAUAAUCGAAUCGUGUAACGAAUAAUAACUAAACUGUUUUUAUAUAAGAAAAUAUGAGAUUUUCUUGAAUAACGUCUUUUUCAGAAAACCAAAGGGAACUCAUUCUUUUCAAAACUAAACCGCUUAUGAACUCACCUGCUUUAUGCUGAUUUUCAAUUUACUUGUAUUCUCAGGUCCAUAUUAGACAGGUACAUCGCGAUCUUUUGGNUCUUUUUCAGAAAACCAAAGGGAACUCAUUCUUUUCAAAACUAAACCGCUUAUGAACUCACCUGCUUUAUGCUGAUUUUCAAUUUACUUGUAUUCUCAGGUCCAUAUUAGACAGGUACAUCGCGAUCUUUUGGAGAAGACGGAGCAUAUAGAAGACUCGUCUUAACUUUUGUUCAUAUGAUAUAUAUGUAUAACCUUUGUAACUCUUUGUUUUCAAACAAUGUAAAUAUUUCUAUGUAAUGUAAUGUUUUUUGUUUACUAUGCUUACUAUGUACAUUGGUUGCGAUAUUCAUGACGUCCUCCGCCCCGGAACGUUUCCGCCUUCGGUUUCGGGGUGUGACAAAUAUGUUUUAUAACACCAAGUUACUAGUGCGUUUACAUAUUAUCAAUGUGUAACCGACUCGCAAGAUACAACUCACACAUCUCGGUUUCAAGAAUAUAAGAUAUUAUCGUCUCACCAAUCACUCGUGAUAAGAUCCAUGAAGUGAUCCAAGUGAGCGUGGGUUUAAUCCAUUGCUCAAACUCAUAUUCAUAAGCACUCAUGAACGUUGCAGCAAACAUUUGCUUAUGUUUAAUACACUUUAGACAAUCCACACACCAAUUCACGACAGUCUUCAUUCAUACAUACUUCAAACAUAUAAACGACUGUGGUCCGUUCGAAUAAUUUGAUUGUUCUGAACCAAUUUAAUUAUUCAGGAAGUCAAAACAUGCAAAGUGAAACACAAGAAUAAUACUAAUCCCAUAUGGCCCCAAACUCUGGGUAUAAAUAAAACAUUUUAUUUAAUCACCAUAUUGAUUACUCAUUAUUUGUUGUUUCGGGUAAUCAACUUCUUACUUGAAUUAUAACAACAAUUGUCCCAUGCUCUUAGCAUGCACACAAUGUUUACCUACGGUCCUUACUUUGUGAAAUAGAUCAAAUGAACACAUUUCCAAUCAUACUCAUUUCACAACUCCCAAUCCUUAUCAUAAGUAUAAGAAUAUCAAAUUCUUGUUACUUAUGCUAGAUUCUAACAUUUUAUGCAAUGAUUCUUUCGUAAAUUCAUAGCUCAAAAUCAUCAAGACUUGGCCAAUCUCUAUCAGAAACAAUUCUAUAGAUAUGAUGUCUCUCACUCAAAGUACAUUCCUUUGAACAUCCUUCUUGCAUAAAAGUUUCUAAUCUAGACAUAGAUUCUCAAUAUCCAACUCCCAAUAUGGAAACAUUUCCAUAUUUGCCAUAUGACAACUCAUUCUUAAUAGAAUCUUAUCUAUUCAUAAUAAUGUCGAUAUGGUCCAUCCAAUACCAUACUUCCAACUACUCACAAGCGACCAAUCCUCAGCGAGCUUUGGAUCGUCCUUUGAUAGUUGUUUAAUUAUUUUAGUCAAAACCGAUUCUAGUCCUUUUUCCCUCUAAAUGCGCUAGACAUUUGGAAAAUUUUAGAAUGGUCAAAUAUAAUAGCACUGGCAAUCAAUCCUAUACCCGAAGCGUAUGGGAUACUAUGCAUAAUGUCUUACAUAAAGAUAUGAUACUUUAUCAAUCUUCUGCCAUAAUAUUUUAUGUGUCACGUUCUCACAAUUCGAACUAUGAAGAGGGAUGCCAUAAUCAUAAUCGAAAUUUGAGAACACACUAUGUAUCCUUGACUAAAUUUAUUAACAUUCCACAACCUAAGCCUUUAGAUUUGAAAUGAAGCAUAAUAUUCUCUCCCUUAAUUAUAGCAAAACAACUAUUCAACCCUUACGACUUUGCAAAGUAUAACUCUUGUUUUCUAUAAUUAAUAUUGCUAACUUGCAAUACUUGCCUUAAUAAUCAUACAAGCACAACAUUUAUGCUCCCACUAUCAUGAUGAUUAUUAUCAUAUAAGCAUAACACUUAUGCUCCCACUAGCUUUGACAUGUUUUAGAAAACAACUGAACUUCCAGAAAACAAUACUUAUUGAAUUUCUGAAGUUCAUAUUUCUAAUACCUAAUGCUUUGAUAAUCCUUUAUCUAAGCUUCUUAAACUUAUACACCUUUGCCUUAGAUAGCUCAUAUGUGUGUCUAAACAAUUCAGACUAAUUGCCAAAUCUCACAAUUCGAAUUAUGGAAAGGGAUACCGUAACCAUAAUCGAAUUCGAGAAUACAAUUUUCACAAUCAAUAUCUUCUUAAAAUCUCUCUUAGUGAAAGCAUUUCCUCACAAUCAUUUUCAUGAAUGGAGGGAAUCUUAUGACACUUAGAUUUUAAUGGUGUAUGUGUUCCUAUCCAUGCAAAUUUGUCAAUACCAAAGUUUACGAGAAACCCAAACUCAUAUGGACCGAACCUUCUCAAUCUUGAUUUCUUGCCUUAUGGUAACACGAGUGGCCACCAUGUCUUCCAAGCAGCUCAUCCUUUCUUAUCAAUGUACUUUUCAUUGAUCAAGGUGCUUGCCUUUUAUGCAUUCAAAUGAGAACUCAUAGAACUCACAUGCAUAAUUAACUCAAUUGGAACCGCACAGAAACAAGAUAGUGUCAACACGAUGGGUUGUAAACCUCAACUCGUGUGCUAGUGAUGAUCGAUAAGGUUUAUUCUUGAUUAGUUCUUGAAACUUUUUGAGACCGUUAAGACUCCCACUGACUCCUUGACAUAUAAGAUUCUCUUGUCAAUAAACAUUUCUCGACAAACAAAUAUUCAAGAGUUAGUGCAACUUUUAUCAAGACAAAACACUUCACAAAAUUGGUCCUAGUUGGUCUUUGUCUUAUCCAAGACAUCACAACUUUCCAAUUUCAAAUGUGCAAGAAUAAGAAAACCUUUUUCAAAUUCUACAUUUGAUGAAUGUUAUAAACCUUCUUAAGACUUGUCACUCAAUGUCACAAUCUUAGCUCUAAGACUUGGUUUUGGAACGAAGUAUGAUUGACUUCUUGAUUUAACCAUUUCUUCAAUUCUUGAUUCCUCUUCUCAGACAUACAAUUGCACUGAGACUCACUUAGAGGAUCAAUUGAGAUAUGGUUUUUAAUCAUUAAGACUUAUCAUAAAACAUAAUAAAAGUACUCUCCCUUCUUCUUAGAAUAGAGAAACUUUUAUCUUUAUGCCUACUUGAUUUUUCUUUAUUCGUUCUGCUAUUUAUUGAAACUCUUUCAAUCAACUGAGAAUUACACUUAUUCUCAUAAGUAUAAUCAUAUUUACUUAACCUUAGUAAAUCAUGAAGAAUAUCUUUGUUACUCUUGUGGUAGACAUGAUCAACCCAUAACCUUGUGUACUCGAUCUCCUAGUCCUUCACUUGACACUUUGUUAAUGAAUUAGUCUAAUUUCCAAAUAUGAAAUUUCUCAUUCAUCAUGCAACCAAGUUUUAUGAUUCCAAGUUUCUGUCCAAUUGAAACUUGGGCGAUGAGAAACUUUCCCUAUUUGGUAAAUUCUUGACAUUUCCACAAAUAACAUAAUAAGAAACAAAUCCAUUAUUGAUAAUAACAGAAACAUUCAAACAUCAAUUUUUUCAUAGACGCCAAUGGAAGGAUAAAUAUAAAAUCAAAAUCUAUUUUAUUGCUGAAAAAUUUGUCCUUACAAUGCAAUUUAUUGAAAAAUUUUUAUAAUACAUAUUUCUUAGCAAUCUAUUCUAACUCUAAGUAGUAGCUCAAGAAUCCAAUCUUCAAGCAAUGCGAUCGAAAUCCAUUUCUUCACGAUUAGAUUCUGUUCACUUCUUCCCUUAAGUUUCCUUUCCUUUCUACAUCAAUUACAAUCUUAUCACAUCAUGUAUCAAGAAUCUAGAAUAAGAACUUAAAAGAGUUAGUUAAUGGAUUUUACAUAAAGCAGAGCCAUACGUUUUGACUCUCCCAUCUCUUAGAUCUCUUAGGUAAAAAGGGAAGCUUCGUCUCUAAUGCCCCUUUUCUUGGCAAUAAAAGCAAAUUGACUCUUUUGGAACAGCGCAUGGAACUACUUCAGACUUUGCCUUUCUCUUAUGAUCAAACCCUUCGAUCAUGGCAUGCCUUUCGUUUCCUAUAUCCACAGAGGUCUGGAAGGCAGAUCCACCAAUCAAAUAAUCAAUCUUUAAUCAUAUAAGGAAGUUGAUCCUCUUGCUUCAGGGACUCCUAAAGACCGCAAAAUCGGGUCUUAAAGGUAAGUCGGUUGUGACCACUCCUGCUACUACUACUCCAAACUCAGCUCUUGUCCUGGCAAUCAGGAAAGGUAGAGGGAAGAAGAGAAAGAACCCUUCGAAGGGUACCAAGGGUAAGACCCUUGAUGGCUCCUCUUCUAGCGGAACCAAGAAAGGUUUCGUUACACCUUCUUCUGAUCCCAAAGAGGCUGAAUGCUUCUACUGCCAUGAAAAGGCGCACUGGAAGCGUAACUGCCCAAAGUACCAGCAAGAUUUGAAGGAUUGGAAAGUUAAACCCAACCAUGCAGGUAUUUACACUAUCUCAUCUAAUAAUUCACUCUAUUCUAACUCUUGGGUCCUUGAUACCGGUUGCGGUAUUCAUAUUUGUUCUGAAAUGCAGGGACUAAGAAGAAGUGAGAAUGUGGAGCAUGGAAAGAUAAACUUAAUCAUGGGGAAUAGGAAAGUUUCACCUGUCACGAAGAUUGGAGUUUAUACUUUGUUGCUUAGUAGUGGAUUUACUUUAUAUUUGAAUAAAUGUUGUUACUCGCCAGAAAUGGCAAGAAAUGUUAUUUCCUUUCAUGCUUUGUAUAAACAAGGUUUUACCUUUUCUUUUGAUAAUGAAACUGGUGGAAUAAAUGCUUUCUUUAAUAAUAUGUUUUAUUUUAAAGCAUUACCUUGUGAUGGUGUGUAUGAAGCUUUGUCCGUUGUAGAUAACUUAGGAAAUAAUGUAUUGUGUAUUGAUUCUUCUAAUAGUAAUAACUUGGAUAAAGCAUCAUUAUGGCAUUGUCGUCAUGGGCAUAUAAGCAAGAAACGCAUAGGCCAACUCCAAAAGGAUGGAGUCUUGGAGUCAUUUGACCUAAGGUCAGAUGAUAGCUGCAGAUCAUGCUUGCUUGGAAAAAUGACAAAGUCACUCUUCACUGGUUCGUGUGAGAGGGGUGAAGGUUUGUUGGAUCUUGUACACAUGGAUGUGUGUGGACCCUUUAAACAUGCCACAAGGGAUGCUAAUCGUUAUAACGUGACUUUUACGGAUGAUUAUAGUAGAUAUGGAUAUGUCUACUUAAUCAAGCAUAAGUCAGAGACUUUCGAAAGGUUUAAGGAAUUUAAACAGGAAGUCGAGAAUCAAUUGGGCAGGAACAUUAAGAUGCUUCAAUCCAAUCGAGGUGGUGAGUAUCUUAGUUCAGAGUUCCUCGACUUACCUUUAAGACCUGAUUCUGCGGUCACAACCGACUUACCUUUAAUCACAAUAUUUAAUUGUACCUCAAAUGUGAUGUUCUGGACCUUAGAUCUUCAGGAAGUUGAUCCUCUUGCUUCCUCUUGGCUAAAACUUCCCUUCCCUUGCUAAACAACACCUCCAAUGGUUGAUAAUGGCUCCUUCUCUCACUCCACACACUCAAAUGCACUAGGGUUUCGCUCUGGGGGCUGGUGAGCACAAAUGACGGCCAUAAGGCCCUUUAAAUAGGCCCCAAACCCGAGAAAUUAGGGUUUCAUUAAACAACGCUGACUCACUAAGUCCACGAUUGCGACUCGUCGAGUCAGGUCAUUAAUCCGCAUGAGAAAUCUCGUCUCUACUCGGCGAGUCUGCGCACCAACUCGCCGAGUUCUUCCUCAAAGCUCCAAAAUAAAAAGAAUAAAUAUAAUACCUGAAAUUUCUGGAUGUUACAAUUCUCCCCCACUUGAAUCCGACUUCGCCCUCGAAGUCUCAACCCUGAAAUAGCUCCGGAUGCUGCACCCGCAUCUCACGCUCCGGUUCCCAAGUCAACUCAAAUCCUUUCCAAUGUUGCCACUGAACUUGUACCAGAGGCACCUCCUUGUUCCUCAGAACCUUGAUCUUUCGAUCCACAAUCGCAACUGGUCUCUCCGCGUAAUUCAGGCUCGCAUCCACCUGAAUGUCCUCUAACGGCACUACCGCCAACUCAUAAGCUAUACACUUCCUCAACUGAGACACAUGGAAGGUAUUAUGAAUCCGAUCGAAUUCCGCAGGUAGCACCAAGCGAUACGCUACCUUGCCCACCCUCGCGAUCACUCUGAACGGUCCAAUAAACUGGGGCCCUAGCUUGUCCCUCUUCCUGAAUUGAAUCACUCCUUUCCAAGGAGAUACCUUCAGGAGAACAUAAUCACUGACCUAGAACUCGAGCUUGGAUCGCCGCCUAUUCACAUAACUCUUCUGGCGGCUCUGAGCGGUCAACAAUCUCUGCCUGACCCGCUGUAUCUGCUCUGUUGUCUGCAGCACAAUCUUCGUACUACCCAUAACACGCUGCCCGACCUCUCCCCAGCAAAUGGGGGUCCGACACCUCCUCCCAUACAACAUAUCAAAGGGUGGCAUACCAAUGCUCGAAUGAUGGCUGUUGUUGUAGGAAAACUCUGCCAAGGGCAAAUACGUGUCCCAACUCCCCCUGAAGUCCAACACACAUGCCCGAAGCAUGUCCUCGAGCGUCUGAAUCAUCCGCUCACUCUGUCCGUCAGUCUGGGGGUGAUAUGUGGUACUAAAAUGCAGCCUAGUAUCCAACUCCUCGUGAAACUUCUUCCAGAAUCUGGAAGUGAAACGCACAUCUCAGUCUAAAACAAUCGAGAUCGGAACUCCAUGCCGUGAUACCACCUCCCUCACGUACAUCUCUGCUAAUUUCUCUGCGGAAGAACUCUCACUGAUAGCAAGGAAGUGGGAGCUCUUUGUCAACCUGUCCACAAUCACCCAAAUUUCAUCGACUCCCCUAGCAGUCCUUGGCAAUUUGGUGAUAAAAUCCAUGGUAAUCUGUUCCCACUUCCAUUCGGGAACCUCCAACGGCUACAACUUACCAUGUAGUCUCUAGUGCUCGGCCUUAACCCUUCGGCAGGUCUUAAAGGUAAGUCAAGGAACUCUGGUGCUCGGGCUUAACCCUAUGUGCUCAUGCAAAUCCUAAUGCUUGGAUCUAGGUUUCUCUAUUGUACAUGCAAUGUAUCCAAGACUUACAAUCUUAGAUCUAACAUAUUAUAAACUGAAAUCAGGGUUUAGAGAAUUACCUUUGAUUGUUAUGUAGCAAUAACAAUCUCAAAUCCUCCUUGUAAUUGUUGGAUAAGGUUUCUAAGUCCAUAACUAUUUCUGGUAUGUACUUGACCCGACCCGGCAUGGUCCAUUUGGGUUGCAUGGCACCAUGCAAUUGGAUAGACUAAAUGAGAGAAAUAACACUUGUGGUUAUUAAUAUAUUAUAAGUUCUAAUAUAUUAAUAAUAUUAUUUAAUUAGUUUGAUCAAGAAUUAAUUUUAGAAUUAAUUAAGUGAUCAAAAGAUAACUAAUUAAAUAUAUGGUUUGAUUAUGUAAAUCAUCCAUAACUUAUAUAGUGGGCUAAGAGGCUCCAUGGAUAAUCAAGUUGGGUUAAACCCAUUGGAUGCUCCAUGGAGGCUCCAUGGGAGUUACAAACCCAUGGGUCAUGGAAAUGAAGAGUCAUGACACAUUAGGGUUUACAUGGUGUAACCCUAGAUGUGUCAACACUAUAUAAAGCUCAUGUUUCUCCUAAAAUCGGCUACACAUGCAUGCUUGAGGGCUAGAGCCGAUUUUUAGAGUGUUAUACUUUCUCUCCAAGUUUACUCCAUAGCAUUUGGUGUUGUGUGAAGCAUUUGAGGCAUCACACUUGGGGUGCUAGGCUCACAAGGUUUCAAGGAACAUUUACAACAACAAGGUAUGUAAUUCUAUCUAUUAUUUAAGUUAAAAUUGUUCCCCAUGUAUGCUAGAUAGGAUCAUAGCCUUGGAAAUCAACUUUGCAUGAUAAUUAGACAAACAUAGAUCCAAGGUUAUUAGGGUUGCAUGUACACUUAGGAAGUGUUAGAAUGCUCAAAACCCAUCAGUAAUGACUUUAGAAAGCUUAGAGUCACAAUUAUCACUCCUCUAAUGGCUCACAAACACCAAGAGCAAGAGGAUGAAGAAUAAGGAGAGAGGAGGCUGCCCAAAAUGUCCAGAAACCCUAGUGGAACUCUUAGCGCCGUUUUUGGGGUUUAAGGGUACUAUAUAUACAUGUAGGCUAUUAGGGUUUUCAACUAGGAAACCCUAAUUUGACUGCUUAAGCCCUAAGCAGCCCACAGACUCUUUUAGAAUAUCCCUUGGACGGUUUCUAAUGGGUUUCCCCAUAGAAUUCGUCCAACCUAUUAUUCCAAGGUAAUCCAUAGCCCAAAUGCAACUAUCUUAUAAUUACAGUUCCAGUCCCUUAAAUUUAAUUAAUCUCUUUUAGCCACAAAAUUAAUUAUCAAUUAAUUCUUGACUAAUAUUAAUUAAACAAUAUGAUUUCUCCUUUAAUAUAUUAUUCUCAUAAUAUAUUAAUAAAUCAUAAUUAAUCCUUUCUCUCCAUAAUUCAUCCUAUCAAGUUGCUUUGGUGAAGGCAACCCAAAAGGACCAUGCACCAUCGGGUCAAGUACAUACCAAAAUAGUUAUGGACUUAGACACUAAUCCAACAGCUUUUUCAUCUGUAUGGGCCAUGGAUGCAAUGGUUGGGCCUUAUUGGGCCAAGAGGCCCAUUAAGGAUACUGGAUGUGGACUUUGGGUCCCAUUAACAAGGAAAGGGUAUUUGGGCCUUGGGGAGGGGUUUGGAGGUUGGGUUUCCCCUUGGUUAAGUUAAGUCCUAACAUUUAUUAUAUUACUAUUAUUAUUAUUUAGCUCGGGAGAUUGUGUAACGCCCGGGUUUCAGGGCUAAGCAUUUUUGUCAAUGUAAUAGUCUAGGUCAACUCUUGUAACUCUUUUUGAAGUAAUAAAGAUGAAAUAUAUGAGUAUUAUGUGAAUUAUGUGUGUUUAUGUGUUUAUUAUUUAAUUAUAAAUGUAUAAUUAAUAAAGAAUAAAAAUAAGCGUCAAAAUUAAAGUGUGAGAUAAGCCCGAUAUCUCUACAUAAAGUUGUAGAAUAUGUCUCAAGGUUUCCGUGCAUAUAAGGAACCCCGAAAUCCGAGUUAUAACGAAGAAGUUAUGACUCGUCGAAGUUUUGCGACAGAACCGACACGAUACCGGGAAGCGUAAAUAGUGAAUUUAUGAUAGAGCGAGAUUUAGCCUUAGUGCUCUAAACGAAAGUCGUAGAAUAUGUUAAACUAAGAACAUCGAUAAAAAGAACGCCCAAAUCUGACUUCGUAUGAGGAAGUUAUGAUUUUUCUAAGAUUUAGCAUAGCAGUGCACAGCCCGAAAUCUGAAUUUUAGAUCGGUCGAUUUUUAGCCGACGGGAUCUAAAUGAAAGUGGUAGUACUCGUAAAUACCAACACGUGGAUAUAAAGAACGUCAAUAAUAGAGCUCGUAUGCGAAAGAUAUGGACGAAGCUUAGUCCCUACUUUUCGAGUGCGACGAAUUCGAUACAGUUUUGUAAAUCCGAGAUAGAAUGAGAAUUAGCCAACGAGGUCUAAAUGAGAGUUGAAGAUCUCAUUAAUAGGAACUCAACGGUAAAAAGACAGACAAAAACGGAACUCGUAUGCGAAAGUUAUGGACGAAGCUUAGUCUCUACUUUUCGAGCGCGGCGAAUUCGAUACAGUUUUGUAAAUCCGAGAUAGAAUGAGAAUUAGCCAACGAGGUCUAAAUGAAAGUUGAAGAUCUCAUUAAUAGGAACUCAACGGUAAAAAGACAGACAAAAACGGAGCUCGUAUGCAAAAGUUACGGACGAAGCUUAGAGACUACUUUACUAUAAAACUCCUAUAAAUACAAGGGUGAACUCCUCAUAUUUUCUUCACACCAUAAGCCUCUCUUUCUCUCUCUAACUUCUCUCUAGCCUCCCUAAACCCCUCCCAAGUCUAGGGAACCUCCCUAUCACGAGAAGAAAGCCCCGGAGCGCCCGACGGCUCCGAGAAGAAAAGCUUUCGGCUCGGAAACGCUGCUCCAGCGAAGCCCGGUUUUUAAUAAAAACCCAUUGUAAGUGAGUUACGCCUAUACUAUAUUUAAUAUAGCUUUUAUUUAAUUAUAGUAACAUUAUUAGGACCUUAAAAUAAUUAUUUGGGCUAUUAUUAUGAGUUAUAUUGAGUGUUAUUUAACGCUUAUAUAAUAGUAAUAAUAGCUAGACUAUUAAUUAGUCGCGAUUAACGUUAAAACUAAACUCUAGUGGUAUUAAUACAAGGUUUUGGUCAAGGAAAAAUUGUUUUAAGAAGUAACGAAGAGCUGUCCGAGUGCCGAGUCACCACCUUACCAGGUGAGUGCAUAGUUACUUUCAGCUUACACAUAGAUAUGAAGUAUUUUAUAUAAAUUACGUGCUAUGUGUGCAUAUUACCUGAAUACUUGCUAUCUAUGCUAGAUGAACAUUUUUAUACAUGUUUUCAAAGAUUUAAACUGUAUAUUUAUUUUAUAUCUACGAAAAUGUUGGGGUAAAACAUGGGUAGAUGUAUUAGUUGCUGUGUGAUAAAAUGAAAUAAUGAGAGGCCUCGUUAUAGAUGUUAUUGAUGAUCUAGUCAUCUAGCGGAGUAUAGAUGACGACCACGGACUAUUCUAGACAGUCCAGUGGAACACUAGCAGACUCGCAACCUGUAGGUGUUUAUUCGAACUGUGUGUUUAUUUGAACUGUGUGCUCACCAGAUGUACUCCAUCCCCCACAUGGUUGCCUUAAGGACAUUUAUUGUUGAGGAAUCCCCUUAGCAGUAGUGUCCGUCCCGAUGAUAAUCCUUAGGAUAGGUCCCUUAUGAUAGAUGCUUAGGGACGUAAUGUGAGGAUAACGGGAACGGGUAAUCGGGUUUGUUUAAUUUAAUGAAGUUAAUAAACUUAUUUAUUGUGGGUUGAAAACCCUAUGUGCUCACCAGGCUCCCAAGCCUGACCCACUCAGUUUUAUGUAUUACAGGUAGUGGCGCUUGAGCAUAGAUAUGAUGUUGGACGAGGGAUUACGGAUAUAGGCCUGUAGAUAUGAAAUAAUGUAGUAAGGCUUAUAUUGUACUGUUUAUGCUUUUGAUCUAUACGAACAUGACAUCCCAAGUCUUUUAAUGAAAUACAUUUCUAUGGAAAUGCUUUUGAUAAAUCUUUAUCAUAUUUUGUUUUGGGACAAAUUCCUCAACACUUUCAUUUAAAAUGUUACUCUGAUUUUUAAACAAAACAUAAACAAACCGGUCUUUUCUGGCCGUGAUUUUGGGGAUGUCACAGAUUGCGGACUGUUAGGAGAGCAGUGUUUAUAUUCAUCAGACUGAGGUGAGUCUCCUCACCAUACCAAUGGGUCUAAGGUACCAAGGCCGGCCCAUUAUGUGAUUAUCAUACAUGUGUUAGACAUUCUAUGAUUCGAUAUGCUAUGUGAUUAUGUUUGUAUGCAAGACCUUGGGGGGUUCCUGAGGCACUUAGGUGUAAGACCUUAGAGGCUUUCCUUGGCAUCCUAGUUCAAAGACCUUGGGGGGUUCUCGAGCCAUUGGGCUAAGACCAUGCGGGGGUUCCCAUGGCACUCGGAGUAACACCCUGGAGGGUUUCUAGGGCUUCCUUAUGUGAUUGGGAUGCAUGGUCUAUGUGUUUUGGAUGGCUUUUUAGCUAGUUUGAUAUGCUAUACGUGUUUGUGUGUGGGUGUGCUCUGGGGAACUCACUAAGCUUUCAAGCUUACCGUUUGUGGAUUUAUUUCAGGUACAUCUGAGCCCAAGGGAAAGGGGCAAGGCGUGAUGGUGCGGUGUGCACUCUAUCUCUCCUUUACUAGUGUGUUUUGGGACGCUCCGAUGUUUUUAAAAGAACAUAAUGAUGUAAAGAAUGUGAAUUUAAAAACAAAUGUUUUUGGAAAUUUAUGGUUUAUGCAAAUGGCGUGAUUAUUGAAAAAUGAAAAUUUUCUUUGUAAGAUUUGGGUUGUUACGGUAGGGAUGGUUUAGAGCUUAGAAAGGAAACCUCUUAACGGUGAUUUGAUGGUUGCUUUUGGAGACGUGCGAUUGUGGCACAUCUUUCAAGGAAGAUAGGGAUCCUCAAAAGUUACCAUUACAAGAAAACCGUUUCGUCUUAUGGACUCUUAGGUUUCUGAAUGAUCGAUUCCGGACAGUUUGAGAUCCGGAGGGUAAAAGGUUGAGUUCUAGAUUGUGAAAAAUUGAAGAAAUGGUCCGGAAUGAGAUCAGUCCGAAGUGAAGCUUUGAAAUUCCGGAGUCAAAAAUUGUUUGUGAUUCUGGAGUAAAAAUUUGAAAAAUCCGGAGUACAUUUUGAGAGAAGAAUCCGAAGCAAAAUUCCGAAAUGAUAAUUUUUGAGUCCGGAGUGCAAAUUGAAAGAAUUUCCGGAAAAGGAUUUGCAAGACAUUCCGGAACAAGGUUUGAAAAACUUCCGGAGUGAAAUUUUAAAAAUUCUGAAGUAUAGAAUGCAAUACCUUUUCGGAUUUGAAUUCCGAGAUGACUUUAUGAAGUAAGUUCCGAGAAGAAAAUUUGAUCAUUGUGACUGUGUGGACUAUAAACAUCAAGUGAUAAGAUGAACUGUACAAAAAAAAUCAUGUGGUGGCUAGUGAUAAAGACAAGUAAAAUGAUCCUAUGUAUUUUGAGAGACAAUUGUUCCGAGAUAAAAUGAGUUUUGAGUUCUGAACCAAAUUUCUAAAUGAUGUUACCAUCAGAGAGAGCAAGUCUAUUGAAAGAACUGAGGAUCAGGCAUCAUCAUACCCAUCUUGUUAAGAAAACCAUUGAAUUUGGUUUCGUCUAAUGCCUUAGUAAAGACAUCAGCAAUUUCAUCGUCAGAUGGAACAAAAACAAGUUCAAUAUUGCCAUUUAAAACAUGAUAUUUUAUGAAAUGGUAUCGAAUAUCGAUGUGCUUCGUUAUGGAGUGAUGAAUUGGAUUGUGUGAAAUUGCAAUGACACUUUGAGAAUCACAGUAAAUAGGAAUGCGUUGAAAACGGUAACCAUAAUCCAAAAGUUGAGACUUCAUCCAUAGAACUUGAAAGGUACAACUAGCAGCAACAAUGUAUUCUGCUUCGGCUGUAAAUAGAGCAAUGCUGUUCUGCUUCUUGGAUGACCAACUAACCAAUUGACCACCUAAAAAUUGACAGCCACCUGAUGUGCUUUUUCUAUCAAGUUGAAGACCACCAUAGUUUGAAUCUAAAUAUGCUUGAAGUAGGAAACUCUCAUUUGUUGGAUACCAGAUUCCGAGACUCUUUGUACCUUUGAGGUAUCGGAAAAUUUGUUUCACAACCAAGAGGUGAGACAUCUUUGGGUUGAAUUGAAAUAUGGGACAAAAACAUGUUGUAAACAUGAUGUCUGGAUGACUUGCUGUGAGAUAAAGCAGAGAUCCAAUCAUUCCUCUGUACUUCUUUUCAUCAACUGCUACACCUGAUGGGUCGGCAAAUAUUUUGUGUCCGAAGCCCAUUGGUAUCUUGGCUGAGGCCCAGGUGUCGAUUGAGUAUUUUUUGAGGAGUUCCGAAAUUUACUUCUCUUGGUGAAUGAAAAUUCCUCUGUUAGUCUGUUUGACUUGGAGACCAAGAAAGAAGCUUAGCUCCCGAUUCAUGCUUAUUUGGAAUCGAUUGAUCAUUAGUUUUGCAAAAUCAACAACCAUUGAUGAAUCUGUAGAUCCAAAAAUGAUGUCGUCCACAUAAAUUUGAACCAUCAUGAGGUGCUUUCCAUUUGAUCUUCUGAACAGGGUAGGUUCUAGAAUACCUCUUUGGAAAUGGGAGUGCUUGAGGAAGUCAGUGAGAGUCUCGUACCAUGGGCAAGGAGCUUCCUUGAGGCCAUAGAUUGCCUUACUGAGUUUGUAGCUAUUGAAGAUAUACUUCAGUGUCAAGUUCACCAUUAAGAAAAGCACUCUUAACAUCCAUUUGGUAAACCUUGAAGCCUUUGUGAGCAGCAUAAGCAAGAACGAUUCUGAUGGCUUCAAUAUGUGCAACAGGAGCAAAAGUCUCAUCGUAGUCGAGGCCUUCGAUCUGAGUAAAUCCUUUAGCCGCCAAUCUUGCUUUAUUUUGAAUAAUAACUCCUGCGUCACCUAACUUGUUGCGAAACACCCAUCUAGUACCAACAAUAGGGUGAUCUGGAGGUGCAGGCACGAGAGUUCAUACUUCAUUUCUAUAGAUUUUUGCCAAUUCUUCUUGCAUGGCUGUAAUCCAAUCAACAUGCUCUAAUGCUUCCUUGAUGGAUUUGGGCUCAACCAUGGAGAUAAAUGCCGAAAAAUGGCAUUCAUUUUGAACACUUGUGGCAGAGCGAGUUUGAACACCAACAUUAGGGUUUCCAAUAACUUUGUUUGGAGGGUGAUCCUUGGUCCAAGCAUGUAACCUUGGAAGUUCUUGUGCAACAGUCGAUCCAAUAUCAACAGUAGGAUUGAGUUGCUCCCCCUGAAUGGUUUGAACUUGGGGGGGUGAUGCUCCCCCUGAACUUCUGAACCGGACAGGUCGACAUCAUCAUCAGAAGGGAAGUCAAGGAAAUUUUCAUUGUCAUCAAUGUUUAUAGGAUUGGAGUCGUUGAAAUCAGCAGCUGCGUCUAGAAAAUGGAGAAAUAGAGGGUAGAGGACCGGAAACAGGUUGUGAGGUGGGAAGGGAUGAGGAAGAUUGACUUGAUCGAGAUUCUGAAUCAAGUGCUGUUUCGGAAGGUCCAAACAGAGUUUCAAAAUCAGCUUCAUGAAAUAUCUGAACAUUCGGACAUUUUGAGGUUGGAGCAUCGGGCUCCAUAAUGUCAGUUGUAACAUGCAAGGGACCAGAGUUCCGAACGAAGUUGUCAUCAAAGGUGAUAUCAAAAUUUUCUUCAAUAAAUCGAGUUCGACAGUUGAGAACUCGAUACGCCUUUGACUUUGAAGAGUACCCAAGAAAGAUUGCUUCAUCAGCUUUGGGUUGGAACUUUGUAAGCUGAUCACGAUUAUUUUUGAUGAAACAUCGACAUCCGAAGACAUGAUGAAACGAAAUACUUGGCUUCCGACCAUUCAUUGCUUCGUACGGUGUCAUGUUGAGGCGUCGAUUGAUGAUACUCCUAUUUUGAUAGAAGCAUGCAGUUGAUACAACUUCAGCCCAAAGAUAUAGUGGUAGAUUUGCGAAGUUUAGCAUGGAUCGAGCAGCUUCAACAAGAGUUCUAUUGCAUCUUUCAACUACACCAUUCUGUUGUGGAGUGUAAGGAGCUGAAAAGUUGUGGUCAAUUUCUUUCUUGGUAAGGAAUUUUUCAAUGGUUGAGUGAGUGUAUUCCGAGCCAUUGUCACUUUGGAUUCUCCUAACUGGGAGUUUGAUGAGAACUUCUAUUCCUUUGAUAAAAUUGAUGAGCUCAGAGGCUGUUUCUGAUUUCAGCCAUAGGAAGAAGACCCAAGUGAACCUUGUAAAGUCAUAAACAAUCACAAGAAUGUAUUUCUUAUGAUGAAGACUCUCUAUAGUAGAUGGUCCACAAAGAUCAAUGUGUAGAAGCUCCAAUGGUUCCGAGAUUGAUUUUUCGAUAAUAACAGGAUGACCCUUCUUCGAUUGCUUUCCAUACUCACAAGCAGCACACAAAUGAUCAUUUUCAAAUUUGAGAAGAGGUAAACCUCUCACCAUUUCACCGGAUACGAAAUCAUUCAUGUACGAAAGUUCAGAUGAGCGAGCCUUUGGUUCCAUAACCAACUGACAUCAAGAACGGAUUUGGAGAGAAGGCAGAGUUGCGGUUUGCCAAUAAUCAUGUUGAUGUCGAGUGGGUACAUGUUCUUGUUAUGAUUUGACUUGAUUAAACACUCUUUUCGGUCUUCAGUCAUUACAUAGUUGUGCUUCUUGCAAAAUUCUAGAUAUCAAUUUGAAUCAGUGAGCUGAGCAACACUUAUCAAAUUAUGUUUCAGAUCAACUAUAUAAACCACAUUUGAGAUAGAGAAAUUUCCAUUGGUGAGAAUUCCAUAACCACGAAUUUGGGAAUUGGAGUUAUUUCCAUACGUCACAUAAACAACAUUUGGAGAAAGCUUGAGAUCCCGUAGAAAAUCUUUCUGCCCCGUCAUGUGCAUGGAGUAAGAACUAUCAAUAUACCAUAUUGUUUCUUGCUCCGAAGCACAAAGUUCCUGCAAAAUUAGUGAGUGGUGGAGCUUUUAGGCUCCGAGUUAGGUUUAGGGACAUAGGAACGGGCUUUGGACUUUGAUUGUGACCUUGGAACAAUUUUGUGUUUCCUGGAAAUGUCUUUUGAGUUCUUAGGAAAUAGAUAAAAGGUUAAUGUCUUUUCAUCUAUCCAGUAGUCAUACUCGAUGACUUGAGGGUUCGGAAUGGCUUUCUUCGGAUCGAAUAUUUCAGAAGUAGUGGAGGUCACUUUCUCAUUCGGAGUCACGAACCUUUUUACUUUCCAAACAAGGUUUUGUUUUGAAGACUUUGCAAAAUUUGUUUUCUUGACAUGUUUCUGUUUGUUUGAUGACACAUUUGAUUGUGAAAGUUGAGUUCUAAAAGUUGUGCCAUCAGAUUUUACAAUAAAAACAGAUGAAACAGUCCGAAGAGAGGUGUUUCGAAUAGAUGUGGGGUUUACUUUUGACUCUUUCUGAGUGGAACUAGUUGCCUUCUUUUGUUCCAUGGGACUAGGAGGAUUUGAGGAUCUUUUGAGUAUCUUAUUGGGAAUAAAGGAUUUUUGACUAUGGAUUGAUGAGUAAGAAUUCCGAGAUACACACUUUUUGGAGGUCUCAAGGAAUCUUGAAUUUUGUCUAAUCUUAACUUCCUUUUUGUGAGCAUUUUGAGCUUCCACCUUAGGGUCUACUAUAUACUUCCUAUUCAACAUUGGCUUUCUUUUGGAUUGAGACAAGGGUUUCAAAGUCUGUCCUACUGAAGGAUUGUUGAACACAGGCUUAAUGCGAACCAUAUUUGUUUUUGAAAUUAUCUAUAGUUCAAAAUCACAUGAGAUUGUCUCAUCGAAUGCACUAUCUAGGGAUGCCAAAAAACACUCUAAUGGUUCAGAUGAAGUUGAUUCUGGAAAGAUUUCCUCAACAACAUAGUUGUUAGGAGGGCUGAGGUUUGGAUUUUGAACAAUAGACUUUUGAGUACUAGAGGUUCGAUUGAGGUCUAGGUUUAUCAGAAGCAGAAAUUACAUGGAAUCGGGACUCUUAACAUCUAUGGGUUGAAACUCAGGAAUCAAGGAUGCGAACUUGUCAUUAGUCUCAAGAAGGGGUGACAAGGGAGAGACACGUACGUCUGAGUGUUGAUCGUUCGGAACAUCUCCCAUAAAGGUCAAACUUUGCAACUCCUUCAAGGGACUAGCUAUUGGUUUUGGAAACUCACUUCCGAGACCAAGAGCUUUUGAGCACAGAUGAUGAAAGUUAUGAGUCAUUCGUUGAUUCGCUUCAAGUAUGUCAAUGGAAUUAUGCAAGGCAUCUAUUUUUGCAUUGAGACGUUUGUUAUCAAAAAUUAAAAUGUUUCUUUCAGAAUAGGUGAUUUCACAUUUGUCUUUUAAAAUGAUACAUUCAUCUUUUGACAUUACAAGCUCAUGCUCUAAAGACUCGAUUUUUAACUUCUUAUCCUCACAAUGUAACCUAAGACAAUUUAAUUCACACUCAUUCUCACUGGCUUCUAUGGCGGACUCAUAGACUUUAUAAAUGGUGCUCAUAUCUGUUUGGAUAUAUGUUAGGUAUGGUUCACAAAGAGACAAAUCAAAAUUAUUAUUAGUAAUCAUAGAUUUUACCUGCUGAAUGAUGCUUCGACUAGGUGGAUCGUUGGUGGCCAUGUAGCAGUAGUAUGGUUCAGCAGCAUCAUCUUCAUCUUCUGACCCAGAAGACCAAUAGCCUUCAUCACAUUAAAUAAUUUUUCUUGCCAUCAAGCACAUGUUCCUUCCAAUUACCAUGUCAUCAUCAUCCCCGGAUGACCAAUAUCCUUCUACAUCCCUUGAUACAGUUGUUACAAAAGCUUUUUCACUUUCUGCCAUCUCUUGAGCUCUUCACGCGUAGUAUGUAGAGUCCUUGAUUUUUGGUUUUUGCGGAACUUCAGCCAAGAAAUCUUUUGCAAAGUGGUUUGCAUGUCCACACUUGUGGCACACUAUUUUUGGCUUGUCGGAUUUUGGAUUCUGUGGUGGUUCCAAAGUAGAGUUUGGUUUUGAGAUGUUCGGUUUGUAUGACUAAGGAUUUUCCAAAGUUGGUUGAGAUUUCGGAGGAGAGUAGGGUUGAGAAUUAUUUUGGUGAGGAGCAUGGAAUCGAUUUUGGUAUGGUUUAUAAGAUGGAUUGAAAGGACAUUUGUAUUUCAUGGAGAGUAGAGCAAAUUCCUGUUGGAAACGAAGUUUAGAAUCUAUGGCUUCAGAAUCAUCUAUCGGAUAGUUCUGUGUGGGUAAGAUAGGCAAUGAGGACUGAACAGGUGAAACAACAAGUUUGAGGAGGUCCGAAGUGGAUGUGUUCGGAAUGGUUGGUUCAAAGGAACUGAAAAGAGAAAAAGGACCUUUGAAGAGUUCUCUUAUGGUCUGAGCAACAUUAGAUUCAUGUCCUUGAAGUUCAUUAAAAAGUUGAUAAAGCUUUAACUUUUUCAAGGAGCCAUUACUUUGGAGACAAGAUUUCACAUUUCCCCAUCCUUUACCGAGGCUGUUAAUGAACUUGAGAUUGUACUCCAAGGGAUUUUGGACAAUCCCAUUCACAAUCAUGUUGUUGACUACGAUUCGGUAACGGUUAGAGGUUGAGGCCAUUGAUUCACCAGGAGUGGUAGUGAAGGUGUCAAAGUCAUUGACAACCGAAGUGAGACGCUUGUCUUUCAUGUUUUCCCAACCUUAUCAAAUCUUAGAGAUUGUCCCAAAUUUCUUUUGCUGAUUUAGACAACUUAAUGUGUUCAAAGAGUGAAGAAGCAACACAAAACACCAUUUCAGAGAAGGCAACUUGAUCAGCAUGCAACUUCUCAAUAUCAUCAGCUGUCAGAGGAGCUGGACGUGUCUUGUCUUGACACAUAAGCUGAGCAGCGGCAUAUCUUACAACUGUUCUUACAGGAACAUGAGGGCCUUCUUUGAUGGAUCUCCAAAUAGCUUCACCUUUCUCUUUCGCUAAUAAAAAUCUUUCCAUUCUAACUUUCCAGUGAUCAUAUUCUUCCACAACUAGCAAUGGGGCAUGUGUAGGGCUACCCACGUUAUUUUCGAUUUGCAUUGAAAUCAUUUGUUGAGUAUUAGAAGCAGCCAUUGAAGUUAAGAUAUCUUCAACCAAAAGUGGUAUAUAGAAGAACUUUUAUCCUUAACACAUAAAUGGUUAAAACACCAAGGUAAUUUGAAACCAACUAUAAUCUGAUCUUAUGGAUUCAAAGGACAACCACUCAAGCUCUGAUACCAAUUGAGUGAAAAAAUUGAUCUGGUGUGCAGGGAAAAGGUUUGAAAACUCAAACCUUGUGUUAAUACUUUAAGAUCAAUGUUUGUUUGCUAAUGAAUGUUCCAGUCAAGUCUUGAUAGACCAGUCAAGUCUGAGUUAAUGUAUUCAACAAAUGAUCAAGCCAUAAAUGAAGAAUGAGAACUAAGAUCAAGGUAAAGCUAAUAAAUGAAGAACAAAGAGAAUGUUGUAACAAAAGUGAAGUAAAAGGAAUAUUGAUUAAAGAGUUUGAAUGAUCUGUCUUUUGAUUUAACAUCGUAUGCUCCUAUAAAUAGGAGAAUGAAGUACAUGGUACUAACCAGUUACAUUGAUAGGACUAGAAAAAAGAGUUAUAUCUGACACCCUGAAUACUCAAGUUGACAAAAGAUUAAGUCCUAUGACUAGUUAAAUCAAACAAAAGAUAAAUACAUUAAAUGCAUCAAGACAAAGUAUAGAUUCCGGAACAAGAAACAUUUCGGACACAAAAAUCCAUUCCGGAAUGCCUUCACUCUCAUUCUUCUCAUCGCCAACUUGUCUUCAGGUCCGGACAUUAACGAAUUCCGGAGCAGACUUCACUUCGGAACUAUAGCUUGACUUCGGAAUCGACAAAAAGAUUUAGGAUUGCUAGAGGUUCACUUUUAGGUUCCAACACAACCUUUAUGUGUGUAUGAUAUCGAUCUAGCCUUAGUAGCUUUAUGAAACCAUUUUUUGUCCCAAAAGUCCCAAGUUGGUGCAUGUUAUGGUUUUAAUGUAAUAAGUUGUCCUUUCAGACCCUAGAAAGGGUCCUAAGUGAUAAAAACAAUGUCCCAAUGGCUUAAAACGUCCCAUGCAUAUAGUAGGAAGGUCUUAAUGGGUUAAGACCAUGUAUUAAUAACUUUCUGGACGUCCAAAGUUUAAAGUUUGAGACUUUAUGGUUCAAAGACACAUUUGAUUGAUGGAUCAGGAAUUUAGGCUUAAGUGAUUAAGUCAUUAAGCACUUAUUAGAGUCUUGGUGAAACUCACGUACGCCCCACGUAAUUUCAAUAUACCCAGCAUACUAAGUCAACCACCUCGAUGGUGGUCAACGAAAAACGGAAGUACGCCCAGCGUACCAGUGGAGUACACGUCGCGUAUGCCCUUUGUUGGGCUUUUGACGAAUUGGGCUACCUUUGGACUAGUUGGAUUUGGGCCUUGCUGGACAUUCUGAAUAAUUGGGUUUGGGGCUAGUUUUGAUAAUGGAUCCUAGGAUAAGGCCCAAUUAGGGAGUUGGGCCUAAUUGGGAAAAUUGAGCCAUUAAUGGGCUUUGGAUAUAUGGACUUUUAAGAUGAUGGAUUUGGCUUUGGGCCUUGGCCCAAAUUAGAGAAAAGGCAAUAAUGGACAAUCACUCUAUGCGGGACCCUUAGGCAAUAUGGAGAUCCCAAUUAUUGACUUAGUAUUUUUUAUUUUGGAUAGUUCGGGAUUUUCGGUGAGACUGCGAUCGGAGACUUUUAGUCCAGUUCAGCACUACUCGUGAGGUGAGUUCUCCUCACUAUAUCAAUAGGGUCUAAGGCACCAAUGCCGACCCUUUUCGGAUUCAUAUCCGGGUUUAUUGCAUAAUAUGCUUUAUGAUUUGUAUCCUGGUUAUAGGAUGGUUGCCAUGUUAGUGAUCUGUUAGAUCGGUAUCCUGGUUACAGGAUUAUGCUAUGUUAGUGAUCUGUUAGAUCGGUAUCCUGGGUAUUGGAUGGCUGCUAUGUUAGUGAUCGGUUAGAUCGGUAUCCUGGUUAUAGGAUGGUUGCCAUGUUAGUGAUCUGUUAGAUCUGUAUGACUACAUGUACAUGCUAGCUAGCGUAUGAUAUUUAUGAGCACAUGGUUGUUUGAUUGAGGGUUGAGUUGAGGUGGUCAUGUUGUGUGCUUAGGCCAACACACCCAGGGAGGACCAGAUAGACUGUAGACCCAGGAGGGCAUACUAGUCAGACCGAAGGCCCGACAAGCGGUCCGAAUAAGCUGAAGGCCCACAAGACGGUCUAGACAUGCCGAUGGAUCGGAGAGCGGUCCAGAUAGACAGUUGGCCUGCCAGGUGGUCCAUUCAGGCUGAUGGCUCAUUAUACAUGUUGUUUGUUUGUUAUGAUAUGGUUAUAUUUGUAUGGAGUUGGUAUUUUAGGGAUAAAUCACUAAGCCUUCGAGCUUACAUUUAUAGAUUAUUUUUCAGGUACUUCUGAUUUUCGCGGGAAGGCGAAGGCGUGAUCGUUCACCUCCUUAUAUUUUUAUGAUUUGAUUUUGGGAUACUCUGACACUAAACCGUUUUGAAAACAAGUUUCGUAAUAAUUAUUGGUUUUUCAAAUCUUUUAAAAAGUUUAAAUUUGGCAUGAUUUUUAUAGAUGUUACAAGUUGGUAUCAUAGCCUUGGUUUGAGUGAAUUGGAGGAAACAAUCGUGUGUCUCCAGUCUCAAACUAAGGACAAGAUUUUAAAAAUGAUUUUUCAAAGGGUUUUCAAAAUAAUAAAGGAGGAUGCAAGUGUACGAUCAGCCGAAGCUCGCGAAUAGACCCCAUAAUACCUUACGAAUUAUUUGAUUUUGUGAUAUGUUAGAACAACAUGCUAGUAUUAGGCUAGGGAUCUUCAGGAAUUGCUGGAUAGAAAUGCCUGAUUAUAUGAUGCAUGGUAGCCUAGGGUUUCCUUAUAUGAUAUUGACAUCAUUAUUGUAGUUGUUUAGUGUAUGCAUCACGACUGUACAUAAUUAAGAUCUUAUAGCCUGAGAAUGUUUGGUUUGGCCUUAUUUCCUAUUCUUGUUUAAUGAAGGGCUUAGGGUAGGAUUAGGUAUUCGAAAGUCCAUAGGGUCCAACGUUAUGUAUGGCUAGCAUACACGAGUGCUACAGGGUUGGUGAAAGUUUCGUGGGUGGGUCGUGCGAGGACGGGAGGCCAGUUAUGAGAUAUUUAGCAUUCCUCUAGGAGUGAGGAUUGAGCGCUCACUAUAUUUAUGUAUAUUGUUAGGGCGUUGUGAUGAUACUUGAGACAAAUAUGGGAAGGUAUGGAAGGUAGUAUGGGCCCAUACUACUGAAAGCACAGGACCCAUAUGCAUAGCAAGGAAGUCACAACCCCUAGGGUUUAGUUAGGAGUUGGUUCCCCAUUAUUUAUAUGAAUUAUCUGAUAUUUUCUUGGUAUAUUUUCAGUAUGGUGGUUACGAGAUGCUUUGUGACUAGAUCCGGAUCAGGACCAAGAUCAAGAGAUGGCGGUCAGGUGGGACCGACAAUACUUGAGGUUUUUGGUCAGAUGAGGACGGUUGAGUUAGAAGCCAGGAUUCGAGAAAUCCUGCAUGAUGAGGUUGCAACUCUGUUCUAGGCACAACUGCCGGAGAUUUUUGGGUCUAUUAAGACCGCCAUGGUUAAGUAUUUCGACGAGCGCUAUGCAGCCCUUGUGGAGACGGCUGCCACAACAACUGCGUCAGCUGUAACGGCGACAAGGGGAGGAGCCGGUUGGGCUUUUCAAUAUAGGGACUUCGAAAACACAAAGCCCCCUACUUUUGAUGGGACUCAGGACCCCAUCAAAGCCAUUAGGUGGAUUUAUGAUGUGGAGGGGUGUUUCUGUAGAUGUUCAUGUCCUACUGAUCAGAAGGUCAGAUGUGCCCUGAACCUAUUGAGGUCCGGGGAAAAGGACUGGUGGAGGUUGAUGACUGGAUCUCACACUGAUGAUCAGAGAGUUGCGGUUACUUGGGAGCAGUUCAAGGAUAUGUUCCGCGCUUGCUACAUUCAACGCGUCAAGCGGGAACGGUUAGCUCAGGAGUUCUUGGAGUUAAGACGGGAUGGUGAGAUGGUGAUGGAGAUCACCUGUAUGUUCACGGAGAGGGAGAUAUUCUUCUCAGAGUUUGCUUCUGAGCAGGCUCAGAUAACACGUUAUCUGAACAUGCUCAAGACUGACAUAUGUUAGAUUUUUGCAACCCAAUGAUGUGAUACUUUGUUGGAGUUACAGGAGGCCGCUAGGCGGCGGGAGCUUGAGAUUGAGUUACAACGGAGAGAGCAGAGGUAGGCCCCAACAUAGUCACAGUCGGCGCCAAAGCGAUCUAAGACCACCGAUUCCGGAUCAGGGGGACACCAGGGUUGCACUUGUGGCAAGUGCGGGAAGGGUCACUCAGGGGUGUGUAGAUCGAGCGGUGCGUGCUGCAAAUGCAGAAAGGAGGGAAAUUUUGCAAGGGAUUGUCACCAGACAGUCCCUGUUCAGGAUUUGAGGAUCUUCUACCACUGUCAUCAGGUUGGUCACGUGAAGACCAACUUUCCACAACUCGCUUCUAGGCCGGUUCAGGCUCCAGCGCCGGCUACACUGAGGAUUACUGACGGGAGUCAGGGUUGAGAAGUGCCCCCGAGGGCCCAGGGAUGUGCCUUCCAGCUUACAACAGAGGAGGCCAGGGCAGCACCCGAUGUGGUUGUUGGUAUGUUUCUAUCCCUUAUCUUACUGAUUAUAUCUGUUUUAUGCUUAUAUGUUUAUACCUGUGAUUAGGUACGAUUUUAGUGAAUGCCUUACCUGCUUUCGUAUUAUUUGACUUAGGGGCGAGUCGAUCGUUUGUCUCCCAAAAAUUUAGUAGUGAGUUUGGUGUGACAGUAGGAGAGCUAGAGUGUCCGUUGUAAGUCUCUAUUGCCAACGAACACGGGGUUUACGCUUCUUCAGUCUAUCGUGGUUGCAUGUUGGAGAUCUUCAGGGUAUCUUCUCCGAUAGACUUGAUUCCGAUUCCCAUGGGGGAUGUGUGUGUGAUCGUGGGUAUGGACUGGCUUAGUCGCUUCGGUGCCAUGCUUGAUUGCAAGGGUCAGCGAGUGGUAGUUCGAACCCCAAGUGGGGGGAGAACUGAUUGUUUAUGGAAAGGGUAGCAGAUUGGGAUCAGGGUUUUGUUCAGCUGCCAGGGCUCGACAGUACAUUCAGUACGUGUGUGUGCAGAUUAUCUAGCAUAUGUGGUGGAUACACGGGUCAGGGAUCAGGUUUCAGUAUUAGAGGUUCCAGUGGUCAGCGAGUUUGCAAACGUGUUUCCGGAGAAGAUACCCGAAGUGCCUCUAGAGAGGCAGGUCGAGUUUAGGAUCGACCUAGUGCCAGGUGUGGCCCUUAUCGCCAAGGCGUCGUACCGGUUGGCACCACCAGAGAUGCAGGAGCUGUCAUCACAGUUGCUGGAAUUACUGGGCAAGCAGUUUAUUCGUUCGAGCAGUUCUCUGUGGGGAGCGUCGAUUCUCUUCGUCAGGAAGAAGGAUGGUUCACAACGGAUGUACAUUGACUACAAGGAGUUGAACAAGUUGACGGUGAAGAACUGUUAUCCACUCCCAAGCAUAGAUGAUCUUUUCGAUCAGUUUCAGGGAGCAUCUUGGUUAUCCAAUAUAGACCUGAGGUCCGGGUACCAUCAGGUCAGGGUUAGGGAGGAAGAUGUGGAGAAGACCGCGUUUCAGACUCAUUAUGGACAUUACAAGUUUGUGGUGAUGUCGUUUGGGCUCACCAACAUGCCGGCGGUAUUUAUGGACCUAAUGAAUCGGGUCUGCAGAUCGAUGCUCGAUCGCUCGGUUAUUGUAUUCAUAGACGAUAUCUUGGUGUACUUCAAGACCCGAGAGCAGCAUGAGGAGCAUCUAUGGGAGCUAUUGGGAGUUUUGAGACGAGAAUGGAUUUAUGCCAAGUUCUCGAAGUGUAAGUUUUGGUUACGAUAGGUUCGGUUCCUUGGAUACCUCAUUAACCAGGAAGGGGUUUUGGCCGAUUCAGCCAAAAUCGAGGCGGUGAAGCAGUGGGAGGUUCAGAAAUCUCCCUCGGGCAUCAGGAGCUUCUUAGGAUUGACAGGGUGCUACCGAAGAUUCAUAGAGGAUUUCUCCAAGAUUGCACUACCUCUCACUCGUCUGAUGAGGAAGGGGUGGAUUUCCGGUGAGGCCCCGAGCAGCAGAGGGCAUUUGAGACCCUCCGACAGUGACUUUGUGAGGCUCUAGUCUUGACUCUCCCAGAGGGAGUUGAGGAUUUUGUGGUGUUUUGUGAUGCAUCCAUCGCAAGACUGGGAGCGGUCCUCAUGCAGAGAGGACGGGUGAUAGCCUAUGCGUCUUGGCAGUUGAAGUCGCAUGAGAUGAGAUACCCUACUCAUGAUCUGGAGCUGGGAGCGGUGGUAUUCACUCUCAAGAUUUGGAGACAUUACCUAUAUGGGGUUCGUUGUACCAUAUACACGAACCAAAAGAGCCUGAGACACACCAUGGAUCAGCCGAACCUGAACAUGAGAGAAUGCAGGUGGAUGGUUGUAGUCAAGGACUACGACUGUGAGAUCCGUUACCACCCAGGUAAAGAGAACGUGGUUGCAGAUGCUCUAAGCCACAAGCUAGCAGGAUCUUCUACUCUGGCGACAUGUAAGUGAUGGGUUUUGUUCAUAAGACAUCCUAUGUGCUCGGAUCUAGGUUUCUCUAUUGUACAUACUUUGAAUCCAAGACUAUGAACCCUAAUUCUAGCAUAUGGAAAUUAGAAUUCACAUGUAAAUAGGUUUAAGAACAUACCUUGAUUGUUAUAUAGCAAUAACAAUCCAAUUCCUCCUUGAAUUGACCUUGGAAAGUUGAGAGUCACAAGUGUCACUCCUCUAAUGGCUUACAAACACCAUAAGCAAGUGGAGAAGGUAUAAAGAGAGAGGAGGGAGGUUAGAAUUCGUCCUUAGGACCUCUUGGGAAAGGGUUACACGAAUUCAUGACCCUAGGGGUGUUUAUAUAGGUGUAGAGAUAGGGUUUCAGUCAUUAUCCUUAUCUAGUUGCUUAUCCACCAAGCAACCAAUAAGAUAAUCCUUGAAUCCUUAUCAUACUCGAAUUCUAAGGCUCUUUAAGUAACUAUCACAUAAUUACAAAUCAGCCCCUCUAGUUUAAUUAAUUACAUUUGAUCACAAAACUAAUUCUUAAUUAAUUAUUGACCAAUAUUAAUUAAACAAAUAUGAUUUCUCCUUUAAUAUAUUAUUCUUAUAACAUAUUAAUAAAUCAUAUUAUCCUCUCUCUCUAUAUAUUUCUCCAAUCAACUUGCUUUGGUGAAGGCAACCCAAAAGGACCAUGCACCAUCGGGUCAAGUACAUACCAAAAUAGUUAUGGACUUAGACACUAAUCCAACAGUCUCCCACUUGGAUAAGUCUAAUAACUAUUAUGCGUAUGACUUCAGAUCCUGAUCUGCAAUCGUAGCUUUCCAAAGCCGCUGUCAACUCUGAUCCUAUCAGAUACGCGUGUCCUUAGAUAAGGGAUCAUAUAUUCCUCCAUUCUAGAUAUCAUAUGAGAUAUGAUUUCAAAUCAUUCUCUUUGUACUAUAUCUCGAUUUCCGAUUUAUGACGACUGACUAAUUGAACAAAUCAAAUUAGCCCUAGCCCGGCCGAGCAUUUACGUUUGUCAUCACUAAAUCAUCGAGGGGCCCAAAGAUAUCGCUUUUAUCCUACUUUGGAUAAAAGGAACGGAUAAACUUUGAUACAAUGCUUGCUUGCACUCACUCACCGAAUCACACACAACAAUAUGUUUUAUAACACCAAGUUACUAGUGCGUUUACAUAUUAUCAAUGUGCAACCGAUUUGCAAGAUACAACUCACACAUCUCGGUUUCAAGAAUAUAAGAUGUUAUCGUCUCACCAAUCACUCGUGAUACAAUUCAUGGAGUGAUCCAAGUGAGCGUGGGUUUAAUCCAAUGCUCAAAUCAUAUUCAUAAGCACUCAUGAACGUUGCAGCAAACAUUUGCUUAUGUCUAAUGCUCUUUAGACAAUCCACACACCAAUUCACGACAGUCUUCAUUCAUACCUACUUCCAACAUAUGAACGACUGUGGCCCGUUCGAAUAAUUUGACUGUUCUUAACCAAUUAAAUUAUUCAGGAAGUCAAAACAUGCAAAGUGAAACACAAGAAUAAUACUAAUCCCAUAUGGCCUCAAACCUUUGAGUAUAAAUAAAACACCUUUUAUUUAUCACCAUAUCGAUUACUCAUUAUUUGUUGUUUCGGGUAAUCAACUUCUUACUUGAAUUAUUACUACACUUGUCCCAUGCUCUUAGCAUGCACACAAUGUUUACCUAUGGUUCUUACUUUGUGAAAUAGAUCAAAUGAACACAUUUCCAAUCAUACUCAUUUCACAACUCCAAAUCCUUUUUCAUAAGUGAAAGAAUAUCAAAUUCUUGCUACUUAUAAAAUAUGCUAGAUUCUAACAUUUUAUGCAAUGAUCCUUUCGUAAUGUCACUGCACCAAAGUCACAAAGACUAUUGCCAAUGAUAUUACAAAGUCCUCUAUCGGAGAUUGUUACAAGACAAUUCCUUAGAUAUGAUGUCUCUCACUCAAAGUACAUUCCUUUGAACAUCCUUUUGCAUAAAAGUUUCUAAUCUAGACAUAGAUUUUCAAUAUUCAAUUCCCAAUAUGGACACGUUUCCAUAUUUUCCAUAUGACAACUCAUUCUUAAUAGAAUCUUAUCUAUUCAUAAUAAUGUCGAUAUGGUCCAUCCAAUACUAUACUUCCAACUACUCACAAGCGACCAAUCCUCGGCGAACUUUGGAUUGUCCUUUGAUAGUUGUUUAAUUAUCUUAGUCAAAACCGAUUCUUGUCCUUUUUCCCUCUAAAUGCGCUAGACAUUUGGAAAAUUUUAGAAUGGUCAAAUAUUAUAGCAUUUGCAAUCGAUCCUAUACCCGAAGCGUAUGGGACACGAUGCAUAAUGUCUUACAUAAAGAUUUGAUACUUUAUCAAUCUUCUUCCAUAAUAUCUUAUGUUUCACUUUCUUAUGAUUCGAACUAUGAAGAGGAAUGCCGUAAUCAUAAUCGAAAUUUAAGAACACACUAUGUAUCCUUGACUAAAUUUAUUAACAUUCCACAACCUAAGCCUUUAGAUUUGAAAUGAAGCAUAAUAUUCUCUCCCUUAAUUAUAGCAAAACAACUUUUCAACCCUUACAACUUUGCAAAGUAUAACUCUUGUUUUCUAUAAUUAAUAUUGCUAACUUGCAAUACUUGCCUUAAUAAUCAUACAAUCAUAACAUUUAUGCUCCCACUAUCAUGAUGAUUAUUAUAAACAUAACACUUAUGCUCCCACUAGCUUUGACAUGUAUUCAGAAACCAGCUUAACUUCCAGAAAAACAAUACUUAUUGAAUUUCUUAAGUUCAUGUUUCUAAUACCUAAUGCUUUGAUAAUCCUUUAUCUAAGCUUAUACACCUUUCCCUUAGAUAGCUCAUAUGUGUGUCUAAACAAUUCAGACUAAUUGCCAAAUCUCACAAUUCGAAUCAUGGAAAGGGAUACCGUAACCAUAAUCGAAUUCGAGAAUCCAUUUUCACAAUCACUAUCUUCUUAAAAUCUCUCUUAGUGAAAGCAUUUCCUCACAGUCAUUUUCAUGAAGGAGGGAAUCUUAUGACACUUAGAUUUUAAUGGUGUAUGUGUUCCUAUCCAUGUGAAUUUGUCAAAACCAAAGUUUACGACAAAUUCAAACUCAUAUGGACCGAACUUUCUUAAUCUUGACUUCUUGCCUUAUGGUAACACAGCUGCCCACCAUGUCUUCCAAGUAGUUAAGCAGCUCACCCUUUCCUAUCAAUGUACUUUCCAUUGAUCAAGGUGCCUGCCUUUUAUGCGUUCAAAUGAGAACUCAUAGAACUCACAUGCAUAAUUAACUCAAUUGGAAUGGCACAGAAACAAAAUAGUGUCAACACGAUAGGUUGUAAACCUCAACUCGUGUGCUAGUGAUGAUCGAUAAGGUUUAUUUUGAUUUGUUCUUGAAACCUUUCAAGACCAUUAAGACUCCCACUGACUCCUUGACAUAUAAGAUUCUCUUGUCAAUAAACAUUUCUUGACAAACAAAUAUUCAAGAGUUAGUGUAGCUUUUAUCAAAACACUUCAUAAAUUGGUCCUAGUUGGUCUUUGUCUUAUCCAAGACAUCACAACUUUCCACAUUUGAUGAAUGUUAUAAACCUUCUUAAUACUUUUCACUCAAUGUCACAAUCUUAACUCUAAGACUUGUUUUGGAACGAAGUAUGAUUGACUUCUUGAUUUAACCAUUUCUUCAAUUCUUGAUUCCUCUUCUUAGACAUACAAUUGUACUAAGACUCACUUAGAGGAUCAAUUGAGAUAUGGUUCUUAAUCAUUAAGACCUAUCAUAAAGCAUAAAAGGUACUCUCCCUUCUUCUUAGAAUGGAGAAACUUUUAUCUUUCUGCCUACUUGAUUCUUCUUAUUCGUUCUGCUAUUGAUUUAAACUUUUUCAAUCAAUUCAGAAUUACACUUAAUCUUGUAAGUAUAAUCAUAUUUACUAAACCUUUAGUAAAUCAUGACGAAUAUCUUUGUUACUCUUAUGGUGGACUUGAUCAAUACACAACUUUGUGUACUCGAUCUCCAAGUCCUUCACUUGACUCUUUGUCAAUGAAUUAGUCUAAUUUCCAAAUAUGAAAUUUCUCAUUCAUCGUGCAACCAAGUUGCAUGAUUCCAAGUUUCUGUCCAAUUGAAACUUGGGCGAUGAGAAACUCUCCCUAUUUGGUAAACUCUCGACUUUCCAUAAAUAACAUAAUAAGAACCAAAUCCAUUAUUGCUAAUAAUAGAAACAUUCAAACAUCAAUUUUUCAUAUACGCCAUUGCAAGGAUAAAUAAAUAAUAUAAAAUCAAAAUUUAUUUUAUUGCGGAAAAAAUUUGUCCUUACAAUGCAAUUCAUUGAAAAACUAUGCUAAUACAUCUUUCUUAGCAAUCUAAUUCUAACUCUAAGUAGUAGCUCAAGAAUCUAAUCUUCGAGAAAUGCGAUCGAAAUCCAUUCCUUCACGGUUAGAUUCUGCUCACUUCUUCCCUUAAGCUUCCUUUCUUUUCUUCGAUCCUACAAAACAUCAAUUGUAAUCUUAUCACAUUAUGUAUUAAGAAUCUAGAAUAGAAGCUUAAAAGAGUUAGUUAAUGGAUUUUACCUAUAUUAGAGCCAUACGUUUCGACUCUCCCAUCUCUUAGAUCUCUUAGGUAAAUGGGGCAGCUUCGUCUCCAAUGCCCUUUCUCUUGGCAAUAAAAGCAAAUUGACUCUUUUGGAACAUGACAUGGAACUACUUCAGACAUUGCCUUUCUCUUAUGAUCAAACUUUUCGAUCAUAGCAUGUCUUUCGUUGCCAUUGUCUAUAUCCAUAGAGGUCUUGAAGGCAGAUUCACCAAUCAACUUUGCUUUUCUAUUGCGCCAAACCAUUGCUGAUUCAGCAGCAAUAAGCAUAUAGGUGAGAUCUAUAAGGGUCACGUCGCGGUUCAUCAUAUAGUACUCUCUUACGAACUCACUAUAUGAGUUAGGAAGUGACUGAAGAACCCAAUCAACAGCCAUUUCCUCACAGACAACGGAUCCCAACAUUCUUAACCUAUCAAUGUGUGACUUCAUCCCUAGGACGUGUGCACACACCGACUUUCCUUCUUUAUGUUUACUUGCCAAAAGGGCUUGAGUGAUCUUGAACUUUUCAAGCCUUUGAACUUGUGGGUUAGGGAGAAUAAUUGGAGGAGGAGGAGGAAGUGAAGCAUGAUUUCUUGUUCCUCGAUCGAAUCGUGGAAUAUCAUCUUCAUGUGGAAUGCUUGUUCCACGGGAUUUGGGAAGACCAUAGUUGUCGAACUUUGACAUCUACAAAACGGGAGAAAACGAAUUCAAGUUAGUUGAUUGAUUGAGUCCUUAGUAAAUCACCCAAAUGAGAUACUAAGGCUAGGACCCAACACAAUAUUCUACAACUCGGGAGAGGGAUGCCGUAACCCUAAUUGCAGAAUAUUUGAAGGUAAGUGAAUGACGAUUCACUAAUUUCCACCAUGAAAAACGAAAAAGAAAUUUAAGUUUUAAAUCUAUGAAAACUCCUAGAUCCUUUGAGAUUCAUUGAACUUUCAAUGGCAUGUUUAAAUCUCGAUAUGCCCCUCUUGUUUGUGACUGGGAUGCCGAGGAUCACAAAGCGGGUGUGAAUAACCAUGCAAACUUACAUGGUGCCCUCACAUGUUACAGUCACCUAUUCGAUGUGCCGGUAAACCACACACGCUCCACCGAACUAUGACAAACAUUGAGUCACCCUUUGCUACCUUUGCUUAGACCCAUUUAGUGUGCCGGUUAACCACACACGCUCCACUAACGUCUUCGCAAGGGCACAAAGUGUAAUUUCAUGGAAUUGCAUCAAUUCACUUUUGCCUAAGUAACUAAGAUUGGGAAUUUUAUGAAAACAUUUAGUUACUUUAAUAAUUCAUUAUACUUAUAAUGGAAGGUUUCGUCCUAUCCUACCCGUUCGGCUAACGACCCUCCACUAGUCAAGAGUGCGGUGGGUAAGAGUGGAUACCCAUUCAAUCGCCAUUUUAUAGGCAAUUUCCUUAAACACCCCUUAUAGACCAGCUUCGUGAAUGAGGCCUACUAACGGUAAGACUGACUUUUACUCAUACAUAUAUAUAAUGUUAGACUUUUAAUGUUAUAUAUAGUAUAGGGUGUAUUUUAUACUUUUAAAAUACUAGGUGGUCUAAUUUAACAAUUAUACUUUUAAUUCAAUUAAAUUGUAAACCUAAACUUUUAUGGAUUUAUUAAACCUCUUUUAAUUAUACACCUUAAUUAAUUAAUAAAACCAUAAGGGUGUGAUUUGAACUUUUUCAAAACUAUACUAGAGUUUUAGAAUUUAACAUUCCUAAUUAAACUUUUAAUCAACUUUUAAAUUCCAAAACUUGAGGGCAAGUUUUGAAACAUUUCAACACAUUAGGGUUUAGAAUUUAAAUAUGCAUCAAAAUUAAACUAUUUAAUCAAAAUUUAAAUUCCAAAACUUGAGGGCAAGUUUUGAAACCUUUUUCAAAACAUUAGGGUUUCAACUAUUUAAAUUUCAAAACAACAAAACUUUUGGGGUUCAAAUUUAAACUAUAAAACCUAAAGGGCCAAAUAUGAAACUUUUCACAACAACAAGGAUCAAAUAACAAAUAAUUCAAAUUAACAUUUAAUCACAUAAUUAUCCAUAUUUGAUGAUUUCUUGCAAAAUAAUUUAUCAAUUUACUUAAAAUAAUUAAUCAAUUAUCUUAUAAGGAAACAAUUAUCUUAUUAAUUGAUAAAUAUCUUCAAUUAGAUUAAAAAUAUAGUCAAAUAUAUCAUAUAAUCGGAUUAAUAUUAAUCUAACAUGAUAAGGUAAUUAUCCCAAUGCAAAAACAGCAAGAAAUCCCGAGAUAAGCACUGUCUGACGCACCGACUCGCCGAGUCACCCUCUGGAACUCGCCGAGUAGGGCUGACUCGCCGAGUCCAAGAGUGACUCGCCGAGUCAGGUCGAACAGUGAGGCCAAAACACGAUUUUUAGAUACAUCAAGCAUCAAUACAAUAGAAACCAAUCAAGGCUCUGAUACCACUGAUGGGUUUUGGUCAUAAGACAUCCUAUGUGCUCAUACAAACCCUAAAGCUCGGAUCUAGGUUUCUCUAUUGUACAUGCUUUGAAUCCAAGACUUUAAACCCUAAUUCUAGCAUAUGGAAAUCAGAAUUCACAUGUAAAUAGGUUUAAGAACAUACCUUGAUUGUUAUAUAGCAAUAACAAUCCAAUUCCUCCUUGAAUUGACCUUGGAAAGCUGAGAGUCACAAGUGUCACUCCUCUAAUGGCUUACAAACACCAUAAGCAAGUGGAGAAGGUAUAAAGAGAGAAGAGGAAGGUUAGAAUUCGUCCUUAGGACCUCUUGGGAAGGGGUUACACGAAUUCAUGACCCUAGGGGUGUUUAUAUAGGUGUAGAGAUAGGGUUUCAGUCAUUAUCCUUAUCUAGUUGCUUAUCCACCAAGCAACCAAUAAGAUAAUCCUUGAAUCCUUAUCAUACUCGAAUUCUAAGGCUCUCUAUCCUUAAAUUCGUCCAACCUAUCAAUAAGAUAACCCUUACCUUAUUUUGUAACUAUCACAUAAUUACAAAUCAGCCCCUCUAGUUUAAUUAAUUACAUUUGAUCACAAAACUAAUUCUUAAUUAAUUAUUGACCAAUGUUAAUUAAACAAAUAUGAUUUCUCCUUUAAUAUAUUAUUCUUAUAACAUAUUAAUAAAUCAUAUUAUCCUCUCUCUCUAUAUAUUUCUCCAAUCAAGUUGCUUUGGUGAAGGCAACCCAAAAGGACCAUGCACCAUCGGGUCAAGUACAUACCAAAAUAGUUAUGGACUUAGACACUAAUCCAACAAUAAGAGGAUAUCAGUGGAUUGUCCACUAGUGGGUUUGAUUAGGGAAGCAGAAUGAGGGUAUGUGACAGGAGAAUUGGAAGCUUGAGAGGAUUAGGGGUGAGAACACCCGGUUUGUGCAGGAUAGCCGGAGAUUAUUGACCCAUUGCGGUUGGAUCUAGGUUCCAAUGUCUGGUAGGGUCAGACAGACUAUACUGGAGAGCUCGGUGUGGAUCGAUUGAGCAAAAAAUGCUCAUUAUCUGCCCAGUUGGGAGAGCUCAUCGGCCGAGAAACUGGCGAACAUGUACAUACGUGAGAUUGUCGCUCGACAUGGGGUUCCGGUCUCUAUUGCUGCUCCAACUUGUCGUGUAGGAGAGAUCAGCCUGCAUGGAUUUUUAAGAAAACUCAACGAGUUGGAGGGGCCAACUCAACGAGUUGAGGUUGUUUAGUGAAAACCCUAACUUCUGGGGUUAUGCACCCUAUUUAAAGAACUUAUAACGCAUAGUAGCCUUCCUCAUCGUCAUUUCAACCAGAGAAAACCCUAGAUCGAGUUUGGUACCUUCUUGUGUGUGUUUGAGAGCUUAAAAGGUGACAUUUGAGGAGUUUUGGAAGGAUACUUGAAGAUUGAGAAGCUUGGAUCAAGAAGAGGGUGGUAGAUCCAUCAUAUGCUGUGUAUUGGCGAUCAAACUGAGGUAUAAAGUUAAUACCUUGACUUCUUGAUACUUAGAUCUUCUUUUGGGAGUUUUUAUGGCCAUAUUUGGGACAUUAUGGAGUCAUCCUUGAGUUUGAGCUUGUCAUAAGGACAUGGUUUCAGAUCUGGACUCCACUAGGUCCCCAUAGUCACAAAGUCAUCAACUUUAUCAAUCUUUGGCCCUUCUCCAUACCGUAGACCUUUCUUGAGCUUAGUUUUGGGUUUUUUAGCCUUAUGAGGCCUUGCAUGCACGUAAAGUUAGUAACUUUAUGUGGUAACUUCAUCCUAGGAGGUUGGAUCUGAAUUUUGGAGCAUUGGAAUCGACUAGAAUGAGCUUAAUGUGUAAUGGAUGAAGAACUCGAUGAGUUGGGCAUCUAACUCGACGAGUUGAGUCAGGUUUCCCGUUUUUGGAUUCAAAGUAAACUCGAUGAGUUGGUGGAACAACUCGACAAGUGGUUAAGGUUUUCCCCGAUCUUCUGGACACUGCAUGGACUAGAUGAGUCUGCUAGCAACUCGGUGAGUUGAUUGGGGUUUUCAUGAUUUAUUGAGUUCUGAGGAACUUGACAAGUUCUGAGUUGCAUCGACGAGUUGGGUCAACAUUGAAUGUUGACCUUGACUAUUAACUUCUGAUCGAAUUUAGGGUUUUGGUCAAACUGUGGAUUUUGGAGGCCAUUGAGGGGUGGAGUCUAGACCAGCAGUUCGAGUGUGGGAUAUACUGCUUUACUAGGCGAGGUGAGUCUUCUCACUAUACUUACCUGGGUGGUAAUUGUUGUGCGACCGGAAGGUCUUAUCUGUGUUAUUGACCGGAGAGUCUUAUGUACUUAUACUGAGAUAUGUUAUAUUAUGCAUUUGUCUUUGUGAUUUAUGUUGUAUAUUAUUCUGUGUUUUUAUUGAGAUAGGAACAGAGGGUCCAAACCGAGCUGUGAGACCGGAUGGUCUUCAUUAGGACACAUGACCAGAGGGUCCUUAUCGAGAUAUAGCCAUGAGAGGCUAAUUAUUUGUGUGUGGUAUUUUUGGGAAUUCACUAAGCUUCGUGCUUACAGUGUUGUGUGAAAUGUGUUUCAGGUACAUCUCAGGAUCGUGGGAAGGCAACAACAUGAUUGUACUCACCAAGUAGUUGAUUUGUGUUUUGAGGAUUCUAGGAUAAUUGACAAACAGUUUUAUGUCUUGUGCUUGAAACAAAUUAUAAAUUGGAUUUGGGAUAUAUUAAACUGUGUUUUGUGUGGAUUAAAAGUGAAAAAUUUAUUUGAAAAUUUAGAGUGUUACAAGUUGGUAUCAGAGCCUUGGUUUGAGGGAUUCGGACGUACCCUUGGGUAUGUCAGGACUCAAAAUGAGGAUUUAAGGAAUCUGUCUAAAAAUAAAUGAUUUUCUAAAGGAGUAAAAGUUUUUAAGAGAAAAUGAGAAGAAGCAGUGUGUACAAUCAGGCCAGAGUCCAGACGGUGAUUUCCCAAAAUACCCUUACUUGAUUAUAUUAUGAAAUGAGUUGUUUCGAGCUAUUAGCAUUGCAUGCUAGACAAUAGGCUAGGAAUUUCAGGAAUUCAGAGCUAGAAUUGCCUGAUUCAUGAUUCCAUAGCCUAGGAGGUCGUCAUUGAAUGACAUUAUUUCUUGUCAUUUACCUUGUGAGGGAUGCUGGAGGUCUUUACGAGUUAGAGUGGAGUUGAGAAGCUAUCUAGUAGGAGCAUCUAGAUGUGUAAUUUGAGGAGUCUAUUGAGAGAGUAGUUAGAUACCCAUGAGAGGUAGGAUUGCCUGAGUUCGGUGAUGCAUUUUGAGUUGUGGAUAUAUCAAGUGGAGUUGUAUGCUAGAGUGGUUUUAUGUGUUGGUGGAGGUUACUCGAUGCCUGAAUGCUGCUUGCUUUGUGCUUUCUGGAACUCACGAGUGAUGUGAGUAAGCUAGAGUAGCUAAUUGACAUUACGCGGAGUCCUUCAGCAGCUGAUGGCAGAGAAGUGUGAGAACCUAGGAGAGCCUAGGGACUAAUUUUAUUCCUAUAAGUGCGUUGUUUAAAGGUGAGUAUUCGCUGGAUAGCGAGCAUGUGUAAUGGGAUUGGUUGAUCGAGAAGGUUGAGCAACUACUUAGGAAAUAUGGGAUGAUCCGUGUGGAAAGUAUGGGUAGAUGUAGAAGGUAGUAUGGGCCCGUACUACUGAAAACAGAGGAACCAUACUCGAAAAAAGGAGAAUUCCAGAGGUUUUAAGUAGCAGGUUGAGGGGAGAUAACUUGGUUUGGGUACCAUGACUCGUAGCAGAGUGUGCUUCCGUAUUUACUAGUUAUCCCGCUUUGGUUGUUCAGAUCGAGAGUUGAUAUGGUAAAUUAUUGGGACGGAAGGCCAUGUCAGUUGAGCUUAAAUGGAGUAUACCUUACGAGAAAAAUUAAGUUUAGUUCUCGAGGGAUUUGACUGAAAGGUGCCAAUAAGAGUCACAGGACUCUAAAGGGAAGCGGAGAUGAGGUCGCAGUCUGAGUUGAAUGAUCAACUGAUUGAUUGUGAUGGAAAUUUCUAUGACGAGGAUCAUAUUAUUCCCGAUUUUUGUUUUGGAAGGAAGGGUCAGUGAGCUUUUGAUUUCAGAGUUUAGAGGAACACCCCGUUGGGUACCAGAUAGUUGCGGUAUUAGCACCAAAGGGAUUUUUGUGGUAUGAGUGCCUUGAAUUAUUUCGUAUACUGGGAGGGAGUCAUUAGUGGGGAAUGUGAUAGACGAGGACAAGGAUGCGCCGAGAAUGAGCAUGGCAAGGCAUAUUCUAGCAACAGUUCCAUGUAACCGGGGGGAGUAUCUCGGGACAACAACCUUCGUUCUCUAUGCCGCGAAUCGACUGUGAGAGUGAGGUCUCCUGUUUCUAUCUUGAUUCUUGCGAUGGGGUGUUGGUUGAGGAUUCAGAGAAUGAAGUGUGCAAUAGUCCGUUAUUUCCAGAUAAAGAGACAGUUUUAUUUUAGGAUUGUCGAGACAACUUCCUGCACAGCCGAAUGAGAUUCUAGGUGACUGAAGGUAGUCACAUUGGGAGAGUUCCGAGGUUUCCCUCUGAGAUUCAGAAUAUUUGGAGUUAUUUGGUCAUUAUCUGGAAGGUCAUCGAGUGUUGUGUGGUACAUUCCAUGAGUCAGGAAUGGUACAUCUGGUGAGCCAAUCUGUAGUGUAGUUUGUUUCGUAUGUCAACGGGCGAUGGUUCGAACCCUAAGUGGGGGAGAACUAGAUAUUCUAUGGGGAGGAUCCUCAAUCUGGUGCGGUACAAAAUUUUGGUUUAUAUGGAUAUACGGUCCGAGUAUACGAGACUAGGGUCUUGUGGCAGUCAAGCGAAAAUACAGAGUGAGAUGAUGCAUGUUGCAUAUGCUCAGGAGAGAAUGAGUGUCUUCACAGUAGGUGGUCGUUGGACAAGAAUCUUAUUGUGGUCUGUGUUUCUUUCGGGUAUGCCAAUGUUCGAGUUCUGAGGAGGUUGGGUCAUUAAGUUUCGAUUGUUGAGAGAUUUUCUAGUCAACGUGUACAUUGCUAUCUAUACUCUAGGAGGGGCAAUAGUUGAUCAACUUCAGAGUCGGUAUGUGUAGUUUUGCAUGGGUUUUGAUAGGUAGAGGAUAGGCUAUUGGAUUGUCGUCAAUGCGUUCUCAGUCAUUGACGAUUCCUCCAUGCUUCAAAACUUUGAGUUAGAGUACUUCAAGGUUUCGAGUUAGAGUAGCAAGCUAUCGUGAGAUUCUGUGAUGGUGUAUCAAGGUAUCUGAGUAUGAUUCCCUGGAUUGUUGGAUUACUAUGAGACUUGGGGUUUUCAGGCGGCAAGUGGAGCAGCAAGCGACUAUAUUUCCAGUUGUGAAACCAUCAAUCAAUUGUCGCCAGCAGUAGUGAAGCUUGAUCUGGGUGCAGGUGCGCACCUAUCUAUGAUGGGUCGUGGAGCAUGAGUUUGGUGAGCUCAGUAUGGUGAUAGCUUGAUGAUGAGAUUGUGGGGUGAUAAGAGAGUGGAUGGAUCCAGGUGGGAUUAAUCACUUAGGACUGUCAGGGAUACCCGUGGGGUGAGCCCAUGGCGAGUGAGAGAGUGUUGUAAGACUGCAGGGAGCAAUAUCAUUCACUAGUCAGUGAGAGAGUGUUGUAAGACUGCAGGGAGUCGUAGCAUUCACUAGUUAGUGAAAGAUUGUUGUUAGACUGCGGUGAGCCGUAGCAUUCACUAGUCAGCGAGAGAGUGUUGUAAGACUAUGGGAGUCAUAACACUCAUUAGUUAGUGAGAGAGUGUUGUAAGACUGCGGGGAGCCGUAGCAUUCAUUAGUAUGUGAUAGAAGUGUUGUAAAAUUGUGGGGAGCCGUAGCACUCAAUAGUCAGUGAGAGAGUGAUGUAAGACUACGAGGAGGCAUAGCACUAAUUAGUUAGUGAGAGAUAGUUGUAAGACUGCAGGGAGCCGUAACAUUCACUAGUCAGAGUGUGACGCAUAGGGGUUCUCAGGCUUGGGUAGCCUUGUCAAUCGAGUCUUUGGGAACCUGGUGGUCGGACCAGGGGUGAGACUAAGGUCUCAGAGAUGGUCGGGAACCGUUAUGUCUUGAUUUAGGGAGGGGUUGUCACAUAUCGGAAGGAACAAGGUGCAAUGCAUGCAUAGACUCGUGGAACAUGGAUCAUGAGUUGAGUAUCAGCUUGGAUAUUAGUGGUCCCAAUUUUGCUGUCGGACCAAACUCUUGUGUUUGAGUUUGGCUCUAUCUGUGUAAAGGAUAGGCAAGUUGGGAUUUCGGAUUGUCAGAUUGUUGAGUAUUACAGUGUUGCGUCUUUUGGGCCUUUGUAUUUAAUCUUCUGUAUAACCGAGUUGGGCCUAUCCACUCGUGUUUAAUGAUUAGGGUUUUACUAUUUAAGGUGCAUGCAUGCAUCGUAUAUCAAUUAAUCGUGUCAUUGUAAACCCUACACAUCUCUACAGUAGCAGUUCUUAAUAGAGCUCUUUUGAGGUUGUGACUUAUAAUAAUUUGACACAUUCUUCAUUUAUAUUAUGUCUUUAUUCGCUUAUAAUUGUUUGAAUAUAAUCGAUCUUAAGAGUUUUCUACUCUUCAAUUGGUAUCAGAGCAGGAGACUGUGUAAUCUAUACGCAUCUCUUCUAUUGCAAGAAUUUUUAGGGUUUCCACUAUUAUAGGAUCUGUUUCAGCCGUCAUCGUUGUUAUUGACACUGUUCUUUGAUCUUUAUAUUACCCAAAAACCAUUUAGUUUAUACAUUUUAUUCAUACAAGUUUUGUUAAUCUCUAAACAUGGCAGACGACUCUCAUGUUAACUCGAUAAAUCUUUCUAGCAGAAUUGGAUCUACAACCAGAAUUCCCAUUCUUUUUCCCAACGAUUAUGAAGUGUGGGCACUGCAUUUUGAAGACUAUGUCCUUCAGCUUGAAGACAAUGGCUAUUUGAUUUAGGAAGCCAUUAUUGUUCAGACGUUCACUUAUACAUGAACAAGAAGAGAAAUUAAAACUCAGCAAGACUACAAUAAACUUCUUGUUGAUGUAAAAGAUAUAUCACAGGAUGAGAAGGGCAGAUUAAUAAGCAAUGUUAAAGCAAUGAAGAUCAUCAGGUUUGACUUGCCACCAGACACUUUCCGUUUGGUUAGUUCGUAUGAUACUGCAAAGGCCAUCUGGAGAUCAUGUGCACAGGAGACUCUCACAUCUCAAUUUUAAAGAUAUCAACAAGCUCGUUCUUGGAGAUCAUGUGCGAGGAUUACCACUCUUAAAAUUUGACAAAGAACAUCUUUGUGCAACAUGCCAAAUGGGAAAGUAGAGCAGGAAGAGUCAUCGAACAAUCAUGAAUACAAAAGUCAUUAAGCCAUUUGAACUUUUGCAUAUAGAUCUUUAUGGUCCUUCUGCAAUUGAAAGUGUCAGUGGUAAUAAAUAUAUUCUUGUUAUUGUAGAUGAUUUUUCUAGAUUCACUUGGGUACAUUUUCUUAAACAGAAAUCAGAAGCCACUCCUAAGCUCAAAGACUUCAUAAAGCAAAUAAAGUUUCAACUAUGAAAGCUGGUUCAUAAUGUGCGCAGUGACAAUGGUCUGGAACUCAAAAACCAAGCGUUUGAAGAAUUCCUGACUGUGAAAGGAGUAGCUAACAAUUUUUCAGCUCCUUACACUCCUCAACAAAGCGGUGUAGUUGAAAAACAAAACUGUUCAUUGUGCAAGGCUGGGAGAACCAUGUUGUCGUUCGCAAAUCUGCCACUCUACUUCUGGGCGGAUGUGAUAGGAACUGCUUGCUUCACCCAAAACCGGUCUAUUCUCAAUAAGCGAUUCUCUGUCACCCAUUAUGAAAUUAUAAAUAAUAGAAAACUUAACGUUAAGUUUUUCUAUGUUUUUGGUUCCAGGUGCUUCAACUUCAACUUAAAGGAACAGAGGAACAGAUUUGAUAUGAAGGCUGAAGAAGGUAUCUUUCUGGGGUAUUCUCUAACUUCUAAAGCAUAUCGGGUUCUCAACAAAAGAUCCAAAAGGAUUGAAGAAACCUGUUAUGUUACGUUUGACGACAAUUACACGAAGAAGUUUCCGAAGAAUGAUAGUCCAACACAGGAGAUAUUUCGUAAACUGAAUCCCACUACCAUCCCACUUUCCAACCUUUGCAAGGAAUUCUUGAACUUAUUUGAUGAACCAGAGAAGGCAAUCUCCUCAGAUUCCAAAGAAACAGACAACAAAGAAGACGAACUAAUGAUGUUGCGAAAUAAAUGGAACAGGAACACACCAAUACGAAAGAUUUUGAAGUUCCAGUUCAACCUACAGAUGCGAAUGUUACAUCGCAGGGGGAGGGUUCUACUUCAACCUCCUCAUCUGGUAUACCUGUUCAAGGGGAGAAUGAAACCCCUGAUGUCAGACUAGAGCCACCUUUCCAUGGGAGAAUCAGAAUCCAGAAGACGAUAAUCAUACAUCAUUCGAGUGGGAGAAUGGAAAUGCGAAUGAUGAUUCAGAUGUACAAUCAGAAUUUGAAGAAGUGAAUGCGGAAUUGGAUCCACCAUUUGAUCCAAACUAAUCUCCAUUAGUUAAAUGGGCCAAAGAUUAUCCAAAAACUCAAGUCAUUGGAGAUUCGUCUUCAGGUGUUCUUACGAGAGCUCAACAAAAUGCGAAGCGAGCUGCACUAUUCUCUAAAGUGGAAUUUUUCAUGUUCAAUUUGUUUAUCUCCAAACUUGAACCUAAAAAUGUUCAAAUUGCUCUUGAUCAUUCUGAUUGGGUGCAAGAAAUGUAGAAGGAGGUUAAUGAAUUUGAUCAAAACAAAGUCUGGAGACUGAUUCCCACUAUGAAGGAUGCUUCUGUUGUUGGUAUUAAAUGGGUAGUUCGCAAUAAAAUGGAUAAGGAAGGAAAUAUGAUAAGAAAUAAGGGACGGCUCGUAGGAAAGGGUUACUAUCAGGAAGAAGGCAUCAACUAUGAAGAAACUUUCGCACCUGUUGCAAGGUUAGAAUAUGUUCGUAUCUUUCUGGCAUACGUAACACACAAGAACUUUGAAGUCUAUCAAAUGGACAUCAAGUGUGCAUUCUUGAAUGGGUAACUUGAAGAAACAGUGUACGUGGAACAACCACUAGGGUUUAUAAAUGAAAAAUAUCUGAACUACUAUUACAUUCUGGACAAGGCAGUUUAUGUUCUAAAGCAAGCUCCAAGAUCCUGGUACGAAACUCUAACUCAUUUUUUAAAAUAGGCUAAAUUUAAACAAGGAUCUGUCGACCCAACCUUCUUUCACAAGAAAGACAGUGACCAUUUGAUGAUCAUUCAAAUUUAUGUUGAUGACAUCAUCUUCGGAUCAACUAACCCCAGUUUAACAGCCGAGUUCCAAAAGCUAAUGGAAGCUAAAUUUAAGAUGAGUUCCAUGGGUCCGAUUAACUUUUUUCUUGGCUUGAAUAUAAGACAGAGUCAGGAAGGGAUCUUUAUCAGUCAAGAAGCUUAUACACAGACCUUACUCUCCAAGUUUGGAAUGGUGGGAGAUUCAAAAGUGAAGGUUCCAAUGACAUUCAGAAUGAAACUAACUCCAUCUCUGGAUAAACCAGCAGCUGAGAUGACUCUUUAUCUUCAGAUGAUAGGGUCAUUGAUAUAUCUAACUGCUCGUCAUCUAGACAUCAUGUUUUCUGUUUGCUAUUGUGCUAGGUUUUAAGCUAAUCCUCGCGAGCCUCACGUGACCGAUGUUAAGAACAUCUUCAGGUAUCUCAAGUGAACAUCCUCAUUAGGAAUUUGGUACCCUUUGAGUUCAGGUUUCUUUGUGCAAGUGUUUUCAGAUGCUGAUCUUGGAGGUUGUGGUCUAGAUAGAAAAAGUACAACGUAAGGAUAUCAAUUUCUUGAUGGAAAACUCGUAAGUUGGCAAUCUAAAAAGCAAACUUGUGUCUCCCUAUCGACUGUUAAAACAUAGUACAUAGCUGAUGCAUCCUGCACCUCAUAAGUCAUUUGGAUUCAAAUUCAACUUCGUGACUAUGGUAUCAACUUUAAACGAAUCCCCUUAUAUUGCGAUUCUGAAAGCGGCAUUUGCAUUUGUCAUAACCCAGUGCAACACGCAAAGGCGAAACAUAUAGCACAGAGGUAUCACUUCAUCAAAGAUCAUGUGGAAGAAGGAAAUGUCGAAAUACACUUUGUAAGAUCCGCUGAUCAGUUAGCUGACAUCUUCACGAAAGCCUUGGCUGAACAAUCAUUCAAUCAUAUUCUUCAAGGAUUAGGAAUGAUAGAAGCUGAGUCUGUUCCGAAACCACCUUCGCAGUCAUAAGUUUUUGAGUGGCCUGCGAAUUCGUAUAAACGCUUGCAGGGACUCACAGUCAUCUUUUAUCCUGCGAAUCGAUGCGAACGCUCGCAGUGACUCGCAACCAACUAUUCACACUGCGAAUCAAUGUGAAUGUUCGCAGUAACUCGUAGUCAAUUGGUCAUUCGUGGUUUGGAAUUUUCAUGUAUCCUUUGUACAUUUUUUUUUAAAAUUUAUUCUAUUUUUAUUCUUUUUUAGAAAAACGAAAAUCCAAAAAUAUUUUAUUUAUUUAUUUAUUUUUAUUUAUUUUAUUUUUCAAAACAUUAAAAUCCAAAAAUAUUUUAUUUCUUUCUGUUUUUAUUUUAUUUUUUCAGAAAAACAAAAUUACAAAAAUAUUUUCUUUAUUUUCUUCACUUUUAUUUUACUUAUUUCAAAGAUACCAAAAAUAUUGGAUAAUUGAGCAGGUUUCAUGUCAAGAAUCUUGGUGAUCUUAAUUACAAAUGACAGAGCAAGUAUAAAAUUUCUUAUCUAUGCACUAGUUAAGUGUCCCUAGAAGAAUGCUGCUGCAUGUAGACCAAAGCCUCAACAACUUUCUAUGUUGAAGCCUUAAUGAAUCGAUUACACCAAUCGUUUCUCCCCAAUAAGGCUCUUAAUUCGCACAAGUCAUAAGCUACCUGACUCUUCUCAGAUUGAGUUAAGAGUUACCUACUUCGUCACUUUCGCAUAGCAGAGGUACAAUCUUUCUUUAGAACCACCUCAUACCAUUUCUCCAUCAAGUUUCGUAUUCACAAAUGUAUCCCUUGAGACUCUUAGAAAUUACCACUGAGGUUUAUGGUUAUAACCAACUCUGUGUUCAUGAUCUUAAAUUCAUUAUCACCACGAAUUAAGUGAAACCCAAAAUCCAACACAUAUAUACGAAUUGACUCCAAAGGAAGAGACCGUUGCAUGGGAUCCCUUGCUUUGUGUCUUAUAAACACAUCAAUAAUAUCCCACAAAUAUUUUGAUUUAUUUCUUUAUCUUUAACACACUCUUACAUGAAGAUCCUUGUGAUUUUCCAAAGUCUAGUUCGUGGCACUUAAAUUUUCUCUUAGUUUUGCAGAGUUGAUGAUGAGUAUUCGUUGCGAAAGUUCACAAAUGGAUCAAAUGCAAAAGCGCGUAACUAAAACAACACCUUAAUGGAUAAGAUUGGGCGUGAGAAUUUGAAACAACGAGAAUUUGAACAGACGCUGAUUUGACGCCGCCUGACACAUACGUCACAUCUGUUAGUCACGCCUUUUUAGAUGCUGAUCUGUUUACCUGAGAUUGAUGUUGGAUGAACGAUUUAAACAUUUUUUAUGAUUUAAACUGUAUAUGUAUUUUAUAUUUACAAAUAUGUUGGGAAAAACAUGGGUACAUGAAGUGUGAUGAAAUAAAAUGAUGAGAGGCCUCAAUGUUUAUGAUGAUCUAGUCAUCUAGUGGAGUAUAGAUGAUGACCACAGAUUAUUCUAGACAGUCUAGUGAAACUCUAGUAGGCUCGCAACCUAUAGGUGUUUAAAUGAACUACGUGUUCACCAGGUGUACUCCAUCCCCCUCAUGGUUUCCUUAUUUCACUUGUAUUGCUGAGGAAUCCGCAAAGCAAUGUUAUCCACCCCGAUGAAAAAUCCUUAGGCUACGUCCCUUAUAAUAGAUGCUUUAGGGACGUAAAGUGAGGAUAACAGGAACGGGUAAUCGGGUUGAAUGAUUUGAUGAAAAUAAUAAACUUAUUCAUUGUAGGUUAAAAACCCUAUGUGCUCACCAGGCUCCCAAGCAUGACCCAUUCAGUUUCUUGUAUUACAGGUAGUGACACAAGAGCAUAGAUGUGAUGAUCUGAUGAGAGAUCAUGGAUUAUAGGCCAGUAGAUAUAAAUAGAAUAUUGUAAGGCCUGCGUAUUUUUUGUGGCCUAUGUUGUUUUUGUUUAUGCUUUUGAUCUGUAUUGACAAUGACAUCCAGAGGUUUGUAAUGUAAUGAAAAUAAAUUUCUUCGGAAAUGCUUUGAUAAAUUCUUAUUCAUAUUUUUAGGAACAAAUUCCGCAACAUAUUUCUUUAAAAUUACACUCUGAUUUUCAAAUAAAGCAUAAACAAAUCAGUCUUUUCUGGCUGUGAAAUAAGGGAUGUCACACUAGCUUUGUGAACAAAGCUCUUGGGGCCUGUUUGAGGCCAUAUAAUGCCUUGUGUAGUCCGCAUACAUAACCAUGUCGAUUUUUAUCUUCAAACCCUUUUGGUUGCAUCAUGAGUACCUUCUCUGAUAGGUCACCAUUGAGAAAAGCAUUAUUGAUAACUAAUUAACUAAUCAACCAUCCCUGUGAAAGAGCAAUCGAUAGAACCAAUUGUAUUGUGGUUGGUUUGAUAAUAGGGCUAAAUGUGUCAAAGUAAUCAGCACCAUCCUCUUGACUGUAUCAUUGAGCCACUAAUCGUGCCUUGUAUCAUUCAAUCGUGCCAUCUAAUUGCUUUUUGACCCUGUAAAUCCACUUACAACCAACAAUGUGAGAUUUAGUAGGACAAGGAACUAACGACCAAGUGUUAUUUAUCUUGAGGGCAUCAUAUUUUGUUUUCAUCGCAUCAUGCCAAAAUUUGUGCUUAAUGGCUUGUGAAAAAUUACUAGGUUCAAGGGUUGAAGUGGAUGAAAGAACGAUAUUGAAGGUUUUUAGUUUUAGAGAAUUGGUGCGAACCCUUGCAACCAUUGGAUGUUGUGAAUUUUCAGAAGGACGAAAUAUGGAGGUGUUGUUGCGAGCCCUUGAGGACACAAAAAAGUUUGGAGACGGUGGAGCAUUAGAGAUGGGUGUUAGUUUUAGAGGUGAAUCAAAUUGGGCUAAUGGUUGGGCAAUUGAGGUCCUUUAGUGGGCUUGACAAAGUAAUGAGAGAUGGAGGAAAAGAAACUAGUGUUGGGCUAAUAGAAGGUUGAAUUUCGGGCUCAUUUAUGUUGGAUUAGGUGUCUAAGCCAUAACUAUAUUUGGUAUGUACUUGAACCGGUUGUAGCAUGGUCCUUUUGGGUUUCCUUCACCAAAGCAACUUGACUGAAAGAAUAAUUGAAAAAGAGGUUAUUAUGGUUUAUUAAUAUAUUAUAUGAAUAGUACAUUAAAAGGUAAAUCAUAUUAUUUAAUUAACAUUGGUCUUAAUUUCGUGGUCAAAAGAGGUUAAUUGAAUUAAAGGGACUGAUAUUGUAAUUAUGUGAUAAUUGCAAUAUGGGUUGAGGAACCCUAAAGAAGGAUGGACAAAUUCUAUGGGGAAGUCCACAUAGAAAUCGUCCAUAGGUGGCUUUCUGGAAGGAUCCUGUGGACUACUUAAGUUCUAAGGAAUCUAAUUAGGGUUUUGACUGAAACCCUAGCAGCUCAACUAUAUAAGGAACCUCUUGGCUUUACUUUUUCGGCCAACAACAACUCUAGAAGGAUUCCAAGAGCCGCAAAUGACCUCUUCCUUCUCUCUCUACGUUUCUCUAAUUGUUUUGGUGUUUGUGAUUCAUUAGAGGCAUCAUAUUUGAGGUGCUAGGUUCUCAAAAGCUCAAGGAUCUUCAAGCUAAAAUCAAAGGUAACUUUCUAACUUGUUUAUUAGAUGUUAAUUUUGAUUUUUUGUAUGCUAGUAUUAGGGUUUGAGACUUUUGGAUGAAUAUUGCAUGUACAAAUAGAAAAACCUAGAUGCAAAGCUUUAGGGUUUGCAUGUGCACCAUAGGAUUGAUGUCUUGCUCAUAACCCAACAUUGGUAUUCACACUCUAAUACUAUUAUAUUAUUAUAAGAUUUAUUAUUAUAAUAUUCUAAGAUUAAUUAUUAUAUAUAUAUAUAUAUAUAUAUAUAUAUAUAUAUGUAUGUAUAAGAUAAGCUAGUCUUACUGUUAGUAGACCUCAUUCACGAAGCCGGUCUAUAAGGGGGGUAUAAGGUUACUACCUAUAAAAUGGUGGUUUAAUGGGUGUCCACUCUCACCAACCGCUUCCUUGAUUGGUGGAGGUCAUUAGCCGAACGGGUAGGAUAGGGCAACUAAUUCCUCAUUAUUAUGUAUAAUGAAAUGUAAAGUAACUAAAUGUUUUUAUUAAAUCCCCAAUGUUAGUUACUUUAGGAAAAAUGUGAAAUGAUGAAAUUCCAUGAAAUUACACUUUGCACCCUGCCAAGUCGUUAGUGGAGCGUGCGUGGAUAAUCGGCACACUAAUUUGGGACUAGAAAAGGUGGCAAAGGUUAGCUUGAUGUUUAUCAUAGAUCAACGGAGCAUGUGUGGCUAACUGGCACAUUGAUUAGGUGGUAAAUGACAUCGAGAGUAUCAAGUACAUUCGCAUGGUUAUUCACACCUUGUUUGUGAUCCUCGGUAUCCCAGUCACAAACUUGAAAGGCAUAUCGAGAUUUAAACAUGCCAUUGAAAAGUUCAAUGAAUCUCAAAAGAAUCUAGGAAUUUCAACUCAUUUAAAACUUAAUUGUCCUUUUUGUUUUUAUGGUGGAAAUUGGUAAAUCGUCAUUUACCUACCUUAAAAUUAUUUGCAAUUAGAUUACGACAUCCCUCUUCUGAAUUGUAAAUAAUUGUGUUGGGUCCUCCCCCUAAUUUCUCAUUUGGGUGUUUAAUUGGGGAUUUUUAUCUAAUCUAAACUUUGUUCCUUUUCUAUUUCAGAUGUCUACUUCGAACAAAAACAACGAUUCUGGAUCGACCCCUUUCGACUCAUUCUCACUCAUCAACUUGUGUAGGAAGGUGAUAUUCGAUGGGUUUGAUUUUAACAAUUGGAUCCGCAACAUUAGCAUGGUUACGCGUUACGAGGACAAAGAGUAUGUUCUCAACAAGGAGCUGAAGGAAGUUAAUGUGAAUAUUGCCACUCCCGAAGAAAUUGUUGCUUACGAAACCGAUGAGCGAGAUUCUACGAAGGUUCAUUGCAUCAUGCUCGCAACAAUGACUGUGAAACUCCAAAAGUCCUAUGAGGACUAUUAUCCAUAGGAGAUGCACCAAGAUUUGAUGGAAAGGUACCAUCAAAGUACUAGCCAGGAACGGUAUGAGAACAUCACUGCGAUGAUCACUACCAAAAUGAAGGAUAGAGAGUCCAUCACGGCCAACUUGCAGAAAAUGCAGAGAUAUGUGGACCGCUUGCUGAAGUUGAAUGUCAACUUCGAUGAGGAGGUGGCCAUAUAUAUUAUUCUACACUCCUUGCCUCCUUGCCACGACCGGUUUCGUAUGACCUACCACAUGAACAAGGAGGAGGUCAUUCUAAGAAAGCUUUAAGGCCUGCUGAGGACUUCUGAGAGUAGUCUGAAAUGCAAAUCUAUUGCAUCUACUCCUACUACUACUGCCCAUUGUCUUGGCUAUUGGGCAAGGAAAAGGAAAGAAGAGGAAGGCUCCUUCUAAGAGCGACAAGGGAAAGUCUCACAAUGGUUCCUCUUCAAGUGGAACCAAAGAUGGUCCUGCUGCUCCCUCUUCCAACCCUAAGGAUGUAGAGUGCUUCUACUUCCAUGAGAAAGGGCAUUGGAAACAAAGCUGCCCGAAGUACAUGCAGGACAUCAAGGAUGGGAAGAUAAAGCCCACCUUCACUGGUAUUUAUACUAUUCUAUCUAAUAACUCAUCACAUGCUAUGUCUUGGGUCCUUGAUACAGGAUGUGGUUUUCACAUUUGUUCUGAUUUGCAGGGUCUAAGAAGAAGUAGAGAUGUGGAGCAUGGAAAGAUAAACUUGAUCAUGGGGAAUAGGAAAGCGUCGCCUGUCACAAAGAUUGGAGUUUACUCUUUGGUGCUUAGUAGUGUGUUAGGUCUAGAUUUGAAUAAUUGUUGCUACUCGUCAUAAUUGACACGAAACAUUAUUUCUUUUCAUGGUUUGUAUAAACAAGGUUUUAGAUUUUCAUUUAAUAAUGAAACUGGUUCUAUUAAUGCUUUCUUUAAUGGUACUUUCUAUUUUGAAGCAUUGCCUUGUAAUGGUAUAUAUGAAGCUGUGAUGGCUGUAGACAACUUAGGAAAUGAUGUGUUGCAUAUCGAUUCUUCCAAUGGUUUGGAUAAAUCAUGCUUGUGACAUUGUCGUCUUGGACAUGUCAACAAGAAGCGCAUAGCCCAAAUCCAAAAGGAUGGAGUGUUGGAGUCAUUCGACCUUAGGGACGAUGACACGUGCGGGUAUUGUUCUCUUGGAAAGAUGAUCAAGUCACCCUUCACUAGAACUUGUGAAAGGGGUGAGGGUUUAUUGGAUCUUAUACAUACCAAUGUGUGUGGGCCCUUUAGAUCCACCACAAGGAUGCAAACCGCAUUUAUGUGACUUCCACCGAUGAUUAUAGCAAAUAUGGGUAUAUCUACUUAAUCAAGCACAAGUCAGAAACCUUUGAAAAGUUCAAAGAGUUUAAGCAAGAUGUGGAGAAUCAGCUGGGAAGGAAAAUUAAGAUGCUCCGAUCCGAUCGAGGAGGUGAGUACCUUAGUAUUGAAUUCCACGACUACCUCAAGGAAUACGAAAUUGUUUUGCAAUUGACUCCACUUAGGACACCGCAAUUGAAUGGUGUGGCUAAGCGGCGGAAUCGAACCUUGUUGGAUAUGGUUUGUUCCAUGAUGUGUCAAGCUUUGUUACCUAUCUCAUUUUGGGUGUAUGCCUUAGAGACUACCGCCCAUAUCCUUAAUCUAGUCCCAACUAAGAAGGUUGCCAAAACACCUCACGAGAUGUGGACAUGGAAGGUUCCCUCGUUAGUAGAUAUCAAGGUUUGGGGUUGAGAGGCUUUCGUAAGACGAGAGACUCAUGACAAGCUCGAACCUCAUAGUGAGCGGUGUAUUUUCAUUGGCUAUUCACAGAAGUCCUUUGGAUAUCUCUUCUAUAGACCAAGUGACAAUGUUGUCUUCGUUGCAAGGAGAGGGAUUUUCCGAGAGCGAGAACUCAUAUGCCAAAAGGACAAUGGGAGGAAAAUUGAUCUUGAAGAGCUUCAAGAGUCAAGUGACGAAGGAACCCUUAACACUGGGGCUCAACUCGAAGAGGAAACUCCUGUUGAACCGAUUGGCGAGUCCUUACCUCUUAGACGUUCCAGUAGAGUUAGUGUUCCACCUUUGUUGUAUGGUUUCCAUAUAGCAAUUGAAGGUGAUACAUUUAUUAUUGAUAAUACACUAAUAAAUUUGGAUGAACCUAACAACUACAAGGAAGCCAUGGCAGGCCUAGAGUCUAUAAAAUGGAAAGAGGCUAUGGACAGCGAUAUCUAGUCCAUGUAUGACAAUCAAGUUUGGAACUUGUUGCCAAAGUGCCAGGUCGUAAGUUGGUCGGGUUUAAGUGGAUCUUCAAGAAGAAUACCGACAUGGAUGGGAAAGUACACACAUAUAAGGUACGAUUGGUUGCGAAGGGCUUUACUUAAACUCCCGGAGUUGACUAUGAUGAGACCUUAUCACCAGUAGCGAAGAUUAAAUCUAUAAGAGUUAUGCUAGCCAUAGUUGCGUUUCAUGAUUACGAAAUAUGGCAGAUGGAUGUCAAAACCUCUUUCCUUAAUGGGAAGUUGGCUGAAGAUGUUUACAUGAGUCAUCCAGAGGGUUUUGUCAAUGCAAAGCACCCUAAUAGAGUGUGUAAGCUUGAGAAAUCCAUUUAUGGAUUAAAACAAGCAUCUCGCAGAUGGAAUCUUUGUUUCGAUGAGAAAGUCAAAGAGUUUGGUUUUUCGAGAAGCGAGGAUGAGUCAUGUGUAUAUGUUAAAGCCGGUGGGAGUAUAACUAGCUUUCUUAUUUUUUAUGUGGACGACAUACUGCUCAUAGGAAAUGAUGUCCCAACCUUGCAGGAGGUUAAGUUCUGGCUUGGGAAGUGCUUCGCUAUGAAGGACCUCAUAGAAGCUGCUUAUAUUCUUGGGAUAAGGAUAUUGAGAAAUAGGAGUAAAAGACUAAUAGGACUUAGUCAAAGUACUUACUUGAAUAAAGUGUUAAAACGUUUUAGCAUGGAGAAUUCCAAGAAAGUGGAGUUACCAAUCCAAAGCAAUACCAAGUUGAGUAAGACUCAAAGCCCGAGUACCAAUGCUGAGACAGAAGAGAUGAGCAGAGUACCUUAUGCUUCCGCAGUUGGCUCAAUCAUAUAUGCUAUGACAUGUACUCGCCCUGAUGUAGCCUUCACUUUGAGCAUGGUCAACAUAUAUCAAGGGAACCUUGGUAGAGCACAUUGGACCGCAGUGAAGAAUAUUCUCAAGUACCUACGAAGGACUAAGGAAUGGUUCCUUAUCCUCGGUGGGAGUCAUGACUUGAGAGUGCGAGGGUAUAGUGACGCUAGUUUUCAGACUGACCGAGAUAAUUUUCGCUCGCAGUCGGGCUGGGUCUUUACCCUAAUUAGAGGAGCAGUAACUUGAAAAAGUUCCAUGCAGGAGACCGUAGCUGAUUCAACAUGCGAAUCAGAGUACAUAGUAGCGAGCGAAGCGUCAAAGGAGGCAAUAUGGCUAAAGAGCUUCAUUGGAGACCUUGGAGUUAUACCGGCCAUUAAGGAGCCUAUGGAGAUUUUCUGUGAUAACGAAGGUGCGAUUGCCUUAACCAAGGAACCGAGGGAUCAUGGUAGAUCUAGGCAUAUCAAUAGAAAAUAUCUUUUCAUUAAACAUCAGGUAGAAGAGGGACUCCUAGUAGUUAAGAGGGUAUCAUCAUAGGAGAACCCAACAGAUCCCCUUAUGAAGGGACUGAGUAGGGUUAAGCACUUGCAGCACGCUGGGAUCAUUGGGUUGAAGCACGAUAUUAGUUUAAGUGAUUAGAUAGCUUUUAGAAACUUGUAAUAGAUAAAUUGUAAUCAACAUUUGAUGAUUAAAUAAAGGAGUAUUAUUUAUGAGUAACGUUACUGUCUUGUGUUACAUAUUUACUACUGUUUCACUUUGCAUGUUUUGACUUCCUAAAUAAUAAGAUUAUUUAAACUAUCCACAGUCGAUCAUAUGUUGGAAGUAAGUAUGAAAGAAGACUGUCAUAAAUUGGCUUGUAGAUUGUCUAAGCGUUUAGACAUAGCAAAAGCUUGUUGCAAUGUUCAUGAGUGCUUAUGAAAUAUGAUUUGAGUAUUGGAUUAAACGGGCUCACAUGAACCACUUCAUGGAAUUUAUCACGAGUGAUUGUGAGACGAUAAUAUCAUAUAGUCUUUAAACCUAGAUAUAUGAGUUGUUGUUUACGAGUAGGUUGUGCAUUGAUAAUACGUAAACGCAUCAGUAACUUGAUGUUAUAAAACACAUUGUUGUGUACGAUUUGAUGAGUAAAUAGUACAACUAUAUAAGUCGAAGUUUAUCUGUUCCUUUUAUUCUACGAGGUUAAAAGAGAUAUAUUUGGCACCUCGAGAAACAAACUGCUGGACAAUAAGUAUGACUAUGUUCCAUGUAAUUGUCCACACAAUAUCUUGAGAACGGAGAACUAUACGAUCCCUUAUCUAAAGGAAAUGUCAGAGUUCGACAGCGGCUUUUGAGAGCUACAAUUGCUAAUCGGAUUUUGAAGUCGUACUUGCAUUUAUAGUUAUUAGACUUAUCCAAGUGGGAGACUGUUGGAUUAGGUGUCUAAGCCAUAAUUAUAUUUGGUAUGUACUUGACCUGGUUGUAGCAUGGUCCUUUUGGGUUUCCUUCACCAAAGCAACUUGAUUGGAAGAAUAAUGGAGAAAGAGGUUAUUAUGGUUUAUUAAUAUAUUAUAUGAAUAAUAUAUUAAAAGAGAAAUCAUAUUAUUUAAUUAAGAUUGGUCAAGAAUUAAUUUAGAAUUAAUUUUGUGGUCAAAAGAGGUUAAUUGAAUUAAAGGGACUGAUAUUGUAAUUAUGUGAUAAAUGCAAUAUGGGCUGAGGAACCCUAAAGAAGGGAUGGACGAAUUCUAUGGAGAAGCCCACAUAGAAAUCAUCCAUUGGAGGCCUUCUAGAAGGAUCAUGUGGACUGCUUAAGGCUUAAGCAAUCUAAUUAGGGUUUUGAUUGAAACCCUAGCAGCUCACCUAUAUAAGGAACCCCUUGGCUUCACUUUUUUGACUAACAACAACGCUAGAAGGAUUCCAAGAGCCAAAAAUUACCUCUUCCCCCUCUCUAUAAGUUUCUACAAUUGUUUUGGUGUUUGUGAUUCAUUAGAGGCAUCGUAUUUGAGGUGCUAGGUUCUCAAAAGCUCAAGGAUCUUCAAGCUAAAAUCAAAGGUAACUUUCUAAGUCGUUUAUUAGAUGUUAAUUUCGAUUUUUUGUAUGCUAGUAUAAGGGUUUGAGACUUUUGGAUGAAUAUUGCAUGUACAAAUAGAAAAACCUAGAUCCAAAGCUUUAGGGUUUGCAUGUGCACCAUAGGAUUGAUAUCUUGUUCAUAACCCAACAAUUUAUACUUGUGCUAACUAUAGGAGAAUUUUUUAAAUUUGGUGGACUAGGUUGAGUGUCGAUAUGAGCUGGAGGUACAAAAGGAAAUGUGUCUUCAUCAAAAAUGACAUGUCUAGAAAUAUAUAUUUUGGACGUUGGCUGAUGAUAGCAAAUGUACCCUUUGUAAGAUGCACUAUAGCCAAGAAAGGUGUAGGGUUUUAACCGAAAGUCAAUUUUUUGUGGGUUGUAAGGUCUCAAGUAUGGGUAGCAUAAACAACCAAAGGUUUUUAAGAAUCCAUAAUCUGGAAUUCUAUGGUAUAGUCGCUGAUAGGGACACUCAUAAGAUAGAAUGGCAGUAAUUGUUCUAUUAUUUAGAUAAGUUGCGGUUUUAAGCGUAUGUUCCCAAAAAUGUUUAGACAAGGAAGAUUGAGCAAGAAAUGUGAGGCCUUUUUCUAUAGUAAUUCUAUUUCUCCUUUCAAUUUCACCAUUUUGUUCUUGAGUGUAUGGACAUGACACUCGAUGAAAGAACCAUGGUCAUUUAAAAACUUGGAUAUAUUUUGGUAUUCCCCUCCCCAAUCAGUUUGGACGCUUUUUAUAUCACAUGAGAAUUGAGUUUUGACCAUUUUUUCUAAACUCAAGAAACGUUGAAUAGACUUGAGAUUUUUGGGACAAAAAAUACACCCACACAAACUUAGAAUAAUAAUCCAUAAAUAACACAAAAUAUCGAUUUCUAUUCAACGAAAAAACCGGUGACGGGCCCCGAACAUUAGAAUAAAUUAAUUUAAAUGGUUUUGAAGAAAUAACAUAAAAGGUUGUAAGAUGCAACCUAUGACUCUUUCCUAACUGACAGGAAUCACAAACAUUAGGAAACUUAUUUGAUGAAACUGGAAGAUAAAAUGUUGAAACCAAACAAUGAAGAAUGGGCUCAUGUGGAUGAGCAAGUCUCUUAUGCCAUCCAUGCAAGGAAAUACGACUAGUAUAAAAAACUUUUGAUGAUAAAUGAAGACAAGUAUGUGGGAGCCGGUAUAAUCCUUCAUGUUUAUCCCCUUGGAAUAGAGUUUGUCCCAGAAACGUCUUAAUGGAACAAGAUUUUGGCCAAAAUUCCAAGUAAACAUUAUUGUCAUCUGUUAAUUUUGAAACACUAAGUAGGUUUUUAAUAUGUUCAGGGACAAUAAGCAAAUUAGGCAAUUUGAGAUCAGACAAAGAAGAUGAACCAACAUGAGAAUAGACAAAUGGUUACUAUUGCCCACUUGAAGUUUGUCAUCUCCUGUGUAAGGAUCUGUAAUAGUGAGUUUGUUUAUAUCAGGAGAGACAUGAUCCGUUGCUCCAGUGUCGAAGUACCAGGAGGGAUUAACAACAAUUGAUGGACUGUGUUGCUGAGCUAAGUGAGCUUGGUGUGGAUUAUUGCAUUGAUUAGGUUUCCUUGAUAGGAAAUCACUUUAAUUGCCUCUUUGCCAACAGUUUAUUGCCUUAUGGCAUGUUUUGCUACAUAGUUGACAAAUAGGUUGUUGUUUAUGUGGAUCUGAGUUGCGAGGAGAAGAGGAUGAGUUGGAGGUAUUACCAGUAGAACCGUGUUGAUGUCGAGGGUUGGAGCAGUUUACUGUGAGAGCAGUAGCAGUGGCAUUUGUUUGGGUCACUAAAGCAAGGCGAAGGUGUUCUUGUUCAAUUCUGGCUUCUUCCUGCAAUAAAAGACCUACAAGAUCAUCAACAGUUAGUGCCUCUGAUUUCAUCAUGAAAGCUGUUAUGAAAGCUCCAUAUGAUGAAUCUAGUACAUUUAGGAUAUAUGCAAUUAAAUCCUCAUCAAGAACUAGAUGAAGAUUCUCGGAUAACGAAUUAGAAAUUGAUCGUUUCUUUACAAUGUACUCAAGCAUGGUCAUAGACCCCUUAGCUAGAGUCUGCAAUUGAACUUUUAAUUGCACCUAAGUUGCCCUAGUCUGGGCUUGAAAUAGCUUUUCGAUGGUUUGCCACGCUUCCUGUGAGGAUUUGGAGCGGGCCACAAGAGCUUAAGCAUUAUCAGUCAUCGUGGAUUUGAGCCAUAAUAACACAAAAUGGUCAUGUUUCUUCCAGACAACAUACUCUGCAUUUGGUACUGUGGUGGCAACAACAACGACAACAGUAGGAGAGGUGUCGGUGGCUGGGGCCGCUGUAACAACAUGAAUCUCAAUGAUUGGAGAUGGAGGGUUAGGGUUUAAAACAUAGGUCUCCAAAUCGAAGGUCUCUAGUACUGAAACAAUUGUAGUGCGCCAGAGAGAGUAAUUUGUUUGAUCAAGUUUGAUGGUGGUCGCCGAUAUUUGAAAGUUUAGGGUGGAGGUGUUGGUGGUGGUUACCAAGGUGAGUAGAGUUGAAGAUGAAGUCGCCAUUUCAGCUAAGUGAAGAGAAGAGAGAAAAUUGAUGGAUCGAAUGAGCUAGUGCUCUGAUACCAUAUAGUAAAGUGAAUUGAAUCGUAUCAUGAUGUACAUGUAUACAGAGUUUAAAUACAAGAGGAAUAGAACUCGAUGUGAGAUAUUUUCUCUUAUUCCUAUGCUAAUGCUAUUGAUUAAAACUUUAUCAAAUAUGGUAAUAUUCAUGUUUAUUUUAUUAAUGCUAUUAUUAUAAAAAAGAAUCAUUUAUAAAGGUUAGAUUAUUCAAUUUCCCAAUAAUAUUUCUGGAUUUUCUGCAUUAAUUUCUUGUAAUUUUAUAAACACCAAAAGUGCCUACGUCAUUCUGUUCAUCAUUCAUAAUUUGGUUGUUUAAACUUUUAAUUAUUAAUUGUUCAUUGUUUGGAAAACAUAUUCUAUGGGAUUAGGUGGUCAUCAUUGAUUUAAUUGGUAGAUUAAUUAUAUUAUAUCGCUACUCCAUCCUUACAAAGACUAUACGGAAACUUUUCGUUGCUAUCCAUCAUAUCCGGAUUACCGACGCAACAGAUUGUAAGUGAAAGUCAAAGUUUGUUGUAGCGUGUCAUAUGAUAUUUAAUAAGUCUUGCUUCUAUAAAGUUUUUAAUUUAUAUAUAUAUAAUCGUAUAGUCUUCGUAAACAAAAUUUAUAAUAGUAAUAUUUCCCUAUAAUAAUCUUAGUCUUGGUAAACAAAAUUUAUAAUAAUAAUACCAUGUUUAAAAUAUUGGACAUAUUUUGAAUAUUUCAACAUCAUACUUUUAAAAAUACAAUUUAUUACGAUGAAAACAGAUAAAUAAAGUAUGAAAACGGAUAUAAAUAAAAUAUGCAUUUAACUUAAUAAGUUCAUGUUUUAUUUUUCGAUUCAUACUGGUAGUCAAGUCUAUGGCGGCUUUAAUUAUCCUCAUCUCUGUUCUAUAAAUUAAAACGCUUUUGGUAGUCAUUGCAUAGAUCAAACUCACCAAGUUAAACAUGAAGAAAUCUUUUGUCUUCCUCUUGGUUCUAACUCUAGCUCUUUACUUUUCAUCGGCAUAUUCUCAAGAUUUCAUAAGCUGCGUUGAAUCCAACUCUGCCAAUGCGAGCUCCAUUUCUGAGCUCAUUUACACCCCUGGCAAUGCUUCUUUCCAACCCAUUUGGCAAUUCGCAGUCCAAAACACCAGGUUCCUUAAACCCUCCACUCCUAGACCAUCAAUCAUCGUGACACCUACGGAUGAAUCACUCGUCCAAACAUCUCUUCUCUGUGCCAAGAAACAUGGGUACGAGAUCAGGAUCAGAAGUGGGGGGCAUGACUUCGAGGGCCUUUCAUACACUGCCGAUGUUCCAUUUGUUAUGAUCGAUCUCAACAACAUGAGAUCUAUAGACAUAGACGUAGCUAACAGUACUGCAUGGGUGGGGACAGGCGCUGUGCUUGGUGAACUUUACUACAGUAUUGCACAGAAGUCCAACAACACCUUGUAUUUCCCCGGAGGUACAUGGCCUACGGUGGGGAUCAGUGGGUUGAUAGGUGGUGGUGGCACCGGAAACCUGUUAAGGAAAUAUGCUACAGCCGGUGAUAAUGUUUUGGAUGCUCGUAUCAUAGAUGUCAAUGGAA